UCAGAUACCUAAGUCUUUUCGGAUGUUCAAACCUACAAAAUAUCCAUUUAUCAGAAGAUUCAGUUAGAUGUUUGUUGCCUUCCUUUCCUGUUUUCUCAUAUAUGCGUGAACUUGAUCUAAGUUUCUGCAAUUUACUUAAAAUCCCUGAUGCUUUUGGAAAUUUGCAUUGCUUAGAAAAGCUAUGUUUAAGGGGAAACAAUUUUGAAACACUACCCAGCCUCAAGGAGCUUUGCAACCUGUUACAUUUAAACUUGCAACACUGCAGAAGAUUGAAAUAUUUGCCUGAGCUCCCUUCACGAACUGAUUUGUGUAUGCCAGAAUGGAGAACUGUUGAAUAUGAAGAAUAUGGAUUGGGAUUAAAUAUUUUCAACUGCCCAGAAUUAGUUGAGAGAGAUCGCUGCACCGAAAUGUGUUUCCCAUGGAUGAUGCAAAUAGUUCAACUCUUAACUCUUUCCUUUCUUGAUCAUUCUUCCAGCUAUUUAAUGCCGUGGUGGGUUCCAUUCAUUUCAAGUAUUAUUCCAGGAAGUGAAAUGCCAAGGUGGUUCGACGAACAGCAUUUGGGCAUGGGCAAUGUCAUAAACAUAGACAGAUCUCACUUUAUGCAGCUUGACGAUAAUUGGAUAGGAAUUGUGUGUGGUGUAAUCUUCGUGGUACACAAAGAAAGAAGAAUGCCCCCUCCAGACAUGGAACAACGUUCAAUUCUUAGUAUUACAUGUGGCCCUUCUAUUCCACCUGAACAAAGAAAGAAAGAACGUCCAUCUCUUUAUAUUCCGGUUCUUUUCCGUGAAGAUCUAGUCACGGAUGAAUCGGAUCACUUGUGGCUAUUCUAUUACACUAGAUCACGUUUUGAUGUCUCUAAUUUUGAUCAGUUAAAAGUGGAAAGUAGAUUCAGUGAUCUUCAUGAUCAAGAUUUGGAUGUUGAGGUGAAGAAAUAUGGCUAUCGUUGGGUAUAUAAACAUGAACUAGAAUUAUCAAACUUAACAGCAAUGCACAGUAAAAAUUUGUCGUCUCGGAAGCGCAAAUUUUUGGCAAUUGAAGAAACCAAGUAGCAAUUGCAAUUCGGCUAGGCAUUCUUCAUAGUGAAGAAUUGAAGACAUAUUUGAAUAUGGAUGCACAGUUGUAGCAGCAGUAGCAAGAUCAAGUUCACCUGGACUUUUGGGGUAAAUAGUCCAAUCAUCUCUUUACAAGGUACAAAUUAAACAAAUUUCACUUUAUUUGAAACUUUGGAUAAUAAGGUGAGAAGAAAUGCAUGGUCUAUAGCUUAAAAAAACAGAGAAAGAAACUCAUGGUCUGUUAUUAGUUUUUAAAAAAUAGAAAUUAAACUAUUUAUUUAUCCAGACACUAUUUCUUGCUUGUCGUUUAAUUUUUUAAUUUGUCUUAUGUAACAUUUCUUUAUUUCUUUCUCCAUGUCUCUCUUCGCUCGACUAUAUACAUGUGUAAUGAAAAUUUAAAUCAUUUCAGAAAAUAUACUUUGAUAUUUGUUAAUUUUAUAAAGGCUAUCUACAAAUUAAGUUAGAUAUAAUCACACUCUGACUUUGAAAUAUGUGUUUUUAGAUUAUUUAGUGAGCUGAUAGUACCACCAUGCGUGUAUGUAAUAACUAAUAAGUCUACUCAAGUAGAGUCAAUAAAUUCAGUUGUUUGACAAAAGAAAGAAGUCAAGUUUGAACUCUCAUUUAUUUGCAUGAAUGAAAUAAAUGUGUCGAAGAAUUUCAGGAUCAAAUUAAUUUGCAUGGUUUUCAUUUAUUUAUAUUCAAAAACAGCUUGAGUUUUCUACUUGUUAAAAAAUGAAUACACUUGAGCAAUAAAAUUAGGAUUAAAUAUUUGCAAUUGCCCAGAAUUUGUUGAGAGGGGACGCUGCACCAGCAUGUGUUUUUCAUGGAUGAACAAAUUGCUCAGGUGAGCACACUAAUUCCUCCUUUCAUCUCUUUCUCUCUUUAUUUUGGUGUAGAAACCAUCACUACUAGAAAAGUGAGCUUUUAGGACAGUCAUUCUAUGAAGGUUCUUUUUGAACUGUCUUAGAAAUGAACCGGUGACAUUUUUACAAUUAUGUACUGAAAAAAGCUUUGUAUGACACACAUUCUAAGACGGUUAUUGAAAACCGUCUUAGAAUGUGUGUUGGUAAUAAGAAUUACGACGGAUUUUAUCAAAACACCAUUGUUAUCUUAAUUGAUAUCGAGACUCUUGGUCUUCAACCUAGCUUGUUUAUCACUUCCCUACCCACUCACGCACUCACUCAUGUCUAUCACUUCCCUCACCAUGGCCGACUCCCUCGUCUAGUCCAACGCUGACCCCGACCUCCUCGCCGCCUUCGAGACCAGCAACACCGAGCUCCUCUGCGAGAUCCACCUCCUCAGCGCCUCGCAAGGCGUCGCCGUCGCACGCUUCCUCAUCGAGAAUCGGUGCAACGGGAAGGCCGUGCAGGAGCUCGCACGUGCAAUGAAGGAUUUCCCUAGCAGGCAUGGGGAUAAGGGGUGGGAGAGCUUCACUCUCGAGAGAGAUUGUCUUUCUUUUAUGUAUUACUGGUAGAGUAGGGAGCAUAUGAACCCGUCGGAGCAGAGGACUUCGGCGCUGAAGCAGGCGUUGGGCUUGGCGGAGACAGAGGCGGCGAGGAAUGUGAUUUUGGAGGAGUUGGAGGGGAAGGGUGUGUCUGAGAAGAAGAUCGAAAAACAGACGGUGUCCCUAAUGGCAGCGUCAUUCAGGUGGAUAUUACAACUACACAAGGAUGUUCCAAAAGCUGCACGAUUCUACUCCGAAGGCUUGGACUUCAGCAUCAAUGUCUGCAGCCUUUGUUGGGCCGAACUCCAAUCCGGUUAUCUCAAGCUUGCAUUCUCCCAAGUACCCUUUCGAUAUUUUGUUCAUUCCAAAUUAAGCCUUAAUUAACAAUGACUAAUAACAAGAUCUUACUUUCUUAUUCAGUUGUUUUUUUAUUCUUUCUUUAUGAUUUUAAAAGAAAUGUUUGGCGUGCAAUAUUGGUCCAUGGAAUGGCCAGCUGCUGAUUCACUCUCAAAUUUCCAUUUCAGUGAGCAGCAGCAAGCCACACAGAAAGGGUACUCAUCGCUUCUAUCAUUUACUGUGACUGAUAUGAACAAUACAGUAACUAAAUUAAUGGCGUUAGGAGCUGAACUAGAUGGACCCAUCAAAUAUGAGGUCCAUGGAAAGGUAUUGCAAUUCAUUCAUAGCUUUGAAUUUCAUAUUGCUGAGGACUUCUAAGUUAUAAGGUCUGAUGUGAUUUUCUUGUGAUUAGAUUGCAGCUAUGCGGUGUAUUGAUGGACAUGUCUUAGGCCUCUGUGAUACAUAACAUAGGAGAUUCAGUAUCAACAAAACCCUCUUUUGGUCUGCAAAACUAGUUUUCUUGGUUAAGACUUUACUGCAAAAUAGACUUUAAAUUAGGCUUCAGUAAGUAUUUGAAUUAAAUAUCCAAUUGCUUUCAGGUUGGAUCUAGAGUUACACAUGGUGCACGAAACUCCAUCAGGACAAACUGCAGUGAUUGGAAUAUUGUAUAAGGCUGGAAGAAGACCAGAUCCUUUCUUGUCAUUGGUAAAUUAAUUAAAUAUGUCACAGUGUCUUUAUAUAUGUCUUUGUUAUGAUUGAAUACUAAAUUUCUUACAUGCACAUACAUCUUUUUUAGUUAACGAACCACUUAAUGGUCAUUUCUAAUAGUACGGGAGCAGAAAGAGAAGUGGAUGUAAUGGAUCCAAGGCUGGUUAAAAUAGGCACAAGCACAACACUGUAUUACAGAUAUAUUGGUUCGCUCACUACUCCUCCAUGCACUGAGGAUAUUGCUUGGACCAUGCUUAAAGAGGUUUGUUAGCUAACUCCACUUUGCAUGAUAUAUCAAUUUAGCGGUAUUUGGAAUAUUUAUUUAUUUGUGUUAUAUUAUAAUUUUUCCUUUUUUAUUAUUUUCUUCAAUAUUUUAUAAUUUGAACACCUGUGUAAUUGAUCAGGUGAAAUCCGUUUCAAAAGAGCAAAUCAGAUUACUUCGGGAUGCCGUUCAUGAUGUAAGUUACUAUAGUUUUUCAUAUAUCUCACAUGACUAAAGGCUCACGAUAUAAACCAGGAAUUUAUAACUGUGUAGAUAGAGAGAGAGGAGUCGUCAAUUUGUAGGAAAAAUAUAUUUGUUUAAUUAUGAUAUUGUAAAAUGAAAUUAAUUAGAAUAUACUAAUAAUGAAAAAGUUUUGUAAUAAUUAAAGUGUUCAAUCAUAAAAUGUCAAUUGAAAAUUACUAAUCUGUAUAAUAAUUAUUUUAAAAUUCAUAUUUAUGAUAAAUUUGCAGGAUUUCGAUGCUAAUGCAAGACCAUUGCAGCCAAUAAACAACCGCUUAGUGCAGCUAAAUAAGCCGAUAGAUAAUCGUUAAAGUUUCAAGACAUUAGCGAGAGCAUAUAUAAAAUAAUAAAACGACCAGAAUAUGAUCUGGGAUUUUGGUGGGAGAGUGAUUUUUCACAUGCACAAGGUCUACACGUGAUUGCUAUUUCUGUAUGUUUAUUUCAUGUUUUAGGUUAUAUAUUUUCAAUUUCAAAGUUGGACAACUUUUUACUAAUUUCCUUUUAUAAUCUUUCGUUAGUAGCAAUAAGAUUCUUGGAAAUUUAGUUAAUUAGCAUAUAUACACGAUACACACAAUUUUGAAUUUGUUUUUUCUUAUUAUAUGUAAAUUUUAUAGCAGUCUUAAAAGAUAAAAUUUAAAAUUCAUAUAAUUUGACAAAUGAUAUACAUAUGUAAAUUUUAUUAAUUCAUUCAGCAAUAAUAUUUUUUUAAAAUCAGUUGCAUUCUUGGAUGUUUAGGUAAUUAGCAGAUAUAGAAGUGGCUUCAUGUGCACCCAUAUUCUUAAGUGUCAAACACUGAAAGGUAAAAAAAAUAUGAAAAUCUCCUUGUGAGUGUGUUGCUUCUUCUAUUGGAUGCAGAGUUAGUGGACAAAUACAAUAAAGCAAAAUGGUAAAAAACAUUGGUGCAUUCAGUAUCAAGAAGAGGUUGCUAGCAAAUCCAAGAAAAAGUCCAACAAUCUUGCUUGCAUUCAAGCUAAAGAUCGUACAACAGGAAGAACAGAGAUUGCUUCUUGUGUCAAGGUUGCUGAGGUAUGGAAUUGAAUCUUUCACUCACUGUUUAUUUGGAGCCACUUUUUGGCACUCAUAUAAGAGUACAACUUUCCAGCCUUAGGAUUGGAUUUAUUUAUAAGAGCCACUCUAAUAGAUGUACUGAAUAUGUAUUUAUCAAACGAUUCAUUGAUGGAUUGGAUUUUUUAAUACUUUUUUAAUGGAUCAUAAAUGAUUUCUUUAUGGUUUCUUCUGGUUCAUUCAUAAUGGCCAAUCCAUAAAGUAGCUGUGGUGAAGGCUGCCAUGGAGUCUUUUUGGUAAGUUACUAAUUUGUUCUGCUUUCAAUUUUCUAAUACAAAUAAACAUAUGCCACAUGAGACCAACUUUCUUCUAAGCAUUUACUUUUUAUAUUUUUCUGAAGAAGAAUGUAUGCAAUAGAUUUUAUUCAGUUAUUGUUUGGUGAGUAUAAAAGAAACAUUUUUAUUAUUAUAAAUGUAGAGUUAUUAACAGAAGUAAACCUUUUUUAUUAAUUUAUAUAAAGGUACAAUAUGUUAGCUUUGUAAAAGGGUCUUUCCACAUCAUAUUUAUUAACUGAAAUCAUAUUUAUAUUAAUUCUUUCCACAUCUUUCUAUGAACUCCUUUCUUACUUUGUUCUUAAUUGUCUUUCAAUACACGAAAACUGAUAUUUCUAGUUGCCUUUGGAAUGUGACAUGACAUGUAUCUAUGAACUUUAAAUUAAAAGCUCAUUUUAGAGUGUGAGCAUUUCUGUUAUAAUUUCCUUCAAGAAAAUACAAUGACAGCAUCUGUUAUUGGAAGAAAAUCUAGACUAUUCUUCUUCAUUCUUGUUGUUCAUAAGAAAGAAACCCCUUUUGUUCAUUCUUGUUGAAAUCAAUGAAUUAUCUAACAGGAAAGGUUUUGGAAGACCCCAUGACUUUGACUGCAUCCAAAUUGACUAAUGGAUCCAAACUCAUGCUUGUGGCUUCCCAAUGUUUAUAUCAAGGGGUAUUGUAUUUGACUAUAUUCACCUCUCUCUAAUCUGGAGUGUUAAUUGAUUUUUUUUAUUUAUCUAUUUUGCUGUGGAGAUAGUGUUCAUUGUUUUUUUUUUCUCAGAAAAAUUUAGAAUUUAGAUACACCAACAUUACAAUAUAAUUUUUUUAAAAAAAAAAUUAUCAUCCAAUCAUAUAUUGUUAGCUUUUGCAAUAACUAUUUGGAAGUUAUAUAUAGGGUGAUCUCUAAUUGGUUGAUGUAAAAAUCUUUACACUGAUAAUGGCAGUGCAUAAAAAUUAAGUUCAAAAUGUUAAGCUAAAAUAAAUUCAACUAUAUCAUGGCAUGAUAGGUCGUAAACUAUGUUGUAUGGUUUCAUCAUUAAGUUAAAUUGUGGCUUUGUGAUUAUGGGGUAAACAGGGAAAUUAUAAAUGUGGAAUCUCCUGCUUGCCUUUCUUUAGAAUGUGGAAUUCAAACAAUUAUUAAUGAAUUAGUAUCUAAAAUGAUAUUAUUUUCUGCACACAUGGGCGUUGAAUUGCAUUGAUGUCAGGCAUGUAACUUUAAAGGGUUUUAACGAGAGAACCAAGGUCAUCUCCAUUUACAAUACUCCAAUUUUGCAGCAGUAUAAGUGAAUCUUUUUGCAUUGGAAUUGACACUACCAACAGAGAACUUCUUCCUCUUUAUGAACAUUGUACAUCUUUUAUUUCCUCUUAUUCUUUGAAUGGAAAUUAACAUUAGUAUUUGUUGCUCAUUUUAGGUUGCAACUUUAAAGGAUGAUGGUUGCCCCAAAGUCUGGGUAGUCACUUCUGAUCACUGUCAUCAGCAAGCAGCACAUGGAGCUGUAUGCUUCCUUCCAAUAAAAUGAAAACUUAAGUGAAAUGGAUGCAACUUGAUUGUUAAUUGUCUUCACAAUUCUUUUCCAGCUAUGAGUAUUUCACUCUCCUUACCAAAAUAUGCUAAUUAAUACCAUCACUUGAUUAUCAAGUAACAUUGUUUGUAUUGUGCUCUGUUUAUUAGUGCAAAAGUUUUAUGAGCCUUUAUUUGGAGUUGCAAGGCAUUGGUUAAUGAGGUAAAACUUUAAUUUGAGGCAGGAUGGUUUUGUAUGUUAUCCUCUCAUAAAAUUUCUUUCUUAAAUUAUCUGGUUUACUUUGUAGAUUUAAAAUCCCAGGUUUUCUAAUGGAAUAUUAGAUUUUAAUAGUUUACAUCAUUUAAAAUUACUUAGACAUGCAAUUAAAUCCUAAUUUUUAUUUGCUAUGACAUGCCUGGUGAUUUUUAUGUUCUUCAAUAAUGUUUUACAUGGUCCCUUUUAUUAAUUGUUUUAGUAGUAGAUCAAGGCAUCACAAAAGGAGGUUGAAAGGAUGCAAAAGACAAAAAAAAUCCAAAUUCAAAAAAUAAAAAAAUUAGCAUUUCUACAUCGGUUUUGACAAGACCGAUGUAGAAUGCUAAUCAUUCUAAGAUGGUCACGUGUGAAAGAGUGUCUUAGAAUGCUUAGCAUUCUACAUUGGUCCCUCAGUGACCGUCGUAAAAUGAUUAGAAUUCUACAUCGGUCCCUCAGUGACCGUCGUAGAAUGAUCAGCAUUCUACAUCGGUCUUCUAGAGCCGACCGUCGUAGUUUUCUCAGCAUUCUACAUCGGUCGGUGACAACCAUCAUAGUAUAGGCAACUUCUUUUAACGAUGUCCCCUACUACGAUGUUCGUAAACCGAUGUUGUUGGUGCCGAAUAACCGAUGUAGAAGGCUGGUUUUCUAGUAGUGCAUGAACUAAUAUAUAGUUGUGUAUGUGGUAUUAGGGGCCUUGAAGAAAUAGAAUGAUAUAGCAUUCCACUUCUUUUUCGGGUAGAUCUCGUCAUUGUUGACUUCUUGACAAGUAUAUCAAGCUAUAUACGUAGUAGUAAAACGGUAAGACCGUGUAUUGAAUUCCAUAGGAAUUAUGCUUGUACUCAGAGUUAUAUAUACAUAUCUAACGAUUAAGCAAUUAGCGACUCAAAUCGAAUAUUGUUCAUUGAUAAACUGCAAGUAUACUAAAAUGAAUUAAUUAUCAAGCAAGGAAAAUGUAAGGUUAAGAAAACAAAUGCUCAAGGUUGGGAGAUGGUGUUAUGAUGAGUUAAGGAACAUGUUUGGGGCUCCAUGUGCCAAAAUCAUUCUUGAUGUAAUCUUAAUAUUUUUUUUCUCUUUUUAACAUGCAUAUGAUUAUUGCCCGCACCUUCUAACAUACUCUAACAUUGAUCCAUCAAGUGAGAGUUUAAAUCACCUAAUAUCACUCCUAAUCCCUUAAAAGUUAUAUUAAAUAAUUUGCAUUACGAACAAAGAUUCAUACAUAGGCUAGACAAUGUCACUCUAUCCCUAGACAUGGAUUACUUAGAUGUUCUUCCCAAGUUUUUAGCUUAUAAACAUUUUCAGAUAUCUAAAUCCUAAAACAAUGCAAGAAAAUGGAUUAUCAGACCAUAAACAUGUGAAUGAGCACAGAGAAGAACAAUAAUAUCAUAUUAAUAGAUAGUUUAGAAUCAUUACAUCAAAGAGAAUUUGGUUUGCAGAGCUCCCAACAAUGGGUGAUUUUAACUUUUCAAUAUCAUGAGAGACUUACAAAUAUAAAUGUGAGAUGAAAGGGAAGAAAUGAAAGAGAAAUGGAUUCAGACAGAUCAACCAGCGCUCCAGGAACUGAUUUCCUUCAGCAAUGGCUUCUUUGCUUCCUUGCUCCUCUGCUCCCCUGCUUCUUGUUGGUUUCUUCGAUGUUAAAGAAACAAUUGUUUCCUUUCUUUUUAUAUGCUUCAGCAACUGACCUCCAAUCUGAACUUUCUUGUGCGUUGAACACGAUACUUGCACUAAGCAUGCAUGUCCUACUAGAUCAAGUGACCACAUGCUAAGUGCAGGAUGCGCACUAUGCGCGCUUUCUCGUGACAAUUGUCUUCCAAUGUAGCUUCCUAAGCUAAGCAAUUUGUUUGGGUUGAGCAGUUUUGACUUGCUGAGCGAGGAAGUCACUAUGAGCGUGACACUUCAAUUCAUCAAUCCUCUUCCAUGCCUUUGUUACAUCUCUAUACAAAAUUACUAUAAAUUCAUUAACUUUAGCAUCUUUUGAAUAAAUACUCAGAAGAAGCUAAGUUCUUAUUGUUUCAACACAAAAUAAGCAAUAAAAGAGAAGAAAAUGAAAUAAUUGUAAUGUGAUUUUAGUAUACAAAUGAUGUAUGCAUAGCAUUUAUCAGUCGUAGAUGAAUCAGAUCAUAUGUGGCUAUUCUAUUUCACACAACCAUGUGUAGUGAUAACUGUGAAAUAUGAGUUAAUUUGAUAGUCAAUUUUGGUUAAGAAUAAUUGGAAUUUCUCUAGUUUACUGUUAUUUUUAAUGAAGUAAUAAAGAACUUAAUAUCUUUGUAGUUUUUUAUUAGCAAAAGUUAAAAAAAAAGAAGAUUUCAAGUGCUUUGAAAGAAAAUUGAUGCAAAAAAUGGAAGAAAAAGCCUUGAAGAAAAAUUAGAAAAAUUGGACAGCUUGCUUAAUGUGCAAUCUAGGUUUAGCGCGCACCCUCGCUAAGCAAGAAAGCAUAGGCUAGGUGCAAAGAAGGCUCACGAAUGUUUGCGCUAAGCGUGAGGUCGCAUGAAAAUUAAGCUACCUUAAACCUAUAAAAACAAUAGAAAGCAAAGGAGAAAGACACAUAGGGAUACCAGUCCCUAAACCACCCUGGAGACUCAAGACUCUCUAAUGAAUGCAUCUUAAGUCUAAGUAUCUCUAAUAGAGGAAACUCUCUUUCUGUGUCUAUUAACCCCUUUUCCUGCUCUAUCAAUUCUUCUUCUUCUUCUUCUUCUUCUUCUUCUAUCUGCAUCAGCCCCUAAAGUGUAAAGUCUCUCAUGACAAUAAGAGGCUAAACUCCCUUAGUUAGGGUCUGACAAGCCUAAAAAGUAAAAAAAUGUGUUAUAUGUUUUAUAUCUAUCAAUCCAAAAUGUGUUUUUUUCUUGUUAUCCUUUCUUAUUUUAAUUUCAUGUAUCAUUCAUUCUUGUAUCAUCUUUAGGGAUUAGACACUCGAAAGAGGAUAAUCCUUAGUAGAAAUACAAGGAAGUCUUAUAUGCAUUAGUUUUAGGGAUUUGUCACUCGAGAGAGGAUAAUUUCUAAUAGAACUCAAAGGAAGAUAUAUCUUAAUAAAUUCAUUGCUAGACACAGAGUGAUUGCAUUAUGCUCAUGCAUCAAAGCAAACAUCUUAAUAAGAUAGGUUUGUCAUCAUGAGACAUUAGGGGUAAAGCAAGUAUUUUAAUAGAUGUGAGUAGGAAAAGUUCACUCAAUUGAUAGAGAAAAAUCUAAAAUAAUACAUCUUAUGCAAAUAAGACAUGUUAGAUCCCAACAUUAACAUAUUUUGAAUUCAUUUUUUUUUCAUUAUCUUUAUCUUUUACUUUUCAUAUGUUAUCUAUUUUAUCUUCUACAUUUCUUAUCUUUUACUUUAAUCACUUAUCUCUUUAAUUUUUAUUUAUUUCCUAAUCUUCUAUUUUAAAUUUUUGACAAAAUUGCAUUUUUGGUCCCCCAGUUUAUCUCUAAUUUUGGAUUUGAUCCCACGGUAAUUUAAUUAACGAAUUUGAUCUCCCUAUUUUAUAAAAUCCUGCAAUGUUGGUCCCGGACGGCUCAAUUGGACGUUGAUCGUUAAGUAGUGAUGUUGACUGCCACGUGUCAUGUUCUUAUUAGAUGAUAACUUCCACGUGUCAUGUUCUGAUUAGUCAAUGAAAACAAUAAUGCAUUUCAUCUUUCAUGGAGUUGACAUCCAAUCAGAACAUGACAUGUGACAAUUAUCAUCCAAUAAAAACGUGGCACAUGGCAUUCAACAUCACUACUUAACGGUCAACAUCCAAUUGAGGCGUCCGGGACCAAUAUUGCAGGAUUUUAUAAAACAGGGGACCAAAUUCAUGAAUUAAAUUAUCGGGGGACCAAAUCCGAAGUUGUAGCUAAUGUGGGGGACCAAAAGUACAAUUUUGCCUAAAUUUUUUAUCAUUCAUCUCUCUUACUUUCUUUAAAUUUUACAUGUAAAUUUUUUAUCUCUUGCUUGUAAAUUGGGUUUGCAUAUAUCUAAGUAUAAAUAAAGUUCAUGUGUUGAACUUUCGAGUACUUUAUUAUUUAUGACAAAUUGAUGCACUUGCCAACGAGUUAACAUGUAGUCCCUCGAACAAGAAUUUUCAUGGUAAUUAAUUGAAAUUGGAUUUUGGAAUAGCUAGUGGUCCAGGUUUUAUGUUGAGGUUAAGAAAUACCAGUAUCAUUGGGUGUUUGAACAGGAUCUACAACUAUCAAACUAAACAAUUAAUGAUACACAACAAAAAUGCAUUGCCUCAGACGCGCAAAUUUUUGGCAAUUGAAGAAAACAGGUAGUAGCAAUUGCAACUCGGCUAGACUUCUAUCAUAAUGAAGAUAUGGAAGCAUAGUUAAAUAUGGAUGCAUGAUUUGCAACAAACAUUCCAAAAAAAGGAUGCACGGUAGAAGCAACAAGUAGCAUUCAAUUUUACCAUCACUUCUGGUUUUGGAUAGACAAUCCAACCAUCUCUUUACAAGAUGCAAUAUUGUUAUAGUAAAUUCUACUUUGUUGGAAUAAGGUGAAAAGAUAUGCUCAUGGUCUUUAUUAUUUUGUAAAAGAUUCAAUAUUGUUAUAGUAAUUUUUAGCUUGUUAUUUUGUUCCAGGCAUUAUUUUAUACUUGUCAUUUAAUUUUUUAAUUUGUUUUUGCUCUUUGCAUAUUAUUUAUUCCUCCUCACAUCUCUUUCUCUCUCUCUUUUUGUGGUGUAGAACCCGGGAACUAACCUAUAGUUGUGUCUGUGGUACUAGGCAGACCCCAAUACAAGCGUGAUGAAUGUUGAUGGUUGUUGUGGCCACCGCACAUUUCAGGUAUUAUUCCAACAAGUAUAAUACCAAGGUGGUUCAACAAUCAGCAUGUGGGACUGGAUGGUUUCAUAAAUAUAAGAGACGCAUCUCACUUUAUGCAGCAUGGCAAUAAUUGGAUAGGCAUGUGUAGCAGAAAUUCGUGGUUCAUAAUGAAAGGGGAAUGGGUCUUCCAAAACCUGAACGAAAAUUCGUGGUUAUGCAAAAAUUAAUAAUAUUGAUACAAAAUGGUAAUGCACCAAAUUGUAUCGGAUAACAAUGUAGCAAACUGUCAAUAAUCUUAUUGUGAAUUCAUUUAAUUUUGUAUUGGAGACAAAGGAUAAGUUUCAGGUACAACUGCAAUAUUUGUAGACCAAAACAUUGUACAUACCUAAACAAUUGUAGACCAAAAGAAUUGGUAUACAGUAAUCUGCAAUUCUGCAUCACUAUGACAUGAAACUCCAUAGACUAAUUUAUGGAACAGUGAAUUUUAAAACAAUUAUAAGUAACACAUGGGCCUGGAAAUCAACAAAAACCUCAAUCAGCAACAUAUUUGUACCACUACAUUAUUUCCAGUCUGCAUGUAAUUAAUGCCAAGCUGAAGCUGAAAUCAAAUUUCUGUCCUUCCAUCCCACUAGCAUGGCCCCAUCUUUCUCCACAAGAUUAUAAUGUUCUGGAUACCACCUCAGCAGGCUUUUUAUGACAAAAUUCACAUAAGAACCCAAAGGAUAUUGACGAAAGCCAGCAAUUGUUAAUCUCGACUUCCACUUUCCUAACAGCUCAUGUCUCUCUACCCUUUCUUUCCCUUCGCAAGCAAUAAUGUUGACAAUAUUCCGAGCCAAACAAUGUUGCUCCACAUUAACCCGCUGCUUGCUCUUUCUUGGAAGAGACAGAUCAAUGGACUCGAGCAUUGCCAAGUAGUAAUCCAAGGUUUCUAUAAACCUGUUGAAGAAGGGAGUUGGUAUUCGUUGUGAUUCUGAUUGCUAUAACAACAUCGGAGUAAUAGGUGAUCCCAUCACAAAGAGAGGAUGGAGGAAGUGCAGAGAUGGAGAGAAGCUCUCACACGUGUGGCUAAUCUAUUUGGUUGGGUUAUCGGAAAUGAGUCUCUCAUUUCAUGAUGAAUUUUCAUUUUUUUACUUAUAUUUGCAUUAGUCAUAUUUUUAAAAAUUUUCAGGUCAUACUAUGUAUACAUUCCAGAAAUGGUUCUGAAGGUGACAAAUAUAUUAUAUUAGGUCACAUAUUUUCUAGUCUUCCAUUGGCAUGAAAUUUUGUGUUAAAGAAUAGACAAAGGUUUACAUUUGGGUUGGUUAACGAUGUUCAAGUUGUCAGAAUUUGCAACGUGAGUGUGAAAUAGGAAAAACAAUUAUUGAUCGCACUUUAUAUGAAAUAAUCUAUCUUCAAUGAGAUUCUUUUAUAUUUUACUGAUGGUAUGAGCUAGUUUCAUCAAAAGAAGGAUAAUUAUAUUUGAGCACCCACAAAUUACAAACAUCCCAUCAACAUUUAAUUUCUUUUUAUCUCUCUCUUCCUACUAUAUUACAACAUGAAUAAAAUCAAUCGCUUAUUUAUUCAUUUUUCCUAUGAGUGAUUAGACAUUUAAAAUUAAAUCAAUAACUUAUUUCUCCCCUCUUCCCGUCUCUCCUAGGUGUACAAAUUUAAAGGGGUAUCCAAGCAUCAUUCACCCUUUGUCAAAAACAUAAAUAUUGUUGGACACCCUACACAUGCAUAGUUAGACAGAAAAAAGACUAUAAAUAUUAUAGAGUUUAUGAUGCGAUGGGAAAAAAAUAGAAAUAAAAUAAAAUGUGUGUGACGAAGUGUUUAAAAUAGAGUGUUCAAAUAUCAUCUCUCUUUUAAAAAAAGUUCAAUUAUAUUUUUUGUGGCACCCUCUAUCCCACACAUAAAUGUACUAAUAAUAAAAGGAAUAAGAAAUUAGAAUUAAUUAAAAGUUUUUAAAACACAUUUAAAUAAAAAGUAUUUCAAAAGGGUAAAAAGCUCACAUUGAUCACUUUUCUAACAUCAUAAUAAAACUUGUUCAAAUAAAUAAUAAAAUCAUCUUGACUCAAAAUAAAGUUGUCCAAGACUUCAUGCAAUUAAUACAAAAACCUAUACCCAAAUGUCACAUCUUAUCAGCUUGUAUUCAUGUGUCCUCUAGCUUGAUGUUCUCCAUAGUCAUUCACCGAACAAUUUGCUCUCACGAACACAAAGUUCGAGAUCAUCACAGGAUCCAAACAGAAAUAGCACGCGGGGAGUGAGUUAUCACAUUCCUAGCUAAUAGAGAGAAAUGUGACAACAUAUAUAUAUAUAUAUAUAUAUAUAUAUAUAUAUAUAUAUAUAUAUAUAUAUAUAUAUAUAUAUAUAUAUAUAUAUAUAUAUAUAUAUAUAAAUGAGAUAUAACUUACUUAACAUAGCUCACGUUAUUCCACACUUUGUCACGUAACAUUAUAUUACAACACAACACGUUUCAUUCAUUUUCACAACAUUCACGUACUCAAGGAUAAUAAAAACAAUAUCACUAAAUCAAUCAAUAUCGAUCAAUACACAAGAAUUAUGCAACAGAUACACUAAGACUUAAUCCUAUAGUCGUGUGAUUAUACGAUUCAUAGCUCGCAACUCAGUUCACACGACAUCUCAAUGCACAUAUAUAUUACAAGUCAUACAUACUCAAUUUAUCACAUAGACUCGAUCUUAAUCACAAUGGUAUAAUCUCAAUUUAACAUGUUAUCAUACCUCAUGAAUCAUAUACACUUUACCUAUAAACUAUACAAUACAUACAGCUACUCAAUUGUUUUCAAAAUCAUUUUAACUCGUCGCGCUUGUGAUUAAACUCGUAUGGUCCCUUCAGUGGUUCCCAUCACAAUACUUUUCACACAUUAACUCGUCGCCUUAAAGGGUUUUAUAGUUGUGUGAUUAUACAAUUCAUAGUUCACAACUCAAUACAUACAUCUCAAUGCACAUGUAUUUCACUAUUCAUCAUAGGUUCCAUUUUUCACAUACUCACAAUUUGAAUCACAAUUUCAUAAUUUCAAUAUAACAAUUUAUACAAAAUGUUUCUCACAACAUGGGGGUAAAACCCCUCAAACAAUUCCACAUAAUCAUAUUAAAAUCAAUGAAUCAAAAUCAUAGGUCAAAAACAUGAAAACAUCAAGAGUACACAAGUUUAUCAAUCAAUUUGCAUCAGAAUAUAAAUUAGUCUAUCAAACACAACAAUAUUAUAUUUAUAAUCAUAAAGGAAAAUUAUAAUUCAAUAAACAUCCCAAAAUAAACCUCAAUUUAAUCUUUUAAGGAUUCCUACACGUGUUUAUUCUAACUUCAAUUGCGAUAAACUCAUCCCUUACCUCUAAGUGGGCUCAUGUGUGUAGUCCGCCAGUGAUAGCGGUAUCUCUAGCAAUUUCCUAAGAUUCCUCAAUUUUUUCCUCUGUUUGCUCUAUUAGGGUUUUCAAGCAUUAGAGAGAAGGGGAAUCAAUUGUAGCCUCCAUUUUAAUAUCAACGUGUGAGACUAAUGUCUCUCUGCAAAAACAUUAUUUUGCAAAUCCCAAUAGUGAGACAGUGCAAAAAUGUGGUACCAAGAUAGUGUCCAAAUUUCAUGAUGAUGAAGCGGUUAAAGAGUUCGGGAUCGUAGUUUUACUCAGACAACUUUUGGGUGUCUAUGGGUAAAGGAAAAACUCAGUGUGACGGAAAUUUCUUCAACAACAGACAUUAUUUUUGCAAUCAAACGGUGGAUUUGUGCAAAAAUAAUUUCCAAACCUCGUGUUUAAAUUUCAUGACGAUCCAACGGUUAACAAGUUUGGGAUCAUCAAUGUGACACCCUCUACCCCUCACAUAUAUACUAACAAAGGAAUAAAAAUUCAAAUAUUAAUUAAAAGUAUUGUUUUUUAAAACAUUUUUAAAUACAAGUCUUUCAAAGGGAUAAAAGGCUCACAUUCACUUUCUUCUACAUCAUAUUCAAACUUGUCCAAAUAAAUAAUAAAGUCAUCUCGGCUCAAACAAGGUCAUCUAAGACUUCAUACAAUUAAUAUAAAAUCCUAUACCCCAAUGUCACAUCCUAUCAGAGCGUUGUGUCUCGACGUCCUUCAGCACAAGAUUCCUUAAAGCAAUUUACCUAGUCAUCUGCUCCCCCGAACACAAAGAUCAAGAUCAUCACAAGAUUCAAACACAAAUAACACACAGAGAGUGAGUUAUCACAUUCCUAACUAAUAAAGAAAAGUAAAACAACAUAUAGGUAUAAAUAUUAUAUAACGAAAUACAAUUUACUUGAGCAUAACUCAUGUUAUUUCACCACACGCCUCAUUCAUUUUUACAACAUUCACAUACUCAAUAGUUAAAACACAAUAUCAUCAAAUCAAUCAAUAUAGAACAAUACACAAGCGUUAUGCAACAGAUACACUAAGACUCAAUCCUAUAUGCAAUGUGGUACCAUGUCAAUGAAAAACCUUGUCGGGCGCCUAGGAGUACAUGACAAGACAAACCACACACUAGCAAGUCAAGUCACUCUCACUAGGUAAUAUCAUAGGGAGACCAGUCAGGGUCACAGUGUUUUGCGAGAAUGCUCCAACCAUAUGGGAUCAACAUAGGCUUAAAGGAGCACUCAAACCGGGUGACCCCAAAGGCCUACACUCCGAAAAUUCCGUCAGGGCUUCUCCCUCCAGAUUCAGGUCCAACCCAGAAAAUAUUUUAGCACACAAACUCUAUCUAUGAAGUGUACAAAACACACGACUCUUCAAUUGUUCUCAAAAUAGUUUAUCUCAUCGCCCUUAAAGGGACUUAACAUUAACUUGUCGCCCUUAAAGGGACUUAGCAUUAACUCAUCGCCCUUAAAGGGUCGUAUGGUCGUGUGAUUGUACAAUUCAUAGUUCACAACUCAAUGCACACAAUAUCUCAAUGCACAUAUAUAUCUCAAUCAUAUACAUACUCAAUUUAUCACAUACACUCGAUCUCAAUCACAAUGGUAUAAUCUCAAUUUAACACGUUAUUACACCUCAUGAAUCAUAUACACUUUAUCUAUGAACUAUGCAAUACACACAAUUACUCAAUUAUUUUUUUCAAAAUCAUUUUGUCUCGUCGGGUUUCUACAGUGGAUCCCAUCAUAAUACUCGUCGUCCUUAAAGGGUCUUACAAUUUUGUGAUUGCACAGUUCAUAGCUCACAACUCAAUACACACAUCUCAAUACACAUUUAUUUCACCAUUCAUCACAGGUUUAAUUUAUUACAUACUCAUAAUUUGAAUCACCAUUUCAUAAUCUCACUGUAACAAUUUAUACAAAAGGUUCAUCACAACAUGGGCAUUAUAAACCCUCAAAUAAUUUCACACAAUUAUAUCAAAAUCAUGGGUCAAAACACAAAACAUCCAGAACACUCAAGUUUAUCAAUUAAUUCUUAUCAUAACAUCAAUUGGUACAUAAGGACAAUAAUAUUGUAUUUAUGAUUGUAAAGGAAAAAUUAUAGUUUAACAAACACCCCAAAAUAAACCCCAAUUUAAUCUUCUAAGUAUUCCUACACAUGUUCUCACUAAUCUCCAAUUGUGAAUAACUCAUCCCUUACCUCUAAGCGGACUCACGUGUCUUCUGACAGCGAUAGCAGCAUCUCUAACGAUUCCAUGAUAUUCCUCCAGUUUUUCCUCCGACUACUCCGAUAGAGUUCUCAAACAUCAGCGAGACGGAGAAGGGAUUAAAGCCUCCAUAUGUACUGUCUUCGUGCGAUUCCUUUUUCUAUCUCCACGAAUAUUAUCUCGCAAAUCCCAAUGGUUAAAAUGUGUAGAAUUGAAUCGCAAACCACAUAUCAAAAUUUCAUGAAAAUCCAACAGUUAACGAAAUCGGAAUCGUAGUUUUACUCAGACCGUUUUGGGUUUUUACGGGAAAAGAGAAAGCUACGGUGUGAAGGGUAUUUAUCUUAGCUCUGACAUGAUUUUGCAAUUACCAACGGUGAGAAUUCUCAGAAUUGGGUUUUAAAUGUGGUGCUCAAAUUUCACAACGAUCCAACGGUGAAUGAGUCUGAGAUCGUCGUUUUUCUGAUAUAGGUUUGGUGUGCUACAGGAAAAAGAAAGGGUUUUUGAAAGGAGAAGGGGAAAAACGAAAAUGAGGAGAAGAAGAGGCACCGUCAAUGUGAAAACUGACCUAACUCUAUUUAUAGCUAGGUUUAGUCUAUUUAUUUAUUUAUUAUUUUAUAAACACAAACGCUAUUUUAUUCUCUAUCAAACAAACAAAUAAAAUAUCCUUUUUAUUUUCUCUCAAAUCAUUAUUUUAAUUAAUAAUUAUAUCUCCUUAUUUAUUUAUUUAUAAAAGCUCAUCAUUUUUCUAAAACUCCAUUUAUUUAUAAAUAACAAUUCUUUUUUUAAAUUAGCUUACGAAAAAUGAGAUGUUACAAUCAAUUUACUAAGACAUGUUUAAGUGUAGGCGGAAAAAGAAUAGGAUUUUCAGAGAGGAAGAAAAGAAAACGAAAUUGGGAGAAAAAGGAAGCAUAGGGACAUAUCAUGUCUCAAAACUGACCUAAUAUAUAUCUAUUUAUAACUAGGUACUCUCAGCCUUUUAUUUACUCCAUUUUUUUAUAAACAAAUAUUCUAUUUUAUUUUCUAUCAAAUGAAUAAAUCAAAUACCUUUUUUAUUUUUCUUCAAACCAUUAUUUUAAUAAAGUUAUUUCUCUUUAUUUAUUUAAUUACAAAAAACUCAUCAUUUUUUUCUUCUAAAAGUCUAUUUAUUUUAAAUGAAAUACCUUUUUAAUUUAUUUCAAGAAAAAUGGGAUGUUACAUUUUUUGCCCUUAAAUUUAAUUUGAAAUUCAAUUUGAUUCUCUUAUUAUUUUAAGGUUCAAUUGGUGCUACGUUUUUUAAAAAUGAUUUACUUAGAUCCUUUAUUUUUAAAAGCUUCAAUCAUGUCCUUUCAUUUUUAAUAUGUGUUCAAUUUGAUCCUAUUUAAAAAUAAUUUUGAUCUUUUUUAAAAAAAAAAAUUGAAAAAAAUGGGAUCAAAUUGAAUUCAUUAAAAAAAUAAAGGAUCUAAUUGAACUUUAUUUUAAUUUACAACAGUUUAUACAUCAUGUUCAACCAACUAAACAAGAUUCUUUUGGUACCUAAUUGUUCCUUAAAAUAAUAAGUGGACAAAAUCAAAUCUAAAAGAAUAAAUUAGAGUAUCAUAAAAGUAAUUUAAUAAAAAAAUGCACAAUUAGGGAAUUCUACAUAAUUAUAUUAGUUUCGCGGAAAGGAGAGUAGAAAAUUAGGUUGGAAUGUUGCCACGAGGGAAAAAAAUGCCUAAACUAAAAACAGGGGAUGUUAUAUAUGACUAUGUUAGACUGGGAGAAAGGGAAGUUGGAAAAUAAGGUGUGAGUGCGAUCAUAUUAGCUUCAAUCAACCAACCUAAUAUUUCUUCACUGCCCACACUUGGUUUGUGUACAGAAGCACUUAUCCCUGCUUCCUUCAACUUCUGGAAUUGCUUUGGCUUCUAGCACCAUCAUCCAUGCAAUAAGAACAUAUGACGUGUUUGUGAGCUUGCUCGGUUUAGACGCACGCAAAAAUUUCGCUACUCUCCUUCUUCAAGCUCUCCAUAGAAAUGACAUCGAUGCCUUCAAAGAUAAUGUACAUUGAAAGGUGAAUUCAUCGAAUCUGAGCUGUAGAAGCCCAUUGACGGGUCAUCCAAAUUAAUUGUGGUCUUCUUAAAGAAGUAAGCUUCCUUUACUUGGUGCUUGCGUGAACUUGCACACAUCUACAUCUGUAUUGAAACAUCAACAAGACCAGUUCUGCACAUUUUUUAUGACGUUGAUCCAUCAGAGGUAUGAAAACAGAAUGGAUAUUAUGAGAUAGUCUUUACUGAACACAAAAGAAGAUUUAGAGAAGAUGGAGGAAGUGAAUGUCAGAAAAAAUAAAAGGAAUAAAUGAGAAGAAGAUGAAAAGCCUUAAACUAAAUAACAAAAUAACAGUAGGAAAGUAAUUUUAAAAUAUGAUAGCACAUGGAUUAACAAUACAAUAUAACAUAUAACAAGUACAAAUGAAAAUAAUUUUAAGGAAGAAAAUGUUAUCCUUAGAGAUAAAAUGUUAUCCUUAGAGAUAAAAUGUUCUCAUUACUAAAAAAAUUUGAUUGCGCUCCUCUUUCAAGAUACAACAAUCGAUUCCAAUCGUGUGAAGCAAAAGGAUCCUCGCACAUUCUGAACACUCAUUCUGUUGCUCUAAAAAAAAUGCAAAUUAUUUUUCUGCUUGUGUCUUUUAAGAGAGUGAUAUUUGUAGACACAACUCAAGUGUAGCAUCUUAAAAAAAUUGCAGCACUGUUUUGGAUGUUACUCAGAUAUAGUUGAAACGAAUGACUGAGCUUAACAAAAAAAAUCUUGUUAUAUUAAAAAAUCAAAACAGAAAAAAAUAUAUUUUAUUUUAUAAAUAUAAAUUAAUAUAAGUAAUAUAUUUUAUACAUUUUAAAUUAUAAAAAAGUAUUUACUAACAGUGAAGAGAUGGAGAGAAGCACUCAGACGAGUGGCAAACCUCACUGGUUGGGAUAUCCGAAAUAAGAAAGUAAUUAAUCUUAAUCUUAAUUUCACCAUUUCUAACUUUCUAAGUCACUCGAUUUUAUUAAAUUUGCUAUCCUUUUGAAAACUACGGUUGAGAGAGGUUGAGGAGGUAACAUGCAAGCUGAGUCCAAAUUAAUACAUGUUUACUGCAAUAGUAUUUAAAAUGUCAAAGAGUACACUGGUAUUAUCUUGUCCUAUACAUGAAUUAUCUGUUGUGGUUCUGACAAUAUUGCAAUCUUAAUUUUCUUUAAACUUUCAGGCCACAACCUGCAGAGAUUGAACGAAUUGUCCAAAACAUAAUAAAUAUACUUAUAUGAAAGAAUCCCGUGCUUCACGUGUAUACAACUCAGGCUGAUAAAUCCAUCCAUUGGUCAUCUAAGAAAGCUUGCUGAUUUAAAUUUAAAAGAAUGCAAAAAUCUAGUAAGCGUACCCAACAGCAUGUUGGAACUGAAUUCUCUAGAACACCUAAGUCUUUUCGGUUGUUCAAAACUGUAUAAUAUCCAUCUAUCAGAAGAAACAUUGUGUGUAUUGCAAUAUUGGUGGUACGUAAUGACAGGUCAAUGACAUGAAACGUCCUGGUGACUUUGAAUUUAAAAUAUAUGAUGAUCAAUAUUUUCAUGUUGAGGUGAAGAAAUAUGGUUCCUGUUGUUGGGUACAUGAACAGGAUCUACAACUAUCAAAGUUAACCGGUGAAAAUUAGUUGCUUCGGAAGCUCUAGUGUUAAUAAGGUGAGAAGAAAUGCUAGUGCUCUGUUAUUAUUUUUUAGAAAUAGAAACUAGAAAAUAAACUAUUAUUUGUCCUGACAUUAUUUCUUACCUGUCGUUUAAUUUUUUAAUUUGUCUUUUGUAACAUUUCCUCUCUUAAUUUGCAUGCCUAAUAUAUAAUUUCUGAAAUGCAAAGCCAUAUGCAGUCACAUGAGUGUAAUAAUGUUAGCCACAUCCGCAAUUUUGGCUCUCAUUCUUAAUCUUUUACUCAUCAAUUUCGUACUUUCUUUCACUCAGCAAUGUUAGGCUGCAUACAAUUCUCUCCUCACCCACUCUUUCCAUUAUAGUUAACUCAUUAGAUAAUUAAUUAUAAUUAAAAUGUAUUUGUAAUAUUCCAUUUAUAAUUAAAAUGUAUUUGAAAUAUUCCAUUUAUAAUUAAAAUGAUUUGAACUGUUUCCUUUUUUUUAUCAAUAGAAAUUAAACAUGGUAACAUGUGAUUUAUAACACUCACACACCUGUUUAACCCAUGAGCUAGACCCCUUAUUAUUUAUAAUUUGUUAUUUAACUUAUCUCCAUGUCCUAUCUCAGGAAAAAAAAUACAAAAAGAAUGACUUUUUUAUACUUAAGAAACAACCACUUUUAAAAACUGAAGUAUCAUCCAAGUUUUUUUAAUUUAAAAACAGAAACGUUAUAUUUUUAACAACAGAGACUAUAAUAUCACGUUAGUUUUUAUCUUCUUUCUUUUCAAAAAACUGGUUUUUUUUUCUUCUUUGGUUGGUUCAUUUUCCUGGGCACAACAUAUCUUAUACAAAAAGAGUUCCUUGCUGCUCUGCUACCUGAGCCUUGGCUGAGACGGGUCUAUUAAAUCUUGGAGGGUUCUUGCGCCAUGCAAAUAAAUCCUUAAGGACAAUGUGCCUCCACAGGUCUCAUACUGUUGCUGCAGCGUUUCUUGUUUUGCAUUGCUGCAGGGUUUCUGUUAUUGCAUGUGUUGUUGUUUCUUACUAACAAGCUUCAAAUUUGACAACGAAAAUAUGGUCUGGUUUCCACUCUUAACAACUUACAUUUAGAGGAAGGAUUGCCUCAUUUUAUAUGUCGAUUACAUUAUUAAUGUAGUUUUUCUUUCUAAUUUUAAUUGUAGUUUCUCACUUUAUAUUUUCCAUUUAUGUAUUAUAUUUCUAUCACCAUUUAUAAAUGUGUCGUAUAUUGAUUGGGAUAUGAAACUAAUUGGCCAAAAAAAAUUGUAUUAAUACGAUUUCUCUAGAAAAGCUCUCCCAGUGCUCCUUGAAACAUGCCGUAACGAAAAGGUGGAAAAUUUUAUAAUGGGAGGGAUAUGUAACUAUUUAGACAGAAAAUCGUUAGCAAUAAUUUCUCUUAGAAAGCUUUGUCAAAACCUUGCAAUGGGACACUAACAACUGAUCGGCCAAUAAUUUCUAUCUAUUUUCUAUUUUACAAAAUUGUUGGUAGUUGGUUAGAUGAUAGUUGAUAGUUGGUAGUUUUAGAGAAUUGUUUUAGAAAGAAGGCUAUGUCAUUGAUUUCUUGGAUUAUCAAUUACAACAUAUCAAUUGCCUAUUUAUAGGUUUAAGUCACCAACCUCUCAAUGAUGGUGAAUGUUUCUACAUUACUUUAGGUCUUUCUAGAGAUUUCAUGAUAGAUUAGUAUCAUGAUAGUUCUAGAUUCUUCUAUCUUAUACAUAUAUUUAUAGUUCUAGAUUGUUCUACCAUAUUCAAACACAUUAUAGUUCUAGAUUGUUCUACCAUAUUCAUGCACACUAUAGUUCUAGGAUAUUCUACAAUUUUCAUAUGUAUUAUAUUUAAGAAUAUUCUAGAAAUUUGUAGCAAUUUCAACAUUUCUCCUUGAUGCAAAUUUCUGUGACUUCGAGCAUAGCUCGUAAUUCUUCAAAUCUUGAUCUCGGCAGAGCCUUUAUGAAUAUGUCUGUAAUUUGAUCUUCUGUUCUGCAAUAGUCGAGUUUGAUCUCUUUAGUUGCUUCAGCUUCUCUGAUAAAGUGAUACUUGAUUGCUAUGUGUUUUGUUCUGCUGUGAUGAACUGGAUUCUUCGUCAUUGCAAUUGCUGAUUUGUUGUCGUAGUUGAUUUUAGUAGGCUCAUCUUGCUUUUCUCCCAUGUCUUCAAGUAUCCUACGAAGCCAUAUAGCUUGACUCGUUGCUUCAGCAGCUGCCACGUACUCUGCUUCUGCUGUUGAUUGUGCUAAUGUAGCUUGCUUCUUCGACGCCCAAGAGAACAUUCCCGAUCCUAGUGAGCCAGCAUAGCCAGAUGUACUCUUCAUGUCAUCUGUCGAACCUGCCCAAUCACUGUCUGUGUAGCCAAGUAAUUAUGAGUUGGUUUCGGUAGUAUUUGCAUGAAUCUUGAUANNNNNNNNNNNNNNNNNNNNNNNNNNNNNNNNNNNNNNNNNNNNNNNNNNNNNNNNNNNNNNNNNNNNNNNNNNNNNNNNNNNNNNNNNNNNNNNNNNNNNNNNNNNNNNNNNNNNNNNNNNNNNNNNNNNNNNNNNNNNNNNNNNNNNNNNNNNNNNNNNNNNNNNNNNNNNNNNNNNNNNNNNNNNNNNNNNNNNNNNNNNNNNNNNNNNNNNNNNNNNNNNNNNNNNNNNNNNNNNNNNNNNNNNNNNNNNNNNNNNNNNNNNNNNNNNNNNNNNNNNNNNNNNNNNNNNNNNNNNNNNNNNNNNNNNNNNNNNNNNNNNNNNNNNNNNNNNNNNNNNNNNNNNNNNNNNNNNNNNNNNNNNNNNNNNNNNNNNNNNNNNNNNNNNNNNNNNNNNNNNNNNNNNNNNNNNNNNNNNNNNNNNNNNUAACACUUUGUUCUCUUUGCCUUCAGACACGAAUCCUUGUGGUUGCUCCACAAUAGAUCUCUUCUUCAAGUACGCCGUUAAGGAAGGCGGAUUUGACAUCUAGUUGAUGGAUACUCCAUCCUUUUUGUGACGCAAGAGCUAUUAGGGCUCUUAUGGUAUCAAGACGAGAUAUUGGUGCAAAUGUCUCAUUGUAGUCAAUUCCGGGUUGCUGUGGAUAACCCUUAGCUACUAGUCUCGCCUUGUGUUUCUGUAUGGUGCCAUCAGAGUUGAGUUUUGUCUUAUAGACCCACUUAACCCCAAUGAUAUGUUUUCCAAGGGGACGAUUUACUAACUCCCAUGUGUUGUGAUUAUAGUUUGUGAUUAUAGUUUUACUGGGACAGGUUUAGGUAUGCGUGGGAAAAGAAAAAUCUCAGUGUGAGAGACUUUUUGUCUACCACAGACAUUAUGUUACAAAUCCCAAUGAUGGGAGUGUGUGGAAAUACGUUUCAAACAUCUUGUUUAAAUUUCACGACAAUCCAACGGUUAAUGAGUCUAGGAUCAUUGUUUUGUUGAGACAUAUUUGAGUAUAUACGGAAAAAAUAGAGGAUUUUGGGAGGAGAGAAGGAAAAACGAAUUUGAGAGAAAGAGAACACGUAAUUUAUUUAAUAAUGUAUCGUUAGUCUGAAAACUAUUUAUUUUUUUAUUUAUUUUAUAAAAAAAAACUUUAUUUUAUUUCCUAUUAAAUGAAUAAAUAUGGUGUUACAUAGACAAACACAAAUAGGGUUGUUGGGACAUACUAAGUCAGUUUCCUUUUGGUUAUGAUUCUUUGAUAUUGUGCUGUCAAGGUUAUAUUAUUUUGUUUUGAAAUUAAUAUUCAAUGGUUAAAUGCCUCCUGAGUAUGCUGGGUGCGGGCAUUUCUUCAUGAAAUCAGAGAUUUUAAGAGUCAACAAAAACAGAGGAUUUUCAUGCCCAGACUACUACAAUAAUGUUCUAGGACAUGUAACCAUACUGGUAUGACUAUGUUGCUAAUUUGUAUAAAGAAUUAUUUCUGACCAAAUAAUUUAAAUUUUUUCCAUCUUAGGCAUGGAAAUUAUGGAGAGAAGAGAGGAAGCUGAACUGUUGGAUGAAGUAUUAAAAGAACAGUGCAUGUUCUCUGAAGUCAUACGAUACAUACAAGUAGCAUUAUUAUGUGCAUGCAACAAAGACUAGAAGAUAGGUCAUACAUGUCUUCAAUGUUUUUAAAUUUUAAUGUUGAAUUAUGAUAAAUUAUUGCCAAAGCCAAAAGUUCCUGGCUUUUACACUGAAAUAAAUGUGACAUCCGAGGCAAAUUCUCUGUUAGCAAAUCCCAUACUGUGCUCACUUAAUGAGGUUUCAUUCACAAUUUUAGAUGCAGGAUAAGAAAUGGAGGCAAGAAAAUGUUAAAGAUUCACCUUCCAAUUCAAGAUAUAUGGUAAUUUGUUUGAUCAUAAAUAUUAAAGGUUCUUGUACGAGCUCCUACUUUGUAUCAUCUUUUAGUUUCUAAAAAUUACAAAUGUUAUUGCUUAUAGUCUUAAGCAUGAGACUAAAAUUAUAUCAUUUAUGGAAAGCUAGUUUCAUCUUAUUGUUUUUUCUGUUCAUGUUAUUUUCUCUUAAAUAUGCUGCAGUUGUUGCAUGCACUGUACAACAGAUAAUCACCUAAAAAUAAUCAGUUGUUCCCAGUCAAUUUCUGGUUGGGACCUUAAUAUGUACCUCGACCACAUUUUUCUUUGGUGAACAAGCUCAGAAUUUGGGAUCUCCAUGUAAGCCAAAAAUUUUCUUUGGGGAAGAUCCUAACUUAAUGCACCCAAAGAUUAGGGAAUAAAUAGCUGAGCAUGAGGAGUAUAAAGUGAAGGAAGAAAGCAAGAUUUUGAGAAAAAUGAUAAUAUCUACAAUUUGGGCCUAUAGAAUGACCCUACAUCAACCAUUUAUUUUAAGCCACAAACUGCCAAUAUAUCACCAGAAAUUAUACAAGCUACAAAUAAAGCAAAGGAACAAUGACACGAUUUACAAAAGAGUUGUUCACUCAACUCAAGAAUUAGAACGAUGCAGCAUGAAGGGAAACUGAUGCAAAUUCUUUAUAACCUCGCUAACAAAAUUAUUUUUAUUGGUUAUCAUAAGAUCCUUGUGCCGGUACGCAGGCAUACAAUUCUUUCUCUUUUGGUUGUAAUGUAUACUAGAGGAUUGAACAAUUUUUUUUUAGCCCUUUUAUGUAAACUUGAACAAUGCCAGAGAAUUUUAUGUCUGGCAUGCUUUUUCUGUAUCUAAAUCAGUAUAAUAUUAGGAUCUUUCUGGCGCUUUGUUAGUUUACCGUUGUAUAAUGUACCAAUCACAUUUUAUUCAAGUCAUAUUAGUCAUGACAGUAUGAACAGAAGUUAAUAAAAUAAUUCCUGAUCAAUCAAUCAAUGAAAUAAUCAGAACAUAAAAUCUAGGAAAAAGAUUUCAGAUCAUAUCUUUGUUUUCUGUUUUCAAGUUUUAUAUGCUUCAAAAAAUAGAAUGUUUCAGAUUUUGAUCCAAAGAGCCAUUUCCCUGCCUCUGUCAUUUGAUGGCUUGACUAGUCUCAAAGAUUUUGAUUCAUGAGAAAACAAUAGGUCAAAAACUGACACUACCCAACAUUAUUUGAUGCAAUGUUUUGAAAACUAGAUUGAAGAUUGAACAGACAAUGGUUUUUAUUUUGAUACAUGGUAUCACAAUAAUUUAGUUUUCUUCUUUUUUCAUGUCUUAUGUGUAAAAAUAUACAUACACUGAUCUAAACAUGCAAAUAAAUUUAAAUAGCAUAUUUAGAUCAAACAGCGGAAAUUAAAAGGAAUUACAAGUGUACCUCCAGCCAUUGCAAAUCGAACGGGAAGCGGCUCACACACGAACCUGAAAGACAGUUUUGUUCUUCCAGACCCUUACUCACUCUGAAUAGAUGGUGUAUUUUUUUCUGAAUAGAGAAGUGGGUUUGGUGAUACAAAACUGAGAGCACCCCAUCCUAUUUAUAGAGUCUGUCCAUCACAGAGCUCUCUCAACUUGUUAUCAGAACGUGAGAUAGGGAGUUAUCAGACGUGAGAUAAGAAGUUAUCAGUACGUGAGAUGAUGGGUACGUGAUUUGUUACUGAAGGUGGUUGCAAAUAUAUUUUGCAAAGAUAUGGGAUGAAUGUGGAUGAAAAAUGGACCAUAUUCAAAAUAACUAAUUUUUUUAAAAAUAAUAAAAUUAAUUAAUUAAAAGAACGUGGAGGUGAACGUGCACUUCCAACAUUCUCCCACUUGGUCCAUUUAACCCAACAUCAACCGUAACAAGAAACAUAAUAUAUGAGUCAUGGCGAUAGGUCCUCUGAUGAUGAGUAGUAUCUUCCAUGUACCACAAUAUAUCAAGUCUCUCAACACUAGCUCUCAACUUAAUGAAUAAACCAUAUGUUUAUUCUAUAUCUAAAUCGAAUGAUUUUUCUCGAAAUAAAUAAAUAUGUGCACAAAACGAUAUGAGAAAAUAUCUAACUGAAUAAGAGUUUCAUUGAAAAUAACAAAUGUACGUACAAUGAAAUUACAUCAUGGAACCAAGUCCCAUUCGUACUACAUGAUCCUUAAAAUUCUUUGGUGGCAUGCCUUUAGUUAAAGGAUCAGCAAUCAUUAACUCAGUGUUGACGUGUUCAAUGACCACUUUCUUUUCUUUAACACGUUCUCUUAUGGCUAAGUACUUGAUGUCGAUGUGCUUACUUCGACUUCCACUUUUGUUAUUUUUAGCCAUAAACACCGCAGCAAAGUUGUCACAAUACAACUUUAAUGGCCUAGAAAUAGAGUCCACAACUCUAAGGCCAGAUAUGAAACUCUUCAACCAUACACCAUGCGAGGUAGCCUCAAAACAAGAAAUGAACUCAGCCUCCAUAGUGGAAGUAGCAGUCAAGGUUUGUUUGGCACUUCUCCAAGAUACAACUCCACUGGUUAACAUAAAAAUAUAACCAGAUGUUGAUCUUCGUGAAUCAACGCAACCAGCAAAGUCUGAGUCGGAGUAGCCAAUCACUUCCAGACAAUCAGUUUGUCUGUACAUGAGCAUGUAAUCUUUUGUUCCUUGAAGAUAUCUCAUCACUUUCUUUGCAGCUUUCCAGUGGUCAAUACCUGGAUUACUUUGAUAUCUUCCCAAAACUCCAACAGCGAAUGCAAUAUCAGGUCUAGUGCAAACCUAAGCAUACAUAAGGCUUCCGACUGCUGAAGCAUAUGGAAUAUUUUUCAUGUGUUCCCGCUCAAAAUCAUUUUUGGGGCAUUGACUCAAAGCAAGUUUGUCACCCUUCACAAUGGGAGCUACACUUGGUGAACAAUCUUUCAUAUUAAAUCUCUCUAAAACUUUGUUGAUAUAGGUUUCUUGAGACAAGCCUAAAAUGCCUCGAGAUCUUUCUCUAUGGAUCUUUAUGCCUAUGACAUAAGAUGCCUCUCCCAUAUCCUUCAUAUCAAAGUUCUUUGAGAGAAAUUGUUUCACCUCAUAUAGCAUACCCUUAUCAUUAGUCGCAAGCAGAAUGUCAUCUACGUAUAAUACAAGGAAACAAAUCUUACUCCCACUAACCUUCUGGUAUAUACAGUGAUCCAUGACAUUCUCUUCAAAGCUAAAUGAAAAAAUGACCUCAUGAAAUUUUAAAUACCAUUGGCGGGAGGCUUGUUUCAAUCCAUAGAUGGACUUAUUAAGCUUGCAGACUAAGUGCUCACCAACACUAGAUAAGAAUCCCUCAGGUUGUUUCAUGUAAACCUCUUCUUCUAGAUCACCAUUCAGGAACGCCGUUUUCACAUCCAUUUGAUGCAGCUCAAGAUCAAAAUGAGCUACUAAUGCCAGAAUUACUCGAAGAGAGUCUUUCUUAGAUACAGGGGAAAAGGUCUCUCUGUAAUCGAUUCCUUCUCUUUGAGUGAAUCCUUUAGCAACAAGUCUUGCCUUAUGUCUCUCAAUGUUGCCUUCUGAGUCUUUCUUUGUUUUGAAGACCCAUCUACAUCCGAUGGCUUUUACACCAACAGGCAACUCAACGAGAUCCCAAACUUGGUUAGAUGCCAUAGAAUCCAUCUCAUCCCUCAUAGCAUUAUACCACAAAUUUGAUUCCUUAGAACUCAUGGCUUGUGAAAACGUCUCAGGAUCAUUUUCGGCUCCAAUGUUGUAGUCUGAUUCUUGUAGGUACACUACAUAAUCACUAGGAAUUGCUGUCUUUUUUAUUCUAGUAGAUCUUCUUAAUGUUGUUUGGUCAUCUUGCUGAGGAACUUGUUCAACUGGUUCUUCACCAGUUUGUUCAAUAUCAUCAUGUUGUUCCUCACAAACAACUCGAUCUACAUGAUCACUUUCAACAGCUUGUGGAACUUCAAUCACUGGUUGUCUAACACCCAUUUUAACUUGAGGGGUGGGAAUGACUACCAACCUAUUACUUGUCCCAGAAGGUUCAGCUUCACAGUGAUCCCUUUCAGAAGAAAUGUUCUGAAAUUGAUCACUCUCACUGAUCAAGUCAUUUUCAAGAAACUUUGCAUUCCUUGAUUCCACAAUCCUAGUGUUGUGGGAUGGACAAUAGAACCUAUACCCUUUAGACCUUUCAGCAUAUCCAAUGAAAUACCCAGUAAUAGUCUUAGGGUCUAGUUUCUUCUCUUGUGGAUUAUAGAUUCUUACUUCAGACGGGCAUCCCCAAACGCGUAUAUGUCGCAAACUUGGUUUCCAUCCCUUGAAUAAUUCAAAAGGUGUCUUUGAGACAGCCUUGGUUGGAACUCGGUUUAAUAUAUACGCAGCCGUCUUAAGAGCAUCAAUCCACAAAAAUUGAGGAAGCUUUACAUUACUCCUCAUGCUUCUCACCAUGUCUAAUAAGGUUCGAUUUCUUCGUUCUGCCACACCAUUCUGAUCCGGAGAACCAGGCAUAGUGUAUUGGGCAACAAUCCCAUGUUCUUGAAGAAAUUUCGCAAAUGAACCUGGUGUUUGUCCAUCCUCUGUGUAUCUACCAUAGUACUCCCCACCUCUAUCUGAUCUCACGAUCUUAAUUUGUUUUCCACAUUGUUUCUCAACUUCAGCCUUAAAAACUUUAAAGGCAUCUAAAGCUUCAUUCUUAGAAUGAAGUAAGUAGAGAUACAUAUAUCGUGAAUAAUCAUCUAUAAAGGUUAUGAAGUAUUUCGGACUAUUUGCAUCCAUGUCUGGACAACAUAUGUCUGUAUGUAUGAUUUCUAAUAAAUUAGAACUCCUCUUUGCACCCUUUUUAGACUUGUUAGUUUGCUUACCCUUAAUGCAAUCUACACAAGUCUCAAAAUCAGCGAAAUCCAAAGUACUAAGUACUCCUUCAUUUACUAAUCGCUUGAUUCUUUCAAUAGAGAUAUGUCCUAAUCUCCGGUGCCACAACAUAGAGGAUUCUUCAUUCACAAUACAUCGUUUUAACCCAACAGAAACGUGCAUAGAAGUAGCGUCAUUUUGCAAUUCAAUCGAAUAAAGACCAUCAACCAAUUGACCACAACCAAUAAUUUUAGAUUUAUUUAGUAAAUUAAAACCAAAGUUUGUAAAAUUAAAAUAAAAUCCCAAAGGUGCAAGUUUAGAAACAGAAAUUAAGUUUUUACAGAAACUAGGAACAUAAAAAACUUUCUCCAAAUGUAAUUUAAAGCCACUACUUAAGACUAAGACGCACGUUCCAAUGGCCUCUACAUGUGAGCUCAUCCUACUCCCUGAGUAGAUGCACUGCUCACUUCCCACUGGCUUCCUUAGGCUUUCCAUACCCUGCAAGGUAUUAAAAACAUGGAUUGUAGAACCAGAGUCAAUCCACCAUGUAUUAUGAUUCACAUUAAUCAUAUUAGAUUCAUAACAAACAAAGGCAAAUGGUGUACCUUUCUUCUCAAACCAACUUUUAACUUUGGGGCAGUCCUUCUUCAUGUGUCCUUUCUUUUUACAGAAGAAACACUUUGACUCAUUUUUAAUUGUUGGUUGAGUCAGAAUCUUUCCUUUAUUGGUGCCUACAGACUUCUUCCUAUCCUUUCCAGAAUUAGAAGUAGUCAAAUUUACCUUCUCACCCUCUUCCAUUAUCAAUCUCUCCUCUUCUUGAACACACAUGGUCAUCAAUUCAUUAAUAGACCAUUUAUCCUUAUGUGUGUUGUAGGAGAUUUUGAAGGGUGUAUACUGUUGAGGUAGGGUGCACAAAAUGAAAUGUACCAGGAAGGAUUCAGACAUGGUAACUUCCAAGGUUUUCAACUGAGCCACUAUGUCCCUUAAGCGCAUGAUAUGUUCACGCACACCUCUCGUUCCAGUAAGCUUAAUGGAAGAGAAUUGCAUAAUGAGUGUGCUAGCAAGUGACUUCUCAGAGGUUGUAAACUGUUCAUCAAUGGCUUUCAACAGAUCUCUGACCUUAUCAUACUGGUCAACUGAACCCCGGAUACUAGCGGAUAUGUUGGUUUUUAUGAACAUAACGGAGAGACGAUUAGAUCUCUCCCACUUUUCAUAAAGAUCAACAGCAUCAGGUUCGCUAGUUUCAGUAAUAGCCGGUGGCUCAUCCUUCCUUAUAGCAUAGUCAAUAUCCAUCCAGCCCAAAUGAAGGAGAACUCUUUCCUUCCAAACCUUAUAAUUAUCACCUUUCAAAAUGGGAAGGUCACAAGAAAUAUUCAUAGAUUGUGAAACUGCAAACAAACACACAUGCUCAUUAAGAAAAUUUGAGACUAAACAAAUGUCAUGUUUUGCCAAUGCAAAUCAUGUCUCAAUAUAUGAAUCUAGUGACACAAAACUUGCCUGUGGGCUAAAGUCCUACUCAAUUAGAUUCAUCAUGCAACUUUAUGAUAAAACUAUUAAAUCAUGUUCUUUUCCUUAAUUCCUGUGGGUAAAUUAAGAAAUAUAAUUUAAUAUUUUAUCCUAAUUAAUCAUACAAAUAUAACAAAAUUCCUGUGGGUAGAUUUCAUCACAUUACAUAUGAUUAAUCACAAUUAAUAUUUCUAAUGUGAUUAUAAAUUUAGUAUAUAAUUUUACUCAAUUAAAGAUGCUGUGGCUAUUCUCUAAUUUAAUAAAAUUAUAUUAAUCACUUAACAUUAAAAAAUAAUCCUUGCAUAAACAUACUUAAUAAUGCAAAUGUGCUCAAUAUUGAAUCAUAAAAAAUUACAUGUAUACCAAUAACAUUGCACGUAUAUUCAUUAAACAUGUAAUAAACUUUAAAGGAUUAAAUCCAAUGCAUACCAGUAUUUAACAUAAUAUUGCAUGUUCAACCUAACUUAAGAGACAAACAAUUUUUAAAAAGUUUGUGCAUAAAUGAUUUAUCCUUCAGAAGUUAUAAAUACACGUAAACUGCAAUUAAUAACCAAUUAAAUUGCAGUAGCUUAGCGGCAAAGGGAGUCCUUCCAUGCUUGUAGGGUGAGGGUUCGAAACCAGCAUAAGGCGUUUUCGUUUCAUUUAUACUUCCUUUUAAUUAAUUAAAACGAAAACAAACAACAAAAGGCAGCAACAAGAUUCGAACCCAAAACAAUAAGGUAAUACACAUCACAUCUACCACUAGACCAAGUCGUGCUUUGUUUAAUAUUGUUAAUUUAAAAUGUAUAUUAACAAUUCCAACACAGUAAACAAAACCCACAAGACUUCGUCUUCAACCUCCAGCAGUGGUAAAAAAAAAAUAUAUUAUUACCUCAAUUUCGAAAAACCCACACAUUAUAUGCAUUUUAGACACCCAAAAAUACGUUUUAAAUCAUAGAAAAAUUAGAAAACUCACAUCAUUCCUAAUUUUAAUGUUAUUUUGAAUUAAGGAGGCUUAAAACAUAACACCCAUAUACUCAGAAAAUAAACUCCACAUAGGAACGACCCAAUAAGCAAGACAGAGGUACAAAUAGGCUCUCAUACCAAAUGUAAAAAUAUACAUACACUGAUCUAAACAUGCAAAUAAAUUUAAAUAGCAUAUUUAGAUCAAACAGCGGAAAUUAAAAGGAAUUACAAGCGUACCUCCAGCCAUUGCAAAUCGAACGGGAAGCGGCUCACACACGAACCUGAAAGAUAGUUUUGUUCUUCCAGACCCUUACUCACUCUGAAGUGUAUUUUUUUCUGAAUAGAGAAGUGAGUUUGGUGAUACAAAACUGAGAGCACCCCAUCCUAUUUAUAGAGUCUGUCCAUCACAGAGCUCUCUCAACUUGUUAUCUCAACUUUGUUAUGUUAUCAGAACGUGAGAUAGGGAGUUAUCAGACGUGAGAUAAGAAGUUAUCAGUACGUGAGAUGAUGGGUACGUGAUUUGUUACUGAAGGUGGUUGCAAAUAUAUUUUGCAAAGAUAUGGGAUGAAUGUGGAUGAAAAAUGGACCAGAUUCAAAAUAACUAAUUUUUUUAAAAAUAAUAAAAUUAAUUAAUUAAAAGAACGUGGAGGUGAACGUGCACUUCCAACAUUCUCCCACUUGGUCCAUUUAACCCAACAUCAACCGUAACAAGAAACAUAAUAUAUGAGUCAUGGCGAUAGGUCCUCUGAUGAUGAGUAGUAUCUUCCAUGUACCACAAUAUAUCAAGUCUCUCAACACUAGCUCUCAACUUAAUGAAUAAACCAUAUGUUUAUUCUAUAUCUAAAUCGAAUGAUUUUUCUCGAAAUAAAUAAAUAUGUGCACAAAACGAUAUGAGAAAAUAUCUAACUGAAUAAGAGUUUCAUUGAAAAUAACAAAUGUACGUACAAUGAAAUUACAUCAUGGAACCAAAGAGGAAAAGUGAACCCGAUCGACUAGACCGCACAGGAAGCAAAGCGGAAGUCAUGAAUCUGAAUUUAUGGUCGUUAAGCGCAAUUAUUAGGAAGCUAUGUGAAGAAUCUGCAAAGAAAAACCCAAAAUCACAAUUAGUGGGUUUUUUUAUAUAUAAUUUAUAUUAUCUUCAGUAGAAAGGAGAGUGAAAAAAAUAGAUUUGGCGUUCUGCUUUUGCAACUUCACCCACCACGCUUAAGACCGAAUUGGAAAUUGGCACUAGCUUCUUAAUAAAGGAAUCGUGGAAAAUAAAGUCUGACUAUUUAGCUUAUAAAUUAAAUUUAAGAUAAAAUAUUGAAUUUGAUCUCUAAUAAAUAUUUAAUUUUUUAUAUUUUUUAAUAAUUUUUUUAUUUUUAUUCUUUGGUAAAAAAAUAUUUUUGGUUUUUAGUUUUCUGAUAUUUUUUACUAAAAUAUAUUUGUAAUCUCUAAUAAAUAUUUAAAUUAUUUAUUUAUUUAUUUUCUAUUUUAUUAUUUACAUUGAGUUCUAAAUAAAAAAAUAUUUUUAUUUUUUAUUCAUAAUAAUUUUUUAAUUCCUAAUAAAUUAAAAAAAUUUGGUAUUUGUUCCCGUAUUUAUUUUUAUGUUAUUUAUCUUUUUAAAGGAAUUAAUGACAAAUAAUUUCUUUUACCAGGGAGCAAAUAAAAUAUUUCUAAUUUAUCGUAACUAAAAAAAUAUUUCAACGAUAAAAAUAAAUUGUUAUUUUUAUCAAAGAAUAAAAAAAUAUAAAUUUUUUUUUAUUAAAAAGUAAAUAUAAAAUUUAGAUAUUUAUUGGAGAUCAUAAACAUAUUUUAAUUUUUUUAUUAAUUCUUUUAAAAAAGAUUAAUAACAAAAUAAAUAAAAAUAAAAAUAUCAUUAAUUUAUCAUAAAUUAAAAAUAUUAAUAAACAAAAAUAAAAUUACUGUAUGAAAUCAAUAUAGAUAAAAAAAAUAUCAUUAAAAAACAAACAUUCAAAUAUUUAUUAAAAAUGAAAACAUAGCCUCUUGAAUUUAUAACUUCAUGUGAACGAUUACUUUAAUUAAUGAUGAUAAACUUUCAGCGUGUCUCACGGUAACUUUAAAUAAGUGACGCGGUUUCUUGCGGAUCCCAACAUAUGACAAGUGGGGGAAGAAGCUGCCAAGAAAAACUCCUCAUUUUCAGUGUCCAUGCUUUCUUUGUAUCCAUAAACCAUAUAUGUUAACUUUAAUAAAUAAAAAAAUUAGGUUAAAAUAAAGUAUUAUUAUAUAUCUUGAGUUGAAUAAGAACAAGGGAAAAAUAAAGUAAAAAUACAAAAACAAAAAAUCAAACAAAUAAAGAGGAAAAGCGACGCAUCAAAAUAGGUAACGCGAUUUCUGCGGACCCCAACAUAUGGCAAGUGGGGGAAGAACCUGCCAAGAAAAACUCCUCAUUUUCACUAUCGAUGCUUUCUUUGUAUCCAUAAACCAUAUAUGUUAACUUUAAUAAAUAAAAAAAUUAGGUUAAAUUUACACAUUUUUUUCUAUAAUUUUAGGAUUAGUAUAUUUUUGUUUCUAUAAUUUAAAAAUAAUUUUUUUGGACUUAUCAUUUAUAUUUAAUUUUUUAAUCUUAUAUUUAAAAGUAAUAUUUUUAGUUAUUAUAGUUUAAAAAUUAUUUUUUUAGUUUUCAUAAUUUAUAUUUUAAUUAUCUUUUAAUUUUUCUUAAAAAAUAUAAAAAUAAUUUAUUAUAAAUUAUUUUUUAUCUCAUAUAUGAUAAAUUAAAUGUGAAUUACUCGUUAAUAUUUUUGUAAUAAACUAUUAAUAAUAUUAUUUAUAUUUUAAUAAUAAAAAUUUAAAAAAUUAGAAUAUAAAAUAUAUGAAUUAGAAAUAUCACUUUUAAACCAUAGAUACUAAAGUAAAAUUAAAAUAAAAAACAUAAAAACUAAAAGAAUAACUUUUAAACUAUACAUGCUAAAAUAAAAUUAAAAUAUAAAUUAUAAAAAAAUAAUAAUUUUAUAACUAUAAAGAUUAAAAGAUAAAUUAUAGAAAUAAAAUGAGUAAUUAAAAGAUUUUGAAGUCAAAACUGCAUGAGUAUAGGUUCGUCGUGUCUUGGUUUGUUUAAUUUAUGGUUUUUAUCUACUUUUUGUUCUGAUUCCCUUACUUGAAACAUAACCCUUUGCCUACGUUUUCUUUUUUCUUUCCAAAACGUCUAUGAUUAUAUAUUUGUGCCGUAGCAGUGGCUCACUAGGUGUUUCAUGGCAUCUCCUAUAUUAUUUUCAAAGUGUUCUGCCUCUCUAUGUUGUUUGGAUUUAUAUCUACUUGGUGUAUAUAUACAUUUGUUUUUAUGUACUUGGUCUAUAUAUACAUUUGGUGAUAAUUGUCUAUUUUAUUUGUGUGUGUUCUCUUUGCAACAUAGACUGAUACUUUUUGUUAUUCCCCACUAUGUGCUUCAGACAGUGUAUGUCCACAGUUUGAGGUAAAGUGUUUUGAUUCCCUUACUUGAAACAGAACCCUUUGCCUACAUUAUUGGUUUUUUUUGCCUUUCCAAUCCUUCUAUGAUCAUACAUUUGUGCCGUAGUAGUGGCCCACUAAGUGUUUCAUGGCCUCUACUAUGUUGUUUGCAAAGUGUUCUACCUGUCUAUGUUGUUUGAAAACAAACUGAGGCCUUUUGUUAUUCCCCAUUGUUUGCUUCAGACAUUGUAUGUCCAUAGUGUAUUGUGUUUUAUAAAUUAUUCGUUCGUAUUUAUAAAGAAAAUAUUGUGUUUUAUUUGUGGCGAUGUCUCGCAAGGAAAACCUGAUAUCUGAAUGGUAGCAGUAUGAAUCACUGAUAUGUGGCAUGUUAACAAGCACAAUGGCAGGCAAGCAAUUAAGAUGGUGUUGAUGGACCAAAUAACGAUUUUGCUGUUAUUUGAUAUAUUGUAAUUGAGUACAUUCGUUUCAGUGCUUUGAUACAUUCAUGAGUUUCAUUCCUGACUCUUGUAGGGUGCAAUGAUUGGCGUCACUCUAUGGCAAUAACUAUUUGCUGAAUUUGAGGCAAAGUUGCAUUGUGGUUCUGCAUAUUUGAUUCAGAACAUUAAAGUUGUUGACAAUCAUUCUACAUACAAAGUAAGUACGAUUUCAUUUGUGGUUUACCUAGUCAAAACAACUUUUGUGAAGGAGGCUGAACGUCCUGAGAUUCCUCCUAAUGUCCAUGUUAUAACUCAAUUUGUUGAUUAUUGCUGGGGUAGUACCGCAUGAUACUUUAGUUGGUAUGUGCUUUAGUCAAUUUCAGGCAUGGACAAUAUGAUAAUUUGUGAAGAAUACUUACAAUUGUGUUUUUUAAAUAGAUGUUGUUGGUGUUGUGGUCAUAGUCAUUGAGCAUAAAACAAUUAAUCCUACAUAUAGAGCUACAAUCAAGUUGAGAGACAACAAGUAUUGUUGAUGCCAUUAUUUUUUAAGACAUGUUUAGAUAGGUACCAUUAGAAGUAGUCUUCUUUUGUAAUAUUUUAAUUUAAUGUUUAACUAUAUAUGUUUUGUUUUGUUAUAGUGAUGGUGAGAUGAUCAUGACCGUGUAGGAGGAAUAUGCUUUUCAGCUUGAUGAUGCUAUCGAGAAAAAUCAUUUUGUUAGAAAGCCAUUGGUGGUUAUGUUAACACGUGGUUAAAAUCAAGGAUCCUAAAGGUCAUUCUAAUGGAGUUUUCUAUUUCUUUCAGAUUGCGUUCAAUUUAUUAUAUGAAUGCAUUUUACAUGUAACUAUAACAUUAUUUGCAGACAAGUAUCCCUUCAAUGUCCAAAAUAUCAAGCACGGGUCAAAGUUGUAUGUCAACAUUGAUAUAGCAAAAAUCCAAGAAUUCCAUAAUAGGUACAAUGCAUAUGUUUUUUGGAACACUCAAAUUUGACCUUCAUCUUUUGUUGCAUGCUCAUAAUAAAACCAAAAUUUAUUCAUGUUGAUGAAUGCAUAUUAGAUGUAGGUACGUUGUUCUAUUCUGGCAGAGUAUCAAAUGAAGGAAGUGUUUCUCAAUCACAAUAUAUCCAAUAUUCCCAACGAAACUCGGUUGAAAAGUUCUUGCAUAAUGCUCAAAUGGUUAGGUUAGGUGAAAUAAGCAGACUGAGACAGGUAACAAGUUUAACUAUCAAAUUAAUGACCCUGUUAUUUGAAUAACUGUUAUCAAAAUUAAUAAUUCAUUCAUUUAUGUUUUGCAUGUACUGAUUUAGGACUGUUACUAUUUGAUCGUUGGUACGGUGGAUGAAGUCAUCAUUGAUACACCAUGGAGUUAUGAUAAUUAUCCCUAUUGUACUAUGACAUUUGAUCCAUUGAAAAUUGGUGUCAAUUUUUGUUCGUGCUAGAACCAAGUUACUCACACCAUUCCAAGGUAACUUAUAUGUCUCCCCAAAUUUCCAACAAAGUCAAUUCCAAUGAGUUAUUAUGUAUAUUAUUUCAAUGUUUAUUAAAAGGGAUAUUGUUGUGUUAGGUAUAAGUUAGUUCUAAAAAUGGAACAGAAUGGGGAGAAGACUAACUUCCAUUUCUGGGAUGCAACAUGUAUCAAAAUCUUUAACAAAACGGCCGAUCAAUGUUGCCAAGAGUUGAUUGCAGUAUGUUUUCUAAAUUAGAAUCAUCCAUGUAUGUUAUCUAUAUUCAUAUUGCAUUUAAUUUGUUUAUUUAUUCAUAGAGUGGCGAUGAGAUCAAGGUUUUCCCUCCCUAUUUUGAUGAAUUAUUGGGAAAGACUUGGGCUAUCAAGUUUUAGUACCAUGCACGAUGCUCAAAAAGGCCUACAAUGUGUUGCUGAACCUUGGUACCAAUAUUUGAGAGACAAUGCCUUUAGUGUUGGAGAUGAGAUAUGUUUCUACUUCAGGCCUAAUAAAAAAGUAUGAAAGUUGAUAAUCAGAAAACAGUUGGCUUGGGAUGACAGUGACUCCAAUUGAAGAUGGCAAUUCAGUAGCUUAUUUUAGAAUUGUUUGUUGGUGAAAUUAUUAUGUGUCUAUGCUAAAGUACUUCUAUGUUGUAAUUCAAUUACCUAGCAUUGCCAGACAAUGUUUCCUUUUGGUAUUUACGACUAUCUGAACAACGUUACAAAACUAUAUGGUCAUUUACUAUUUGUUGAAAUAUAUAACUUUCUUUUGGAUAUAUUCAUAUUUUGGUAUAUAGUAUUAAUUUGUGCAAUCCAAAAGAACACUGAACCCUAUCAAUGGUUGUUACAUAUAUCAAUGCUAUCCAAAAAGUUUUAAAUCUAGUAUAUAAGAAGAUUUUGCUAUAAACAUUGUUUGUAAAACUUUGUAUUUUGAAAUCAACAAGUUUAUCAAUAAUGCAUGUUUAACACAAAUAAGACUAAUAAAUUAACAAACACACCAAAGAUUUCGACGAAACACAAAUUCAAUAAAAUAUAACAAAUGUAUUGAAUAAAACAUUUUUGUGAAAGCUAUCAACACAAGUAAUGAAAAGUAGUUACCAAAUUACUGUAGUGUUGAUAGAAGUCUCAGCCUAAACCACACAAAUGUCUAAUCAUAGAUUUGGUGGGAAACAAAAAUACGCGAGGGAAUGCACAAGUCACCCUUCUUCCUUUUCUUUACUAGCUUCUCAUGACUAUCAAUGGUGAACAAUAUCAAAAUCUUCACCCAACUUCUACAACAUCAAUUCUCAUUCAAUAGCAGGUAAAAGCUAGAUGAUGAUAAAUGAUGAACGAAAUGGGAAGCCAAAAAGCAAGAUUACCACAACAUCACAACUUACCUCCAACAUGAACAACAAAAGAUAUAUUUUUUACUCCAAAAUCUGAAGGAAAUUUUCUAUAUUUAUACAAUUUAUUAUAUGUUAUACUUAAUAUUCUAACAACCAUUCAUGUACCAUUAUUUGUUCUGAAACAAUAUCAUGUGGCUACUAUUCGUACAUUGCUAGAUAUAUGGAAGUAAUACUACAUGUUGCAGGAUUAUAUGUUGCACCUAAAUUCUUAUUUUCAAAGAAUAAAAAAAUGUUGUAGAAUACUUUAACAACUGAAAGUUCAAAUGGAAAAUUCUGCUCAACAAAGGAAAAAUAGAAAACACAUUUUGCAAAAAAGAAGACAAGGUUCUAACACUCCACAUCAACAUUUAGCAAAUGGUAACAAUGACUACAAACCCCCAAUUGACGUGUACAUAUUUCAAUAAAUACUAAUUCAAAUAUAAACACUGUUAUUGCAGAAAAAACGUAAGCGUAUUUCAACAUGUCACCCACACUUUAUUGAUGACAGUCCUACACUACAUAUACAGUGUACACCUUUGGCAAACAUCACUUCAUCUUCGAAUUAGUCCCACCAACAUUACACUAGGGAAUUUCAAAUUGGACGAAAGCAUACUAUCAACCAUUUAUUUUAAGCUACAAACUGCCAAUAUAUCACCAUAAAUUAUACAAGCUAGCACGCAAGCAUACAAGAAGAUCUCUGGAUCAUUGUUUGAUUGGUACAAUACAGUUAAAUUUAUGAUUAAACUGCAAUUAAACUUUAGUCGAAUUGGAUACGUAGAUUGUUCAUGAUCCAACCAGUACAUUAUAUUGAACAUCUCCCAAGUUUAAUUUCUUCAUGGUGAUAUGUAAUAAUCCAUUCACCGGAUCUCAUCACACAUUUCACAUCCUUGUCUCAGCUCUUGCAUUCUAUGGAAUGGAAACACUUUUGAUGCGAUUAUUAUUUGAAUACAAGUUCCCUCCUGCAUGAAUAAUUUUUAUAAACCUUGCAGUAUUAUAAUAAUAACUUUCAGGGUUCUAUUCGUAAUGGACCAUUAAGUAUAGUCAAAUUGAGGAAUGGCAAAACUUAGACUACAUCAAAUGUCUUACUGAUAAGAAAUGUGUAAGUAUCUUCUCUAAUUGUAGCAUCCAAGUUCUCUAAAUGUGUAAGUAUUUUCUUCCAAGAGCUUGUGUUAAUACUGAAGAUUUGAGUCUAGCUGACUUGAUUUAAUAAUAAUCUGCAACAAUCUAUAAAUUAUUAUAUUCAGUGGCAAAAAAAAUAGGAAACCUAAAAUAAGUGUACAAAAACAAAUUAUUAGCUUAAGACCCACAAGGCUUGAAGAAUGAAAAUUCUAAGACGCAAUUAUUAGCUUUGUACAAAACAAAUUGGAAAAACAAAGAAAGAAGCGUUUCUUUCUACAAUUAUUAGCUUUAUAUUUCUUCACUGCCGACCGCCGACAGUAAUUGUCCUCGCUUUCAGAUUCUGCAAUAGCAAUGACUUCUAACACCACUAUCCAAAAACAUUUAAAAUUACUUGGUUGAAACAUAUAAAAAAUACUAAAAGUAAAAAAUCUUAAAAGUUCAGGCACAAAAAUAUAAUUUAUUAUUAUUUUUUGCAAAUGUUUUAUCUUAUUUUUCUACAAAGACUAGCUAAGACCAAACACAACCAAAUUUACAUAAACUUUAAAUAUUUUUAAUAAUAAUGAUAAUAAUACAAUUAAAUAUAAAUGAGUCACAUCUUGAAUGCCUAAAAAUAAAAAUAAAAACGCGUUAGCAUUAAUAUCUAUUGUCUUCACUAGAAAAAACCGGACAAUGAAAAAAACAAAGAGGAAAAAGCCAGACAAUAAAAACGCGUUAGCAUUAAUAUCUAUUGUCUUCACUAGAAAAAACCGGACAAUGAAAAAAACAAAGAGGAAAAAGCCAGACAAUAAAAACGCGUUAGCAUUAAUAUCUAUUGUCUUCACUAGAAAAAACCGGACAAUGAAAAAAACAAAGAGGAAAAAGCCGGGCAAUAAAAACGCGUUAGCAUUAAUAAUGUUCGAUCAUGCUAGCUUUACAACAAAGAGGAAAACUUAGUCCAACUUGACAGUUCUGCCAGCGAAUUGAAAAUUGACAUUAGCUUCUAAGGGAUGUGUGGAAAAUAAAGUCUUACUAUUUAGCUUAUAAAUUGAAUUUACGGUAAAAUAUCUUUUUAACUUCUAAUAAAUAUUUAAAUUCUAUAUUUUUUUAAAUUUUUUUUUAUUUUUACUCUUUGGUAAAAAAAAAAGCUUUAUUUUUUGGUGUUUUGACACUUUUUUUAGUCUUUAAUAAAUUAAUAAAUAUUAUAUUUUUUCUUAAUAAUUUCUAGUUAAAAUAUAUUUGUGAUCUUUAAUAAAUAUUUAAUUUUUUUUAAUUUUGUGAUAAUUUUAUAUUUACCUUGAGUACCAAAUAAAAUAAUAAUUUUAUUAUUAUAUAUUAAUAUUUUUAAAUUUUAAAUAAAUUAACGAAUUUUGUGUUUAUUCUUAGAUAUUUUCUUCGGAUCUAAAUUUAAGUAAAAAAAUUAAAUUUAAAUAUAAUUAAAUACUAACUAGCUUUUAUCAUAUUUAAUGAUAAUAUUUUUAUUAUCUCUUUCAUUUAAUAAAAUUUUGUCUCCUGUACUGUCCAGGCUAAUUUUAGAAAGAUUUUUUAAAUUAAAUAUUACUAAUUGAAUUUCUUUUCAUUCAUUUGCCAGGUAGUUAAGUUUACUUUAUUUAUGUUAGGGCAAUAUAUCUUUUAUCAUUUUUUAUUAAUCUUUUUCAAAAACAUUAAUAACAAAUGAAUUUUUUUUAUCAUACAAUACAUAAAAAAUUUCGAAUUUUUAAAGUUGAAUUUUACAAUAUUCUACACGAGCAAGAAGAAUAGGAAAUCAUGGUCUUAGAAUAUUUAUCUUUCUUAAAUAGACUAAUAAUGUCAUUCCUAUAACUAUUACUUUUGACUUUAUCUUUCUAUUCUAUGAACUUUCUUUGAUAACUUUAAUUGAUGAUAAUGAACCUUGUAGCAUGUGCGAUGAGCCUAUGCGGACCCCAACAUAUGGCAAGUUGGUAAAGAAGCUGCCAAGAAAAACAUCUCAUCUUCACUGUCCACGCUUUCUUUUUAUUCAUAAACCAUUGAUUUUUUAUUUUUUUUUUAUUUUGCAUAUUCACAGCUUUUGCAAUGGCUUCUAACACCAAGAUCGAACAAAAGAGGAAAAUUAUCCCGAAUUCGAGACAGGGGCAGUGGAAGAAACCAAAAUAAAAUUUUAAAGAGUAAAUAAUCACUUUCAUUUUUCAAUGUGUAAUUCAGUUAUAAAUAAGUUUCUAAAUGAUAAAAAUAUAAAAUUUAGUCUCUGAAAAUGUAAAAAAUGUGAUAAACAUAUCAUGUUGAUAACUUCCGUCCGGCACCACGUUGACACGAAUGGACAAAUCUGAAAUAAUUAUCAAUGUGGAUUGUUAGCAUAAGAACGUAUAUGUUAUAAUAUAUUUUUAUUUUUUGUCUUUCUACUUCACUGACAAAUAUGUCCCUGAAAGAUAAAAUAAUAAAUUUGGACAAUAUAUCAUGACGUUGACUAAUUAUUAUUAUUAUUAUUAUUAUUAUUUUGUAAUUUAGUGUUUGUAUUCGUUUAGUAAUUAUAUAUAAUAUAUUUUUUAAAUUUUCUUUUAAUAUAUAUAUUUUUAUUAUUUUGAUUUUCUUGUCAAACUUUAAUCUUUUUGUUAAAUUUUUUUUAUCAUAUAUCUUAUAAUUUUAUCAAAGUUUUAUUAAAUUUCUCACUUUCAAUCUUUAAAAUUAUUCCAUAUCUCAAUUCCAACUUAAGUAUUCUUAUAUUUAAAUUAAAAAUAAUAUGUUGAGUGUUUUGAGCAGAAAAAACACAAUCAGUCGCGGAAUUAAAUUUGUUUAUUUAUUUAUUUUCAUAAAAGAAUUUAAUCAACUAUUUUUUAAAAAAAUUCUCACAAAAUUUGAACUAGAUAGGGUUAAAGUGGAAUUAUUAGUUUUUGUCCUUAAUCAAUAAAAUGUAUAAAUAUACCUCAAAUAUGAAAGAAUCAUUUGAAUAAACCUUAUUUGUUUCCACUCAAAACAAUAUUUAUUAUAUAUAAUAUGAAUGAAAUGAAAAUACUUACUAACAAAUAAAAAAUCCAAAUAAAUUUAAAUAAAAAAUACGAUAAUACUCAAACUAAUACAGAUGUUAACUUCAACAAAAAAUAGUAUAGAGAGGUUUAUUACAUGUCUUUGAGAGGUAAAGUUGCAUCUCUAGUUGGUUUAGAUGCUAGAACAACUUUGCAUUCUAGUUGAGAUACUCUAUAAGAGUACGUAACAAAGAUUAAUAAAUAAUUGAAAAAACAAAAAAAUUCAAAAAACAAAAGACUUUUCUUUUUUUAAAUGAUAACUCAAUUGAUUAAAUUUUGUGAGACUUCUUUUUAAAAUUCCACUUUAACUUUAUCUAAUUUAAAUUUUGUAAGAUUUUUUUAAAAAAAUGGUUGAUUAAAUUUAUUUUUUUAAAUAAAUAAAUAAAUAAGUUUAAUAUUGUGGUCAGUUGUAUUUUUUCUACUAAAAACUCUCUAACAUAUUAUGUUCAAUCUAAAUAUACGGAUACUUAAGUUGGAAUUGAGAUAUAGAAUAAUUUUAAAAAUUAAAAAUGAGAAAUUUAGUUAAAAUUUGAUAAAUUUAUAAGAUAUAUGAUAAAAAAAAUUUAACAGCAAAGAUUAUUUUUUGACAAUGAAAUCAAAAUAAUAAUAAAAUAUAUAUUAAAAGAUAAUUUAAAAAUAUAUUCCAUAAGUACCAAACGAAUAGAAACACUAAAUUAUAUAAACAAAUAAUAAUAAUGAUAAUAAUAAUAAUAAUAAUAAUAAUAAUAAUUCACAAUCUAUUAUUAACGUCUGAAUACAUUUAUUGUACUUUUUAUAUUUUCAGGAAUGCAUUUGUCAGUAGGUGAAAAGACGAAAAAUCAAGAAAAUAUUAUGAUAAAUAUGUCCUUAUGCUUACAAUCCAGGUUGACAAUCAUUUCACUAAUAAAUUUGUCCAUUCGUGCCACUUAGGUUAGACUACUUUAUCAAAGGUAACGGAAAGAACAAGAUAUAUUUAUCAUACUUUUUAUAAUUUAGGAACUAAAUUUUGUGCACAUUUAUCAACAAAUUAUACGUUGAGGGACAAAAAUAACUAUUUAUCCAAUUUUAAAUAUCAACUUUCUUGUCUCCCUUCAUUAGAAAAUAGAGUUAAAUACAUGUCCAAACCCUCAUUCACUCAUAAUGACAACAAUUAGUGACAUCCUCAAUGCUGUUAUAAAUGUUUUUAUCCGAUUCUUGCAUAUAAAAAAAUUAUUAUAUCUUGAGGUGACGUGAAAUGGGAAUUUGAAAUAAGGGACCAGCAAGGUUUUGAUGUUGAGGUGAAGAAAUGCGGGUAUCGUUGUGUAUCUGAAAAGGAUCUACAAGCAUCAAAAUUAACAAUGAUGCACACCGAAUAUUCAGUGUCUUGGAAGCACAAGUUUUUACAAUUGAAGAUAACAAGUAGCAACUGCAAUUCAUCUACACUUCCAUCAUAGUGAAGAACUGGAGACAUUGUUGAAUAUGGAUGCAUGAUUUGCACAAUCAAACCAAAAAAGGAUGCACACAGUCGAGACCAAGUGCUCACGGUCUUUGUUAUUAAUUAUUUUUAAAAAAUAGAAAGUACAGUAGUUAUUUGUCCCUGAAAUUAUUUCUCACUUGUCAUUUAAUUUUUUAAUUUGUCUUAUGUAUUUAUGUGAGUGUGUUAUUACUUAAUAUAGCAUUAUUAGUACCGUUGAUUACUAUUAUUUUGUUAAACAAAUGAUUUGUAAUUAAGGGUAUUAAAGGGAUUACCACUUGAGAUGGUUAUAGUUUGUUAUAGCAAAUUAAUAUAAUCGUAAAAGUGUAGGCUCUUGUUUUGCAUAGCUACUAUGGUUAGUUGCAAAGCAAUGUCUGUUAUCUGUUAUAUGCAUGUACUGCAAUACUGGAUCAAUACUGAAAGCAAGCAAUGAAUUGAGACUUAUUUUAUGCCCCUUCCUUCUCUUAUUCUGGAGGUUCCCUUCUCUCGAAGGAAGGAUCUAUCACCUUUAUUGGUAAAUUGGACAUGUUCAAUUAUCUAGAACUAGUGACUACAUAAAAAUAUACACUAAAAAUUCUUGCUUUUGUAAUUACCUUGGACCUUCAGAUAUGAUGAUCUCUCUGGUUCUUUACUUGCUAGUGCAGAGUUUUUGAUGACCAACCAACUCAUUACAAAUUAUUUGAAAUUGAUACUAUUAGAUUUGAAGUGUAUAAAUAAAAUGCAUACUAAUGGAUCAACUAUUUUUAUCCAAAAACAAAUCAGUUUUCCUUUUUUGUGAAUAAACGAAUCAGUUUUUUCUAAAAAUACAUAAACUUGUUUAAAUAAUUUUUAUUCACUCUGUGAGAAAGUUACGUGGGAGGAAUGAAUGUUUGUCCUUGUGAGACUGUCAUCCAAUGCACCCCUUCUUCAUCUCACGCAAUAAGGACAUACGACGUCUUUGUGAAAUAUGGCCAUCAUCAUUGGACGCCUGAAAAGGAUCUAGAAUAAUAAAUCCGCGCAUGCCCGGGUAAAUAAAUGAAUUAUUUAUAUUAAGGACGAUUAAAAGGCAUGUUAUAAUAUAAAUUCUAUGUAAAUAUUUGAAUUACAUUAAUGAGUAUUUUUUUUUUGUUCUUUUCUUUUUGAAUAUGAAAAUAUAAAAAGUAAAGUGAAUUAAAAGCCCAAAGAAAGCUCUUAGUCAAUGAUAAAGAUAUCUGAGUAAUUUUAAUUGAAUCAAAUAAGGUGUUUCAGAGAAACAAAUUAUAAGGCACUUUGAAGAGCAAAUGUUUUACUAAAUUGAAAAAUGGAUAAAAAAAAUAUACAAGAUUUCUACAGAUUUUUGAAGGAUUCUUAAUUAAAUUGACGCGUUGGGCUAGAUUUUUAGGGUUUGGCAAAAAAAAGAGUGUCCUGUUGUUGUUCAUAUUAUUUAAUAUUAAUUACUAUACUGUUUAAUAUAUUUUUUAUAACCGGCACCCUUAUCAAAUUAAAUGUCUUAAUUGAUUAUGAGUUCAUAUAACCAUCUAUAUAUAUAUAUAUAUAUAUAUAUAUAUAUAUAUAUAUAUAUAUAUAUAUAAUUUCAAAUUAUCAGCUACUUAGUACUAAUGAAAGCAACAUUAGAGUUUUGGCCAAAGAAAUUGUUUUUUUCUUAUAAUUAAUAAUAAUUACAUUGUAUUUAUUAAUUUCUAUUAUUGUCUUUUAAUUUUGGUGUUUUAAUUACAAAUUAAUGUAAUCAUUCAUAAACGUAACUACUAAUUAAUGAGAUUUCAAAUCAUCAACAACUCAAUACUAACUAAAGCAACAUUAGAGUUUUGCAAUUAAUGUUUAUAAGGGAACAUAUUUGGUAUGACUAUGCUACAAAAUAAAAGAUAACUCAUAAUUUUUUAUAAUGUUGGUCAGGUUGAACAAUUACAUAUGUUUAAAGGGAAUAGAGAGACUCUAUUACACGAAUGAUUAGGUGGAGGGGCAUAAUCAUCAUAAUUUCUAGAGAUGAAUACAUAUUAAGGACACAUGGAAUAAAUAAUGUUUACCAAAUCUAACCAUUGAAUUGGGACAAUGUUAUUUAGUUAUUUUGCAUAUAUGUUUUCAAAUGUAACUAUAUUAUGAAUGAUUAUGAAAAGUUGCACAAGAUGAACUAUUACAUGCUAAGGCCAUUUCUUAGCAAUUGAAGAAAUUAAUAGGCAAAUCUUUGUUUGAUCAAAAUCUUUCACAGUGAAUAAGUACAUUGGAUAGACUAAGAGAUAAUAAAAAUAGAAAUAUUAUGAAUGUUAAAAAUAAGUUAUGAUGAUCCCCAAGAAAAAGACUUAAAAAUAGAAUUUAUUUUCAAGUUUUAUAUAUGUGCUUUAAAAAAUAGAAUGUUUCAGAUUUUGAUCCAAAGAGCCAUUGCCGAGCCUCUGUCAUAUGAUGGUUUGACUAGUCUCAAAGAUUUUGAUUCACGACAAAACAAUAUGUCAAAAACUGACAUUACCCAACAUUAUUUGAUGCAAUAUUUUGAAAACUAGAUUGAAGAUUGAACAGACAAUGGUUUUUAUUUUGAUACAGGGUAUCACAAUAGUUUAGUUUUUUUUUUUUUUUUCGUGUCUAGUGUACAUAGCACAAAUUGAAUAUUUCAGAUUUUUUUAUCUAGACAGCUAUCCCAUGUGCUCUAAUAUGUGGGGGCUGUACUAGUUUCAAAGAUUUGUAUUCUUUAAGAAAAAGAACAGAAAAAAAAAGGAAGUCAUGACAUCAACCAAUGCUCUCUCUCUCUCUGCAAUGUUUUGAAAAUCAGAACAAAGACUAAAACAAGAAGACCUCUGGAUCAUUGUUUGAUUGGUCCAAUACAGUUAUAAUAAAGUCUGAACAAGUGACGCGGUUUCUGCGGACCCCAACAUAUGGCAAGUGGGGGAAGAAGAUGCCAAGAAAAACUCUUCAUUUUCACUGUCCAUCCUUUAAUUUCUUUGUAUCCAUAAACAAUAUAUCUUAAGUUGAAUAAAUAGAAAAAAAUAAGUUAAAUUAUUCAUUUGUUCUUAUAAUUUUAUUAUUCUUAUAUUUUUAUCCCUAUAAUUUGAAAACAAUUUUUUAGUCUUAUAAUUUAUAUUUAAUUUUUGUAAUUCCUAUAGUUUAAAAAUAAUAUUUUUAGUUUUUUUAGUUCUUAUGAUUUAAAAAUAAUAUUUUUAGUUUUUAUAAUUUGUAUUUUAAUUAUUUUUUAGUCUUUAUUAAAAAAAUAUAAAAAUAAUUAUAAAUUGAUUAUAAAUUAUCAAUUAUUUUUAUUACAAAUUUGAUAAAAUAGUUAUGAAUUACUUACUAAUAUUUUUAUAGUUAAUUGUAAUUGAUAAUAUUAUUCAUAUUUCAAUAGUAAAGAUUAAAAAGAAAUUAAAAUAUAAAAACUAAAAAAUAUAUACCAAACAUAAUCUUCUUAUUUUGAUAAUGAUCUUUUUCUUUUUUUUUAAAGAAAUCAAAAUACAUAAAAAAAAUUCUUAUAAAAAAGUAUAUGUUAUUUGUUUAUCUAUUACUUGUGUUAACAGCAUGUGAAAUGUCUUACUAAUAAGAAAUGUGUAAACAUUUUUUCUAAUUGUAGCAUCCAAGUCAACAUGUAUGCCUUAUUCACACUCAGUGUCAGGUGUCUUAAUUUUCUUCCAAGAGAUUGUGUCAAUACUGAAGAUUUAAGUCUAGCUGACUUGACUUAAUAAUAAUAAUAAUUUAUAACAAUCUAUAAGUUAUUCUAUUCAGUGAAAAAAAAAAAAAACAGGGAAAACUAAAAUAAAGUGCGAAUAAGUGACGCGGUUUAUGCGGACUCCUCAUUUUGACUAUGCAUGCUUUCUUUGCAUCCAUAUAGCAUGUAUCUUAAGUUUAAUAAAAAAAAAAUUAGGUUAACUUUACAUAUUUUUUUCUAUAAUUUUAGGAUUAGGAUAUUUUUAUCCCUAUAAUUUAAAAUGAAUUUUUUUAGUCUUAUAAUUUAUAUUUAAAUUUAUUUUUAAUCCUUAAAAUUUAAAAAUAAUAUUUUUAGUCAUUCUUUCGGUACUUACAAUUUGAAAGUAAUUUUUUUUAUAAUUUUUAUUUUAAUUAUUUUUUAGUCAUUAUUAAAAAAAUAUAAAAAUAAUUAAUUUUAAAUAAGUUAUAAAUUAUCAACUAUUUUUUAUUAUAAAUAUGAUAAAUUAUUUAUGAAUUAAUUGCUAAUAUUUUUAUAAUUAAUUGUAAUUGAUAAUUGCUAAUAUUUUUAUAGUUAAUUAUAAUGAAUAAUAUUACUCAUAUUUUAGUAGUAAAGACUAAAAAUAAAUUAAAAUAUAAAAUAUAAAAACUAAAAAUAUCAUUUUCAAAAUAUAAAAAAUAAAAUAAAAUAUAAAUAUAAAUUAUAAAAACUAAAAAAAUUAUAUCAAAAAAAAGUUUUUCUAUUUUUAUAAUUUUAUUUCUCUCCCAAGAAAAUUAAAAUACACCUCAAACAAACAUUCAUAUAAAAAUAAUAUACAUUAUUUAUUUAUUAUUUGUGAAAAUCAUAUUAAUUUUUUAUAAUUAAUAAUUUAUAAAAACCGAUAAUAAUUUUAAUGUUAUAGACCAUGAAUAUCAACCCUAGUCAAAUUGAGGAAUGGCAAAACUAAGAUCACAUCAAAUGUCUUACUAAUGAGAAAUGUGUAAGUAUUUUUUCUAAUUUUUCUAAUUGUAGCAUCAAGUCCACACUUAUACCUUAUUCACACGGCAGUGUCUGUGUCUUAAUUUUCUUCCAAGAGCUUGUGUCAAUACGGAAGAUUUGAGUAUAGCUGACUUGACUUAAUAAUAAUAAUUUACAACAAUCUAUAAGUUAUUCUAUUCAAUGGAAGAAAAACAGGGAAACCUAAAAUAAAGUGUGUUCAUAUUAUCUUCAGUAGAAAGGAGAGUGAAAAAAUAGAUUUGGCGUUCUGCUUUUGCAACUUCACCCACCACGCUUAAGACCCACAAGGCUUGAAGAAUGAAUUCUAAGACGCAACUAUUAGCUUUGUAUAAAACAAAUUGGAAAAAAAAAAAAAAAGAGCGUUUCUUUUUACAAUUAUUAACUUUAUAUUUCUUCACUUGCAAUGAUUGUUCUCGCUUUACGCUUCUGCAAUUGCAAUGAUUUUUAAUACCAUCAACCGAAAAUAUUUAAAAUUUUAAAAAUUUGGAGAAUAAAAUUGUUGUUUAUUAUUAUUUUUUCAAAUGCUCUAUAUAAUUUUGUAUCUUAUUUUUCUGCAGAGACCAGCUAAGACCAAACAUAUAAUCAAAUUUACAUAAACUUCAAAUAUUUUUAAUAAUAAUAAUACAAUUAAAUAUAAAUGAGUCACGUCUUGAAUGCCUAAAAAUAAAAAUAAAAACGCGUUAGCAUUAAUAUCUAUAGUCUUCACUAGAAAAAGCCGGGCAAUGGUAAAAAGUUAAUGUGCUCAUACAGUUUUACCACAAAGAUACUUAGUCCAACUUAACAGCCCUGCCACCGAAUUGGAAUUUGACACUAGCUUCUUAAUAAAGGAAUCGUGGAAAAUAAAGUCUGACUAUUUAGCUUAUAAAUUAAAUUAAAGAUAAAAUAUUGAUUUUCAUCUCUAAUAAAUAUUUAAUUUUUUAUAUUUUUUAAUAAUUUUUUAUUUUUAUUCUUUGGUAAAAAAAUAUUUUUUGUUUUUAGUCUCUAAUAAAUUAAUAAAUAUUAUAUUUCUUUUCUGAUAUUUUUUACUAAAAUAUAUUUAUAAUUUCUAAUAAAUAUUUAAAUUAUUUAUUUAUUUUUUUGCUAUUUUAUUAUUUACAUUGAGUUCUAAAUAAAAAAAUAAUUUUAUUUUUGAUUCUUAAUAAUUUUUUAAUUCAUAAUAAAUUAAAAAAAUUGGUAUUUUUUCCCGUAUUUAUUUUUAUGUUAUUUAUCUUUUUAAAGGAAUUAAUAACUUUUCAAAGGUAUUAAUAACAAAUAAUUUCUUUUACCGGGGAGCAAAUAAAAUAUUUCUAAUUUAUCGUAACUAAAAAAAUAUUUCAACGAUAAAAAUAAAUUGUUAUUUUUUAUUAAAGAAUAAAAAAAUAAAUCUUUUUUAUUAAAAAAUAAAUAUAAAAUUUAGAUAUUUAUUGAGAUCAUAAACAUAUUUUAUUUUUUUUAUUAAUUCUUUUGAAAAAGAUUAAUAACAAAAUAAAUAAAAAUAUCAUUAAUUUAUCAUAAAUUAAAAAUAUUAAUAAACAAAAAUAAAAUUACUGUAUGAAAUCAAUAUAGAUAAAAAAAAAUAUCAUUAAAAACCAAACAUUCAAAUAUUUAUUAAAAAUGAAAACACAGCCUCUUGAAUUUAUAACUUCAUGUGAACGAUUACUUUAAUUAAUGAUAAUGAAACUUUCAGUGUGUCUCACGGUAACUUUAAAUAAGUGACGCGGUUUCUUGCGGAUCCCAACAUAUGACAAGUGGGGAAGAAGCUGCCAAGAAAAACUCCUCAUUUUCAGUGUCCAUGCUUUCUUUGUAUCCAUAAACCAUAUAUCUUAGUUGACUAAAUAGAAAGCAUUAUUAUAUAUCUUGAGUUGAAUAGACAGAACAAGGGAAAAAUAAAGUGAAAAUACAAAAACAAAAAACCAAACAAAUAAAGAGGAAAAGCAACACAUCAAAAUAGGUGACGCGGUUUCUGCGGACCCCAACAUAUGGCAAGUGGGGGAAGAACCUGCCAAGAAAAACCCCUCAUUUUCACUAUCGAUGCUUUCUUUGUGUCCAUAAACCAUAUAUGUUAACUUUAAUAAAUAAAAAAAUUAGGUUAAAUUUACACAUUUUUUUUCUAUAAUUUUAGGAUUAGUAUAUUUUUUUCCUAUAAUUUAAAAAUAAUUUGUUUAGACUUAUAAUUUAUAUUAAAUUUUUUUAAUCUCAUAUUUAAAAAUAAUAUUUUUAAUUGUUAUAAUUUAAAAUUUAUUUUUUUAAUUUUUAUAAUUUAUAUUUUAAUUAUCUUUUAAUUUUUGUUAAAAAAAUAUAUAAAUAAUUUAUUAUAAAUUAUUUUUUAUCUCAAAUAUAAUAAAUUAGCUGUGAGUUACUUGUUAAUAUUUUUGUAAUAAACUAUUAAUAAUAUUAUUUAUAUUUUGAUAAUAAAGAUUAAAAAAAUUAAAAUAUAAAAUAUAUAAAUUAAAAAUAUCACUUUUAAAUCAUAGAAACUAAAAUAAAAUUAAAAUAAAAAUCAUAAAAACUAAAAGAAUAACUUUUAAACUAUACAUGUUAAAAUAAAAUUAAAAUAUAAAUUAUAAAAAAAAUAAUUUUAUAGCUAUAAAGAUUAAAAGAUAAAUGAUAGAAAUAAAAUGAGUAAUUAAAAAAAUAAAGAAAAAUAAAGGAAGAGUGAACCCAGACAGCACAUGUAAGGUAGGUUGAAAAAUGAAAAUCCUAAGACGCAAUCGUGACAUGAGAAACUGACGAGUGAACUACAGUUAUUAACUUUACAUAAAGCAAAUUGGAAAAAUAAAGAAAGAAGCGUUUCUUUCUACAAUUAUUAGCUUUAUAAUAUUUCUUCACUGCCCACAGUACUUGUCCUCGCAUUCCGCUUCUGCAAUUGCAAUGGCUUCUAAGGCCAUCAUCCAAUACAGCUCUUCUUCUUCUUCAUCUCAUGCGAUCAUCACUACAUAUGAUGUGUUUGUCAGCUUCCGCGGUGAAGACACGCGCAACAACUUCACUGCUUUUCUCUUUGAUGCUCUCUUUGAAAAUGGCAUCCAUGCCUUCAAAGAUGAUACACAUCUUCAGAAAGGCGAAUCCAUAGCACCCGAGCUGCUACUGGCCAUUCAAGAGUCUCGCCUUUUCCUUGUGGUCUUCUCUAAGAACUAUGCUUCCUCAACUUGGUGCUUGCGUGAACUUGCACACAUCUGCAACUGCACUAUUGAACCAUCCUCGAGUCGUGUUCUUCCAAUUUUCUAUGAUGUUGAUCCAUCAGAGGUGCGGAAACAGAGUGGUUAUUAUGGGAUUGCCUUUGCAGAACACGAACGAAGAUUCAGAGAAGAUAUAGAGAAGAUGGAGGAAGUGCAGAGAUGGAGAGAAGCUCUGAUACAAGUGGCCAAUAUCUCUGGCUGGGAUAUCCAAAAUGAGUAAGUACAAAUUUAUAUGCAGUCAGUCAUAUUAUAUCCAUGUGCAUACAUUUCAUCAUUUCUUAGUCAGGUUGUUUUUAUCAAACUUACUAUGGCUUUCUAAAGUAGAGUUCAUAGAAGUUGAGGACGUAGCAUGCAAAUUGACUCUAAAUUUAUACAUCUUUAAUGCAAAUGGUGUUUAAAAUCUCUGAAAUUCUCUUGCCCUGUACAUAUAUACAUUAUGUUGUGGUUCUGAUAAUUUGUCAUUCCUCAUUUUCUUUAAAUUUUCAGGUCACAACCUGCAAUGAUUAAAGAAAUUGUUCAAAAAAUAAAAUGUAGAUUGGGUUCCAAAUUUCAAAAUCUUCCAAAUGGUAAUCUAGUUGGGAUGGAAUCCCGUGUUAAAGAAUUAGAGAAGUGUUUAAAAUUGGAGUCGGUUAGUGAUGUUCGAGUUGUCGGAAUUAGUGGAAUGGGGGGAAUAGGAAAAACGACUCUUGCAAGUGCUUUAUAUGAAAAGAUUGCUUAUCAAUUUGAUUUUCAUUGUUUUGUUGAUGAUGUAAACUAUAUUUAUCGACGUUCUGGUUCACUAGGUGUACAAAAACAGUUACUUUCUCAGUGCCUAAAUGAUAAAAAUCUAGAGAUUUGCAAUGCUUCUGUGGGAACAUAUUUGAUAGGGACAAGGCUACGCAAUAAACGAGGACUUAUAGUUUUUGAUAAUGUUAAUCAGGUUGAACAACUACGCAUGUUUACAGGGAGUAGAGAGACUCUAUUACUUGAAUGCCUAGGUGGAGGGAGCAGAAUCAUUAUAAUUUCUAGGGAUGAACACAUAUUAAGGACACAUGGAGUACAUCAUGUUUACGAAGUCCAGCCAUUGGAAGAUGACAAUGCUGUUCAGUUAUUUUGCAAAAAUGCUUUUAAAUGUGACUAUAUUAUGAGUGAUUAUAAAAUGUUGACAUAUGAUGUACUAUCACAUGCUGAUGGCCAUCCCUUGGCAAUUGAAGUAAUAGGCAAAUCUUUGCAUGGUCGAAAUGUUUCGCAGUGGAGAGGUAUAUUGGUUAGGCUAAGUGAUAAUAAAAGUAAGGAUAUAAUGGAUGUGUUGCGAAUAAGUUAUGAUGAUCUGGAAGAAAAUGACAGGGAAAUAUUUUUAGAUAUUGCUUGUUUCUUCGAUCAGGAUUAUUUUGAGCAUUGUGAGGAGGAAAUCUUGGAUUUUCGUGGAUUUAAUCCUGAAAUUGGCCUCCAAAUUCUUGUUGAUAAAUCACUCAUAACCAUUUUUGAUGGGAGGAUUUAUAUGCAUAGCUUGCUCAGAGAUUUAGGCAAGUGUAUUGUUCGAGAAAAAUCACCUAAAGAGCCAAGAAAGUGGAGUAGACUCUGGGAGUGUGAAGAUCUCUACAAAGUUAUGUCGAACAAUAUGGUAUAAUAAAUUUUUUAAUGUAUAAUCUUCGGUUGCUCCAUUUUUUCUAGAAUUUGUUUGUACUUCAAAAGGUCUAAUAUUUUCUUUCUUGUUUGCAAUGUUGUAGGAAGCAAAAAAUCUGGAAGCCAUAGUUGUUGAUGAUAAAUCAUGGAUGUUUUUUAAUACAAUAAUGAGAGUUGAUGCUCUAUCAAAAAUGAAAAACCUUAAGUUGCUUAAGCUUCCCGAGUAUGAUAGUUUGUAUGGGGAUGAGGAAGAGGAGCUUUGCACAUAUACGAAGAAGGAUUUUUUUUCAGGAAACCUGAAUUAUCUUUCCAAUGAAUUAGGAUAUCUUAUUUGGCAAUGCUAUCCCUUUAACUCUCUACCUCAAUGUUUUCAACCACACAAUCUUUUUGAGUUGGAUCUUUCUUGGAGUAGCAUCCAACAUUUAUGGGACAGCACACAGGUAGUGUAAAUUUUUAUGUUUUUCCUAUUUUCAUUUUCUUUAAAGGAAUGUAUCAAUAGACAAAUUAUCUUUGAUUAUUCAAUUCUUGUUUGAAUAAUUAAUAAUUAUGAUCCAAGUGUUGUUUUUAAUUUUGUCUCUUUCUAUUGGCUCUUUAUUGCAGCCGAUACCCAAUUUGAGACGUUUGAAUGUCUCUUACUGCAAAUAUCUAAUCGAGGUGCCCAAUUUUGGUGAGGCCCUAAAUCUUUAUUGGCUAAAUCUCGAAAGAUGUGAACGACUCAAGCGGUUCCAUCCAUCCGUUGGUUUUCCUAGAAAUCUUACCUAUCUGAAUUUAAGAGGCUGCAACAGUCUUGUCGAGUUACCACAUUUUGAACAGGCCCUAAAGCUUGAAAUUUUAGAUCUGAGACGAUGUGAACUACUAAAACAGCUACCCUCAUCCAUUGGUCGUCUAAGAAAGCUUACUCCUUCAUUAGAAUUGGGAGGGUGUAAAAGUCUCACUGACUUGCCACAUUUUGUAGAGGACCUAAAUCUUUUGAAGAAGUUAAAUCUCGAAAGAUGUGAACAACUAAGGCAGAUACAUCCAUCCAUUGGUCUUCUAAGAAACCUUAUUGUUUUAAAUUUGAGAGAUUGCAAAAGUCUCGUAAACUUGCCACAUUUUGUAGAGGACCUAAAUCUUGCAAGGUUAAAUCUGGAAGGAUGUGUACAACUAAGGCAGAUACAUCCAUCCAUUGGUCAUCUAAGAAAGCUUACUGCUUUAAAUUUGAAAGAUUGCAAAAGUCUAGUAAACUUGCCACAUUUUGUAGAGGAACUAAAUCUUGAAGAGUUAAAUCUCAAAGGAUGUGAAGAACUAAGGCAGAUAGAUCCAUCCAUUGGUCGUCUAAGAAAGCUUACUGCUUUAAAUUUGACAGAUUGCAAAAGUCUAGUAAACUUGCCACAUUUUGUAGAGGACCUAAAUCUUCAAGAGUUAAAUCUGAAAGGAUGUGUACAACUAAGGCAGAUACAUUCAUCCAUUGGUCAUCUAAGAAAGCUUACUGCUUUAAAUUUGAUAGAUUGCAAAAGUCUAGUAAACUUGCCACAUUUUGUAGAGGACCUAAAUCUUGAAGAGUUAAAUCUCAAAGGAUGUGAAGAACUAAGGCAGAUACAUCCAUCCAUUGGUCAUCUAAGAAAACUUACUGUUUUAAAUUUGAGAGAUUGCAAACGUCUCGUAAACUUGCCACAUUUUGUAGAGGAACUAAAUCUUGAAGAGUUAAAUCUGGAAGGAUGUGUACAACUAAGGCAGAUACAUCCAUCCAUUGGUCAUCUAAGGAAGCUUACUAUUUUAAAUUUGAAAGAUUGCAAAAGUCUAGUAAGCUUACCUAGUAACAUAUUGGAACUUAGUUCUCUCAGAUACCUAAGCCUUUUCGGAUGUUCAAACNNNNNNNNNNNNNNNNNNNNNNNNNNNNNNNNNNNNNNNNNNNNNNNNNNNNNNNNNNNNNNNNNNNNNNNNNNNNNNNNNNNNNNNNNNNNNNNNNNNNCCAGCCUCAAGGAGCUUUCCAAACUGUUACAUUUAAACUUACAACACUGCAAGAGAUUGAGAUAUUUGCCUGAGCUCCCUUCACGAACUGAUUGGCCUGGGAGCUGGACACCUGUUAAACAUGAAGAAUAUGGAUUGGGAUUAAAUAUUUUCAACUGCCCAGAAUUAGUUGAGAGAGAUUGCUGCACCAACAAUUGUUUCUCAUGGAUGAUACAAAUACUUCAGUGCCUCAGUCUUUCCGGCUUUAGUGGGCUGUUCAGCUUUCCAUUAUUUUCAAGUAUUAUUCCAGGAAGUGAAAUACCAAGGUGGUUCAAGAAAGAGCAUGUGGGCACGGGCAAUGUCAUAAACAUAGACAGAUCUCACUUUACGCAGCAUUACAAAAAUAGGAUAGGCAUUGCGUUGGGUGUAAUCUUCGUGGUACACAAAGAAAGAAGAAUGCCCCCUCCAGACAUGGAACAACCUUCAAUUCUUAGUAUUACAUGUGGCCCUUCUAUUCCACCCCAACAAAGAGAGGGAGUACGUGAAGAUCUUCAUAUUCCGGUUCAUUACCGUGAACAUCUUCAUAUUCCGGUUCUUUUCCGUGAAGAUCUAGUCACGGAGGAAUCGGAUCACGUGGGGCUAUUCUUUUUCAAACGUCCAUAUUUUGAUGAGUUGAAAGUGGAAAGUAGAUUCAGAGAUCUUCAUGAUGAAGAUUUGUAUGUUGAAGUGAAGAAAUAUUGGUAUCGUUGGGUAUAUAAACAAGAUCUGGAAUUAUUAAACUUAACAACGAUGCACAGUAAAAAUUCGUCGCCUGGGAAGCGCAAAUAUUUGGCAAUUGAAGAAAACAAGUAGCAAUUGCAAUUCAGCUAGGCUUGCUUCAUAGUGAAGAAUUGGAGACAUAUUUGAAUAUGGAUGCAGAGUUGAAGCAGCAGUAGCAAGAUCAAGUUCGCCUGGACUUUUGGCGUAAAUAGUACAAUCAUCUCUUUAAAAGGUACAAAUUAAACAAAUUUCACUUUGUUUGAAACUUUGGAUAAUAAGGUGAGAAGAAACGCAUGGUCUGUUAUUAGUUUUAAAAACAUAGAAAUUAAACUAUUUAUUUAUCCAGACACUAUUCCUUGCUUGUCGUUUAAUUUUUUAAUUUGUCUUAUGUAACAUGUCUUUAUUUCUUUCUCUAUGUCUCCCUUUGCUCGAUUAUAUAUGUGUGUGAUGAAAAUUUAAAUAAUUUCAGAAAAUAUAAUUUGAUAUUUGUUAAUUGUAUAAAGGCUAUCUAAUUUUGUUGUGAUUUUACCCGUGCUAUUAAGAUAUAUUACUAUCUUAAUUUAUUACCUUCAAAUUAUAGUAUUUUGUUGAAUAAACGUAUUAUGUCCUUGCGAUUAUAAUAUUUUUUUAAAUUAUCAGUAUUAUUUGGUUCCAUGUUGUUAUUGAGUAAUAUAAAUUAUUUUUAUGAAUUAUAAGGAAAUUUAGUAAAACUUUUUAGGCGUGGAACUUUAAACAAAAUGAAAUUUGUUUAAUACACAAACUUAUUUUAGUAGUUUAUAGUUUAUUUUCAAGCUACAUGGAGUAGCAGUUAACUUAUAAGUUAUUAGCAUUUUUUUUCUUCUCAAAAUUUAUUUUCACUAAUUUGUUUUAAAAUAUUUUUUAUCCUUUAUUGAAUUUAAAAAUCCUUUUACCUAUUUUAAUAUUUAUAAUUUAUUGUGGGAAACUAUAUACUAGAUGACAUAUUUUUUUUUAUUAUGAAACUUUAAAUUCUGAUUUUUUAUUUUUUAUGCAAAACUAUUUAUUUUAAUGAAUUAUUGAAUUGUUAAUUUUUUUAUUUAUAUGUAAAUAUUUGGUCCCUAAACAAAGUUAAUAAGAAAAUCGAGAUUAUAUGAAAAAAAACAAAUUUUCUUUGUUGUUUAAAAAUAAUAUUCUUAAAUAAAAUAUUUAAAUAUUAAAAAAUAAUUUUAAACAAUAUAUGCUUAUUUAAUUUAAUUAUAAUAUAAAAAAUGAAAAAUUUAUUUAAAAUCAUAUUAGUUGAUGAAAAUACUUAAAUAUGUAGGCACGUAAUUCCUUUCUUUAAGAUAAAUAAAUAAUGACUUCCACCAUAUCAUGAAUAUUUUGUUUAGUCUAGUAGCAUUAUAUUUGGUAAACUAUACUUUGAUGGCAUUUUUUGUCCACUAAGAUAUAAAUUCUUUUGUAUUGCUUGAAUACGUGCUAUCCUGUUAUAUAUGAUUAUCUUCGCAUGUUAUCAUAUCUCCAACUCUAUUUAGGCAUGAGCAAGAAGUUCUGUUCUUUCUUCGUAUGCGCAUUGUUUUCUUCGCAUACUUUUAUAUGGCUAAAUUAUAUCCUGUAUAAUAUUUUGUUGGUAUAAAAUUUACAUUCUACUCAAUGAUAAGAAGAAAGAAAAAUAAAAUAAACUUAUGCACUGGCAUAUGAGAGAACUUCACCGAUGAAAAAAAGAUAUAAGAGAAUUUUUUCAUAAAAAAUAAUUUAUAAAAUUUUUAUCUUUUAGAAAAAUUAUAUAAGAAAAAUUCUAUAAAUUAAUUUCAAUUCUCACAAUUGAAUUAAAUAACAUAUAUAUAAUGCCUACCAACAUUGCAUGUUUUAGCAUUGCUGUGAAUUUUUAUCAGACAUUGCUUCUCCCCCAAAGCCGCAAUGCUUUCUUUUCUUCUUCUCUCUCGAUGUUCCCAGUUCCACUUUCAUGGCAAAGCUUUUUAUUCCAUUAAAAUCACUUUGAGUCUCACAUGCAAUUAUAAAACAAUGUUCACAUAUCCAUUAGCUUCUCAUUGAUAGUUCCUAAUACUCAAAUCAGCUGUAUUUUAAUUUUCUCUCCUUUUUAUUCUUUUUUUUUUCUGUCAAGUUGUUGUGACCCAUAUAAGUUCUAGGUAGUAAUUUUUAAGAUUCCUUGUAUUUUGAUAUUUUAAAGAGUGAUUUUUUAAGCUCCUAGAAUCUCCAUUUGGGUGCAGGAAUAAUCUUCAUCCAUCCUUUCUUCAUGUAUUUCUCUCUAAGGGAAAGAGAAGCUAGAGCUUGAAUCAUUUUGGGUUUUGAAGAGUAUAGAUAGGUGGGAAAAGGUGAGGAUUUUCCUAAUCCUAUAAUUUUCAAUUUGCAUGCGAAUUUGAUUCUUAGAGCACUAAGUCUCUCUUUGUCUAAUUGGAUGCCAUUGUUAGUCUCAUACAUAUUUAGAACCUGUUUUUGAUGUGUAUUGAUCCCCAUGCCCCAAUUUUGUUCUGUAAAUAUGGAUUUAAGAACAGCCAUGCCAAUUGCUUUGGUGUUAAAACAAAGUUGGCCAAGGACUAGUGUCUUAAAGCUUAUUAAAAUUCAUAUAAUUUAUUUUCUUGAAUUUCUUGCUGUUGGUGAAUCAUCUAUCUUUAUACAAACAAGGUCCUAACAUUAUAAGGAAAUGUCAAAAAUGUCCCUACUUUGCUGAGGUGUCGAAAUAUUAAGCCAUGUAGUUCCCGCCCAAAAACGUCAACAUCACGCUAUGUAGUUUCUUUUUAUUUUGUCUUCGGGUUUUUAUUGCACUUUUGUUUACAAUGCGCUUCUAUUUCCAAUGCGCUUCUAUGACAGAGAGGAUGUGGGCUCAGACCAUAAUUUGCAAGAGAUAGAACACACAAUGCAAGUGUUUUGAAGCUAAACCAAGUCACCAGUAACCCUAACUGCACCUCCCUUUUGUUUGAAUGAGAAAGAAGAUGAAAUGGAAGUGGUUGGAUGGUGAAUAAAGUCACCAGCAACCCGAGUACAAGUUUGUUUUCUUUGCAGGAGAAAGAAGAAGGUGAAAUAAGUAACCCACAACCCUAAGUACAGGUUCCUUUUCUUUGCAUAACCAAACUUUGCGAUUUCCUUAUUUGUUAUUUGUUAUGUUGCGAUUUUUUUGUCAAAUUUGCAUGAGUACAAGUACGUCAUGUGUUAGUUUUUUGUUUAGUUUACGGUUUUUAUUUACUUGGUGUAUAUAUACUUCACGAUUUCCUUAUUUGCUAUUUGUUAUGCUAGGAUUUUUUUAUUAUGCUGCGAUUAUGAAGUCAAAACUGCAUGAGUACAGGUUCGUCGUGUCUUGGUUUGUUUAAUUUAUGGUUUUUAUCUACCUUUUGUUCUGAUUCCCUUACUUGAAAUAGAACCCUUUACCUACAUUUUCUUUUUGCUUUCCAAAACGUCUAUGAUUAUAUAUUUGUGUCGUAGCAGUGGCUCACUAGGUGUUUCAUGGCAUCUCCUAUGUUGUUUGCAAAGUGUUCUGCCUUUCUAUGUUGUUUGGAUUUAUAUCUACUUGGUGUAUAUAUACAUUUGUUUUUAUGUACUUGGUCUAUAUAUACAUUUGGUGAUAAACGUCUAUUUUAUUUAUGUGUGUUCUCUUUGCAACAUAGACUGAUACUUUUUGUUAUUCCCCACUAUGUGCUUCAGACAGUGUAUGUCCACAGUUUGAGGUAAAGUGUUUUGAUUCCCUUACUUGAAACAGAACCCUUUGCCUACAUUAUUGUUUUUUUUUUGCCUUUCCAAUCCUUCUAUGAUCAUACAUUUGUGCCGUAGUAGUGGCCCACUAGGUGUUUCAUGGCCUCUGCUAUGUUGUUUGCAAAGUGUUCUGCCUGUCUAUGUUGUUUGCAAAACAAAUUGAGACCUUUUGUUAUUCCCCAUUGUUUGCUUCAGACAUUGUAUGUCCAUAGUGUAUUGUGUUUUAUAAAUUAUUCUUUUGUAUUUAUAAAGAAAAUAUUGUGUUUUAUUUGUAGCGAUGUCUCGCAAGGAAAACCUGAUCUUUGAAUUGCAUACCAAGAAAGGGGCUUGGAAGAUAGCAAUAUGAAUCACUGAUAUGUGGCACGUUAACAAGCACAAUGGUAGGCAAGCAAUUAAGAUGGUGUUGAUGGACCAAAUGACGAUUUUGAUGUUAUUCGAUAUACUGUAAUUGAGUACAUUCAUUUUAGUGCUUUGAUACAUUCAUGAGUUUCAUUCCUGACUCUUGUAGGGUGCAAUGAUUGGCGUUACUCUAUGGCAAUAACUGUUUGCUGAAUUUGAGGCAAAGUUGCAUUGUGGUUCUGCAUAUUUGAUUCAGAACAUUAAAGUUGUUGACAAUCAUUCUACAUACAAAGUAAGUACGAUUUCAUUUGUGGUUUACUUGGUGGUUAUGUUAACACUUGCUAAGAUCAAAGAUCCUAAAGGUCAUUCUAAUGGAGUUUUCUAUUUCUUUUAAAUUUGCUUCUAUUUAUUAUAUGAAUGCAUUUUACAUGUAACUAUAAUAUUAUUUGCAGACAAAUAUCCCUUCAAUGUCCAAAAUAUCAAGCAUGGGUCAAAGUUGUAUGUCAACAUUGAUAUAGCAAAAAUCCAAGAAUUCCAUAAUAGGUACAAUGCAUAUAUUUUUGGAACACUCAAAUUUGACCUUCAUCUUUUGUUGCAUGCUCAUAAUAAAACCAAAAUUUAUUCAUGUUGAUGAAUGCAUAUUAGAUGUAGGUAUGUCGUUCUAUGCUGGCAGAGUAUCAAAUGAAGGAAGUGUUUCUCAAUCACAAUAUAGCUAAUAUUCCCAACGAAACUCAGUUGAAAAGUUCUUGCAUAAUGCUCAAAUGGUUAGGUUAGUUGAAAUAAGCAGACUGAGAAAGGUAACAAGUUUAACUUUCAAAUUAAUGACCCUGUUAUUUGAAUAACUGUUAUCAAGAUUAACCGUUCAUUCAUUUAUGUUUUGCAUGUACUAAUUUAGGACUGUUACUAGUUGAUCGUUGGUACGGUGGAUGAAGUCAUCAUUGAUACACAAUGGAGUUAUGAUAAUUAUCUCUACUGUACUACGACAUUUGAUCCAUUGAAAAUUGGUGUCAAUUUUUGUUCGUGCUAGAACUAAGUUACUCACACCGUUCCAAGGUAACUUAUAUGUCUCCCCAAAUUUCCAACAAAGUCAAUUCCAAUGAGUUAUUAUGUAUAUUAUUUUAGUGUUUAUUAAAAGGGAUCGAAUAUUGUUGUGUUAGGUAUAAGUUAGUUCUAAAAAUGGAACAGAAUGAGGAGAAGGCUAACUUCCAUUUUUGGGAUGCAACAUGUAUCAAAAUUUUUGGCAAAACGAUCGAUCAAUGUCGCCAAGAGUAGAUUGCAGUAUGUUUUCUGAAUUAGAAUCAUCCAUGUAUGUUAUCUAUAUUCAUAUUGCAUUUAAUUUGUUUAUUUAUUCAUAGAGUGGCGAUGAGAUCAAGGUUUUCCCUCCCUAUUUUGAUGAAUUAUUGGGAAAGACUUGGGCUGUCAGAUUUUAGUACCAUGCACGAUGCUCAAAAAGGCCUACAAUGUGUUGCUGAACCUUGGUACCAAUAUUUGAGAGACAAUGCCUUCAGUGUUGGAGAUGAGAUAUGUUUCUACUUUAGGCCUUAUAAAAAAGUAUGAGAGUUGAUAAUAAAAAAAUAGUUGGCUUGGGAUGAUAGUGACUCCAAUUGAAGAUGGUAGUUUAGUAGCUUAUUUUAGAAUUGUUUGUUGGUGAAAUUAUUAUGUGUCGUCUAUGCUAAAGUACUUCUAUGUUGUAAUUCAAUUACCUAGCAUUACCAGACAAUGUUUCCUUUCGGUAUUUACGACUAUCUGAACAACGUUACAGAACUAUAUGGUUAUUUACUAUUUGUUGAAAUAUAUAACUUCCUUUUGGAUAUAUUCAUAUAUUGGUAUAUAGUAUUAAUUUGUGCAAUCCGAAAGAACAUUGAACCCUAUCAAUGGUUGUUACAUAUAUCAAUGCUAUCCAAAAAGUUUUAAAUCUAGUACAUAAGAAGAUUUUGUUAUAAACAUUGUUUGUAAAACUUUGUAUUUUGAAAUCAACAAGUUUAUCAAUAAUACCUGUUUAACACAAAUAAGACUAAUAAAUUAACAAACACACCAAAGAUUUCAACAAAACACAAAUUCAAUAAAAUAUAACAAAUAUAUUGUAUAAAACAUUUUUGUGAAAGCUGUCAACACAAAUAACGAAAUGUAGGUACCAAAUUACUGUAGCGUUGAUAGAAGUCUCAGCCUAAACCACACAAAUGUCUAAUCAUAAACUUGGUGGGAAACAAAAAUACGCGAGGGAAUGCACAAGUCACCCUUCUUCCUUUUCUUUACUAGCUUCUCAUGACUAUCAAUGGUGAACAAUAUCAAAAUCUUCACCCAACUUCUACAACAUCAAUUCUCAUUCAAUAGUAGGUAAAAGCCGGAUGAUGAUAAAUGAUGAACAAAAUGGGAAGCCGAAAAGUAAGAUUUCCACAACAUCACAACUUCCCUCCAACAUGAACAACAAAAGAUAUAUCUUCUACUCCUAAAUCUGAAGGAAAUUUUCUAUAUUUAUACAAUUUAUUAUAUGUUAUACUUAAUAUUCUAACAGCCAUUCAUGUACCAUUAUUUGUUCUGAAACAAUAUCAUGUGGCUACUAUUCGUACAUUGCUAGAUAUACGGAAGUAAUACUACAUGUUGCAGGAUUAUAUGUUGCACCUAAAUUCUUAUUUUCAAAGAAUCACAAAAUGUUGUAGAAUACUUUAACAACUGGAAGUUCAAAUGGAAAAUUCUGCCCAACAAAGGAAAAAUAGAAAACACAUUUUGCAAAAAAGAAGACAAGGUUCUGACACUCCACAUCAGCAUUUAGCAAAUGGUAACAAUGACUACAAACCCCCAAUUGACGUGUACAUAUUAUAAUAAUACUAAUUCAAAUAUAAUAUUGUUAUUGCAGAAAAAAUGUAAGCGUAUUUCAACAUGUCACCCACACUUUAUGAUGACAGUCCUACACUACAUACACAGUGCACACCUUUUGGCAAACAUCACUUCUUCUCGAAUCAGUCCCACCAACAUUACACUAGGGAAUUCAAAUUCGACGAAAGCAUACUAUCAAUGUACAUACCAUCAACGCUUUAUCAUCUAGACAAAUCUAUUGUACAAGUUUGGGAAAGAAAAUAUAACUUCAUCAAACCUCAAACGACCAUUAACUUCUACAGAACAUACAACCACACCUGCUGCUCCAAUUCAAUCUGCCAAUAUGUCUCAACAUAUACAUUCUGGGAGAUAUACAAUACACAAAUCAAUACUAAUAUCUCACAUCUCAUAUGAUAGUGAUGACGAAAACAAUAUAAACUAGACAAACAUUGAUACAGGUAAUAUGUGAUUAUUGUUAUUACAUCUAAAAUGACUAAAUCCGUGUGGAUUAUAAUUACAUCAUGUCAAAUUGAUCACCAUGUACAUUUAACUUCUUACUUUUCUAACUUACUUAAUUGGUUACAAUAGACCACAUUUUAAAUUACACAAAUUUGUGUCAUGUAGAAUAUUCAUUUGACAACCCAACACCAAUAGAGGAUGAUGCUGAUACUGAUCAUCAUAGCAAUCAUCAUACACCAUAUGAUUGUCAAAAUACCGGUAUUGAACUUCAAACUUCAACUUACAUUUUGUUGUCUUUUCAUUUCUUUUGCACGUGGGGAGAAUCUAAACUUUUGAAUGAAUGUGUAGGUGCAACAUACAAUGAUAUUGGAGAUCCAGUUUGGCAAUGCAAGCAUUGUAAUGCUAUGAUGUGGUAUGAUGAGAGGAUUAACAAGGACAAGCAGUCCAAAAACCCAAGGUUUGUAUUAUGUAACCCAAGGUUUGUAUUAUGUUGCGGUGAUGGAAAAAUACAACUUCCUCUACUACAAGAUCCUCCACAACCAUUGAGACAACUACUAUUUGACACCAACAGUACAGAAGCUAGAAAUUUCCAACAAAACAUUCGUUCAUAUAAUCUAAUGUUUGUAUUCACAUCACCUGGUGUCAAAGUUGACACAACCUAUAAUACUAGAAGAGGUCCUUUUACAUUUCACAUACAUGGUUAAGGGCACCAUCUUAUUGGAAGCCUCCAACCUAUGGCUGAUAAUUCAUCCAAAUUUGCACAGCUUUAUAUUUAUGAUACUGACAACGAAGUUAAGAACAGGUUUUCCCCAAACCCGUAAGUUUUUAACAUUCGACAAAUUACAUGUUACAUUAAUUAUGAGGGAUCAGGGUUGAGUGUCUUAGUAGAUAUGAGUGAAAAUUGAGAAAGUAUUAAACAGAUAAACACAUUAAUAUUGCAUCGAGGGUAGUUGUAUCACUAAUCAAUCAUAAAAAAAUUUCAAUAUAACUUAUACAUUAAUUAUUAUAAAAAUUAAUAGAUUUUUCAUACAUAAAAAUUUUGUGAUUAAAUAAAAAUAUAAUUUGUGCACAUAUUAUUUAUUUAAUAAGCUACAGUUGAAGAGAAUAAAACUAUCAAAGUUUACAAGUCAUUUUCAUUCAUUUUAAAAGAGUAUAUAAAUAAAUAAAAAGUUUGCUAAGACAUUUUAAUAUCAAGAGAGUUUCUAAUACCCAAGGAUGACCUCCUUUUCCAAACUACAGACAAAAUGCCAUAAUAUCUAAAAUAGUUUAGUAGUAUAAGAAAUUUUAGAUGAAAGCUAAUUCUAAAGUUUGAUUUCCGUCAAAGAUUUUUGCAUCAUUAAUCAAUCAAAAAAAUUAAAAUUUUAACUUAUAAAACAGUUAUUAUAAAAAAUUAUCAUAUGUGAUGACUUUGUGAUUACAAGACAAUAAAAUUUGUGCACAUGUUUUUCAUUUAUUAUUUUAUAGUUAGAGAAGUUAAAAUUAUCAAAGUUUAUAAUUUAUUUUCAUUCUUUUUUGAAUAAAUAAAUUGUUGAUCCAAUUACAUGACUCCAGUUAUCAUAUAUCGUUGACACGUUUUGCUUAAACAUGGAGAAAUUAAGAAUUGUAAGAACUAGAAUAAGAAAGAUAACAACAAGAAAUAUACAUGUGACAAGGUGUUUCGCGUAAGCAUGACUGUUACAUGAAGAAAAAUAGAAAUGAAUAUUUCUAUUUUUUUCAAAUAACGUAGAGGAUUCAACUUUUUUCAUUCACCAAAAAGUAGUCUAACAGAAUAAAGAUAUUUUUUUAUACUCUUAUUUUUAGAAUUUUUAUACUUUUAUGCAUAUUUUAAUUUUUAAUCUAAGUAUUAAAACAAAAAUAAAAAAUAAAGGAAUGAAGCGGAACAACCGAGCGUAGACAUGGUAACUGACUAGUUAUUUUUUAAAAGUAGAUAGUAAACUGGCUAUUCCAUCCUCACACUAUUUCAUACUAGUCAUUUAAUCUUUUAAUUUGUCUUCGGCUCUUUGCAUAUUAUUUGGUUUCUAAAUUUAGGAAUAUCACUCCAAGCGUGAACUUCCAUGUGCCAACCAAUUUAACAUCAAGUGAAUGGUGGCUAUUGUAUCUUCAUAUAUAUCUUUAUCACAUAGAAUAAAAUGAAGUAACAAACCAAAAUGGUGAAAGGAUGCUGCCAAACCCUCCCUGGGGAUAUAAUCAAGUUGAUGCAUAAUCAAUUUGAGCAUCCGGGAAUAAUCAAGCAAAGGAACAAUGGCAAGUAGAUAUUGUUGGAAAGGAUCUGAUCUGAACAUCCUUGAACAGAAUAGACCAUGCCAGUUGCCAUUUUACUGUCACGGAUGAGUGGAAUGUUUUAUGACAAUUGGGCAUUGGUGCCAAAGAACAAAAGAGAAAGGAAUUUUUGAAGUCCCACCAGAUAAUGACUGAAACGAGAAUAUAGUGAGUGAAGGGGCUCAGUUACUUUUACAAUCACAAGUUUCUAUGAUAGCAUUGAAGUUCCUUCUUUUUCUUCCAUGUACUUAUCUUGUGUUUCUGACUGUAAAUAGACCAAAUGACCAGUGUGUAAUUGUGGUUAUGUAUAGCUAGUUGUAUUGGUUAUGACAUAUCCCGAAAGAAUAACGAGUAUAUAUAUACAACAAUCAUCCCGGUGCCCAAAAAGGAACAUGGAAAACCAACCAUGCCGGCCCCAACAUGAAAAUUAACCGUCCAUGCAAAAAUUAAUAUUAUUGAUACAAAAUGGUAAUGCACCAAAUUGUAUCGGAUAAGAAUGUAGCAAACUGUCAAUAAUCUUAUUGUGAAUUCAUUUAAUUUUGUAUUGGAUACAAAGGAUAAGUUUCAGGUACAGGUACAAUAUUUGUAGAUCAAAACACUGUGCAUACCUAAACAACUCAUAAAAGAAUUGGUAUACAGUAAUCUGCAAUUCUGCAUCACUAUGACAUGAUACUCCAUAGACUAAUUUAUGAAAUAGUGACCUUUAAAACAAUUAUAACUAACACAUGGCCCUGGAAAUCAACAUAAACCUCAGUCAGCAACAUGUUUGUACCACUACAUUAUUUCCUGUCUGCAUGUAAUCAAUGCCAAGCUGAAGCUGAAAUCAAAUUUCUCUCCUUCCAUCCCAGUAGCAUGGCCCCAUCCUUCUCCACAAGAUUAUAAUGUUCUGAAUAGCACCUCAGCAGGCUUCUUAUGACAGAAUUCACAUAAGCUGGAAAAUAUAAAGUUUGAGGCUCCCUCUGUUACUUAGCACUAGAGUAAGCAUUUCUCUUUAUUAGUUUAAGUCAAACCUCAUCCAUUUAAGCCAAAACAACAGUUGUGCCAAAAAUAAAUCUGCAUAACAGGCGUUGAAACCUACCUGACAAGAAUAUUCAACAAAUAUUCUACAAAACUUCAAAAUUUAUGGAACCAGUAAGUCCGCAAAGAGGACUUCCAGAUCUAAAGUUCACAAAAAUACCAAAGACCAACUCUGCCAGACCUUAACACACAAACUUCUGCAAGACAGCUUAUCUGGUGUCAAAAUUUGGCAGCAACCACUAACCAUUUCAAUUCUAAGCUUUCUUGAUGUUUUAGCCAUCCCACUCUUAACUUUUCCCAAACCCAUUGCACUAAGCUUGUUAAACCUUAGAGUUUAGGUUAUUUAGAAGAUUUUACCUUUUUGGUUCAAAACUCUCUAAUUAAAUAUAAGUCCUAUUGAUCAAUAGUAUGAAACACAGUUUCUUCACAAAUAAUCCCAAACUCUUCAUGAAAUAAAAAAUAUUACAGAUAAAAAUAAACUAUUGAAAUUGCUCUGCACCUUGUUCGAGACAACAAGGCCAUUGGAUUCACAGCCAAUAGAUUUUUGUCCAGAGAAUGCUUUCUGACUGCCUGCUUCCUAAUCUCUCAAGCCACCAACACCGUUUCAGACACACCUUUAAAACAACUACAGGCAUUUAAAACAACUACAGUCAAAGAGUCUCGUAGGACAAAGGAUCAAAAUAAAGAAAUUACGGAUGGCUCAAGCACCUGAAAAUAUCCAUCUUUACACAUGAAAACGAUAUAGAGUUAGUUUGGAGAAGUUUUUCAAUAAGCACUUUAAGAAAAUGAAAAAAGAAAUAAGAACUGGUCACAAAUUUAAGAGAAGUUACAAUGUACACAACAUAUUGGAGAUAACCCCAGGACCAGCAUGAGUGUGAAAAAUCAAAAUUGCCCAAAAAUAGUUCAUGCUCUGCCGAGAGAGCAUGCUGGAAACAAAGUAACAUAUAGCUUGAAAUUUCUUGAAGCGAAAAUAAGGACAUGAAUGAUUGGCAGCGAUACAUAAUUCAAAUAGGGACAUAAGUAGCAACGUAAUUGAGAUAAAAGUUGGAAACAUCUCAAACAACUUCCCUACAAAAUGAUUUCUAAGAUUUCAUGUCUUUGAUAAACUUUCUCAGAACAAUAUGAAGUUUAACUUUAAAUAGAGCAGAGGCAGCUACCACAAAUGUUCACUUUGUAAUUGUACUGUAUAAAACGACCAAAUGUACCUACCAACAAAGAGAAACUUUGAAUACUUCCAUGCCUACCUAUAAAUUUUCGAAGAUAAUAAAAAGGGCCCAAUGUCAUCAUCAAACUUAACCCUUAUGAUCUCCAACCAAAUGCAUUCACCUGAAUCAUAGAAAAAUCCAUGGAGAGAUAUUUAUUUAGCAAGUUCAUGCUCAUUGAGGCUUCUGCCCUCUCUUCCUCCUAAAUUUCUCCCCUCUCAUUGGGCUCAUUGGUAUGUUUCAUUAGAAGUCAAUUUAUUAGAGAAUUUAUAUAAGUUCAGGUAAAUUCAUUUCAAUAUUACACUGAGAGGAUUUCUGAUACUUCUAUAGAACUGCUCAAGUAAUUUAUAUUCUAUGAUAAGAACAUAAAACUUCGUACCCCAUUGCCCAGAGGCUCUUCGCUAUGCGAAGGUAUGGGGGAGGGAUAUUGUACGCAGCCUUACCCUUGCAUAUGCAAAGAGGCUGUUUCCGGAUUCGAACCCAUGACCAACAAGUCACCAAGGCACAACUUUACCGCUGCACCAGGGCUCGCUCUCAUUCUAUGUUAAGAACAUAAUACUUAAAAAAUGAAAUCAGUUGUUUACUCUUUCUUUUUGCUUCUUUUACAUUUUAAUCCUUAGAUAAGUAGCUAAUCCUACGCAAGAACCUAGCUAGCUCAUAAAAAUACUUCACCAAUUCGCACAGAUCUAUAUACUGAGAAGGGGCGGUUUAUUUUAAGUGCAUGUGAAUGGCAGACCUGGUGAUUUGCAAGCUCUCCAUCUUGAGAAGUCCACUCGAAACAGAGCAAUCACCGAAUCCACAAUCUGCCAAAAAUAAAUUUGGUCAACUGUCCAUAUCCCAUGAUAUUGCAAACUGCAUAGUGCAUAGGAAAGAUAAGUAUAGGCACGAGCAGAUAUAACAAUCACAAACAGAAUAUGUUUAGGUGUCAACACCAAACUACUUUCCUUCAGAACCUAUUAUGAUAUAUAUGAAACCAACUAAACUUAUACUGCCCCAGGAUCCAUGCCAAAUCUCUCAGCUAUGGGAACAAUUCAGUCUGGUCGGCUACAGUUAUUUGUGAAUGAACAGGAAACAUUGGUAAAAUUUGGACGACAUUAGUUGAAAAAACAAUCACAAUUCAUAAGUUAUGAGUGGAAUCUAUCUGAAUCAAGAUAUGAGUUGAAAAAACAAUCACAAAUUUGGACGACAUCAUUUGAAAAAACAAUCACAAUGCAGAGGUGAACUUAUGAAAUUAAAAAUGAGCCGAAUCUAUCUGAAUCAACAUAUGAGUUGUGUUUUCACAGCAAUUCUCCAAACGAUUGUGUAAUUGCCGAUGUUUCAACCCCGCCUUUUUAAAAAGAAAAUUUCAAAAACAAAAUAUUUAUAGCAUAUUACACCGUCAAAUUUCAAGACAGUAAGAAAGAAAUUCCCAGCGUUAAGCUACCUCCUAGCAAUUCAUCAAGCGCUUGGCUUCCGGUAGUUAGUCAGAUCACCGAACAUUAAAUCUUUUCAUUUUUUCUAUUUUCUAUCUCUACGCCCAUAGAAUGUUCUUGCUCAAGACAUGAAUCACACAAUUGAAGAACAACACAUUCUUCAGAAAUACUUAGCAGAGAUUUAAUAUACCUAACAAUAAUGUUCCCGUGCUGUUUUUUUUUUUCAAGAGAGAAAUCUCACGAAUGGUGGUGUUGGGAUCUUACUAGUUUAUUACCAUAAAAUAUAAACAUAAAAUACUUUUUAUAUUGACAUUCAAUAUGAAUUUAUCUUAUUAGUUUAUUACCAUAUCAUAUAUAUUAUAGAAUCAGAUAAUGUGGCUGGAAGACUAAUUUCUUUUUGAAUGUUUAACAAGCAUGUGCUAUUUAAAGAUAUAAAAAAAUGAAUAUUAAUGAGUGAAAGUGGCUCGUGAAAAUGAUGAUUUGAAACAAUAAACCUUUUGUCUUUGUUUAUUAUAUAUUUCAUCCAGGUGGUGUUUUUCACAAACUCUAAAACAGAAGCAAACAAAUUGGCCAUGUUGAUAGCAAGGUUGUACAUCGGGUGCCAUGCAUGACAUAAUAUCUCUAAGGAAGGCUUACCAUAUAUGGUAAUGCAACUCGGACAAUGGGAGCCAUAGCUCAAAGCAUCUAGAAAUUUAAUGCAGUGCAAAUAUAAGCUAAGCAUUUAUUAGAUUCAUUUUUAAAUUUUAUAUAUGAUUUUUUUUUUCUAAUUUCAUGUCCAUAGGCUUCCAAAUUUUCGGAAUAAAGAAGGCAGCAAGACACUCUGUAAAUCAUCAUAAUACCUAAAUAAAGACAAGGUUCCAUAUCUCAAUGUAGGCAGGAUCAUCAUCCUUAUUAACCAACAAUGCAGCAUCACGGUUAACAAUGCUUUUGUUAAAUUGACAAGCAAAUUGUGACAGCAAUCUAAUAAGAAUGAUCCAAAUUAGAGAAAUGAACUAAGAUUUCUAUUCUGGCACUUCCUGGAUCCCUAGCUAAGUAUCAACAAGAUACAUGAAGAAUCAAAUGAAAGUGUAACCCUUCCAGUAUUAGAAACAUGAAAAUUUUCCAACCGAAGCCUCAAUUCAAUCACACAUCCCCACCCCCUAACUAACUUCUUUUUGCAUAAUUUAUUUCAUCUAAUCAAAUACAUUGAAAUAUUUAUUGGACAGUUUUUAUUAUAACUAAGUUUUAAUUCCCUGUAAAUAUGUUCCAAAAUCAAGUUCAAAUAUUGUGACUUAAUUUUAAUCAACAAAAUUAUGGAUGGGGUCUGGAAUUGUAAUAAAUUUUCAUUUCAACUUUUUUUCUAUAAAUAAAAUGAACACUUUAGAUGAAUAAGUUGGAUGCACCAAAUUAUCAUAAUAAUAAGAUGCACCAAAUUAUCAUAAUAAUAAAUGACUGACCCGCGUAUACAAAGAGCAUUCCGUAGGUCUCUAGAAGCUGCAACAACUUUCUGCAAAGUGCCGUUCUAAUUAAGCUUUCCAUAUUAUAUUCAAGAUGAAUUACAAUAGCACUUUCUUAAUCUCCUCUUUUCCUUAAUUUAUUUAAAACAUAGUAAAAUGGGACUUGAUGCACUUUACCUAAGAAUAAAAAUGAUAGCAUCUCAUUAUUUUUUCAAAUAUAUAAAUGGACUCAUAGCACAUAGUUCCAGGACUUGCUGUUGAAAAACAGUGUAACAAAGUUCCUGGUGAUGAAACAAAAAGUUAUUAACAAUAAUAUUCAACAAGAAAAAAUGCAAUAUUUGGUUCACAUUUUUUAUUCCACAAAGUGAGUAAACUAUUUAACAAAGCAUCACAAUGACAAUUUUCUUCCGGUGGUCAUGAUUCAAGGUGAAGAUGGCACAACCAUAUAACUCAAUUUUCUUCCGGUGGUCAUGAUUUACUAGCCAUGAACAAUUUUGCAUUUUAAAGAAAUUUACCUAUUAACAUACAUCUAGAAAAAGGAAAGGUGGUGAGCAUGAAAUGAUCAUGGAGAACGAUCCUGUCUUUGGUUAUCAAAUAAUCUAAUUCAUCAGCGACUAUGAAUUUGUUACUAUGAAGGUACAUUACUUCUUUGUUAGCAUCCAAUUAAAAAGAUAAAAACAUAACUUCCGAUAUCUAUGCAACUUGUUCACAGUCAUCAAUCCAUAACAUCACUAAGAGCAUGAAACCAGCAAGUAUAUCAUACCUCCUUAGCCCAAUUGAGUAAUUUAUCUUUCACUUUCUCCAUAGAUAAUGAUUUCCCAGGACACCCGCAUAUAUAGAGACUCUCAGCCUUCUUGUGCUCAACGCACCCCUUGCAAUUCCAAAACCAUAUCCUGCUCCUCGCGCGACACACAACCAAAGUCAAUGCAGUGGACAAGUGCAGUGCCAUCUUUGUCCUCUUCAAUUGCUCACCAUCUAAUUAUUUUUCCUACCACAAUAAAAACAAAUAAAAAUUACCACAACAAAAAAGAAGAAAGAAAGAAAAGAAACGAAUCUAAAAUCUCACCUUUGGGAUUCUACUUGGGUUUCAUAGCUGCUGGAUUAGCUUGGUUUUCGUCGGCGACAAAUCUGUUUUUCUGUAAAUGAGUGAACAUAAAUCAAUUAAUUAGGGGUAUUGAAAGAGAGGAGAGAGUGAACACUGGGAAUUAGGGGUUGCGGUGGUGCAUCAGUAGGGGGAUUUGAGAGGGGGCAAGGAAGGGUAAGAUCGCAAUGUGCGCUUGGGGUCGAUGACUGGCAUUGUGCGCAAGGUGAGAGAAUGGUGAAGAGAAAUGGGAUUAGGAUUUUGAAGGUUGAUGAAGAAAAUGAAAAUGUGAUCUAGUAACAGAGGGAAUAUGUGACAUCAAAAUCAGAAAUAAACUCAAGAAUUGAAAAGAAUGCAGAAGAAAAGAGGUAACAUACUAGGGAUUUUGAACAUGAAAGUAACAUUGUCACUAUUGUCGUCGGCCUUGAUGGUUAUGAUGUCAUCAUUACCAACCCAUGGAGAUGUUGCAGUCACAGCGAUAGUGCUCAAAGCACUCAAAUCAAAGGAGGAGCCAGACGAGGGUGAUAUGACUGGAGUCCAUGGCCUGGAGGGAGAACCCGGUGGAGGAGCAGUCAAAGUUUGCAUUAAUAUAAAAGAUCUAAUAACAUUAGUUUUUAAAUAAAACCAUUGUUUUUAGAAGUGACUCAACAUCGAAUUUUGAAAAACCGAUGUUAACAUUAUACUAGCAAUAUCGGUUAUUCCAAAAACCAAUGUUGAGUUUCUGUUAGUAACAUUGGUUUUUCAAAAACCGAUAUUAUGUUUCUUCUAGUAAUAUUUGUUUUUUAAAAUUCUGAUGUUAACAAAAUUACAAGUAGUGGCAACUGAAGAAAACAGGUAGUAGCAACUGCAAUUCGACUAUACUUCUGUCAUAGUGAAGAUCUGGAAGCAUUGUUGAAUAUGGAUGCAUUAUUUGCAACAAACAUUCCAAAAAAGGAUGCACAGUAGAAGCAGCAAGUAGCAAUCAAUUUUACCAUCACUUCUGGUUUUGGAUAGACAGUCCAUUCAUCUCUUUACAGGAUGCAAUAUUGUUAUAGUAAAUUCUACUUUGUCUGAAUAAGGUGAAAAGAUAUGCUCAUGGUCUUUAUUAUUUUUUAAGAGAUUCAAUAUUGUUAUGGUAAUUUCUAGCUAGUUAUUUUGUCACAAACACUAACUUGUCAUUUAAUUUGUCUUUGGCUCUUCGCAUAUUAUUUCUUCCUCCUCCCAUCUCUUUCUCUCUUUCUCUCUUUUGGUGGUGUAGAACCCAUGAACUAACAUAUAGUUGUAUCUGUGGUACUAGGCAGACCACCAAAACAAGCAUGAUGAAUGCUGUAGGUUGUUGUGACCACCGCAUAUUUCAGGUAUCAAGUUUAACAAUGAUGCAAUACGGAAAUUCGAUGCCUUGUAAGCGCAAGUUUUUGGCAAUUAAAGAAAAAAAGUAGAAACGACAAAACAAAAAUGAAAAUUCAUUGUGAAGAAUCGGAGGCAGUGUUGAAUAUGGAUACAAGAUUUGCACCAUUCAAACCAAAAAAGGAUGCACAAUAGAGAAGCACCAGUAGCAUUAUUUGGUUUCUAAAUUUAGGAAUAUCACUCCAAGCGUUAACUUUCACGUGUCAAGUUAACAUUAAGUGAAUGGUAGCUCUUGUACCUUCAAAUCUUUAUCAUAGAGAAUAAAAUGAAGGAACAAAGCAAAAUGGUGAAAGGAUGCUACCAAACCCUCCCUGGGAAUAUAAUCAAGUUUAUGCAUAAUCAAUUUAAGCAUCUGAGAAUAAUCAAGCAAAGGAACAACGGCAAGUAGAUAUUGUUAGAAAUGGUCUGAUCUGAACAUCCUUGAACAGAAUAGACCAUACCAGUUGCCAUUUGACUGUCACGGAUGAGUGGACGGUUUUAUGACAAUUGGGCAUUGGUGCCAAAGAACAAAAGAGAAUGGAAUUUUUGGAGUCUCACCUGUAAUUACUGAAACGAUAAUACAAUGAGUGGAGGGACUGUAAACAAUCAAACAGCUGAUAUGGAGAUUUAUGUUAAACGAGACUUAAUUAAAACAAAUGAUGGAUUGAUCAAAACCAUAACUUUCUAAUAGCUAUUGAUGAUAUGUAUUCUUUUUAACAAUUGUAUUUAAUUGUGAAUUAAAUUACUUACAUUAAUAAAUAUUUAGAAUAUAUUUUUGAUAUUUUUAAAAACAUUUUUAUUGACGUUUACAAAUUUUUAAAACAUAGUAUAAUUAAGAAAUAAUUAAAUUAAUAUAUACUAAUUAGUAUAUCAAUUAAAUAUUUUAAAGAAGUUUAGCAUAUUAUAUACUAGUUAUAAUAUUAUAUUAAAUUUUAUGCUUAAAUAUUUUUUUUAUUCUAAUAAAUAUUUAAUUUUGUAUUUACUCUUUGAUAAAUUUUUAUUUUGCAUUCAAUUUCUAAUAAAAUAAUAAUUUUAUUUUAAUCCUUAAUAAAUUAACAUAUUUUAUAUUUGUUCCUUAAUAAAUUAAAAAAAAUAGUUUAGUUCUGACUAAUAAAAAAUGAAAUAUUUUUGCAAGAGAACAAAGUUCCAUAAUUUAGCAAUGUUAAAAAAUGACAAAAAUAAAAAUAAAAUUUUUAUUUUAUUGAAGAAACACAGUAUAAAAAUGGAUUGAGUAAUUUCUAAUUUGACUCGCGGGAACACUUAGCUUUCACUGAGAAGAAGCUCCGUAGAAAGUGUGAAGAAGUUUCGGAAAGAAAGAGACGUUCACCUUUUGCUAUUUUUUAAAAUUGACUUGACUUGACUUAUAUUUCAUUUCAACAAAUUUUCUUCCACUUUUGUCAAUUGCAAACAGUGGCUUCUUCAUCUCACGCCAUGGCGAAGAAUGAUGCGUUUUUGAGCUUCCAUGGUUUAAACACCAUUGCAAUCUAUAUAGCCGUUUCUGAUAGGCUCAGCUUAGGCAAACUGGCUUCGAGGGCCAGGACCUCCAAGGAAGAAGAAGAAGAAUAGAGGAAAGUGCUUCUGUUUCAUUGUUCUGCCUAUUUUUUAUGAUGUUGAUCCAUCAGAGGUGCGAAAACAGAUUGGAUGUUUUGGGAAAGCCUUUGGGAAAGCCAGAUGGAGAGAAGCUCUCACACGUGUGGCUAAUCGAUCUGGUUGGGUUAUUGGAAAUGAGUCAGUAAUCCUCUCUCAUUUCAUGCUGAAUUUUCAUUUAUUAUCUAUAUCUGCUCUUAGUCAUAUUUCUUUUUUUUUUUUUUUAAAUCUUUUCAGGUCAUACUGUGUACACAUUCCAGAAAUGGUUCGAAAGGUAACAAUAUAUUAAAUUUGGUCCCACAUUUUCAAGUCUUCCAAAGGAUAUAAUCUGGUUAGGAUGGAAUUUCGAGUUAAGGAAUAAGCAAAGGUUUUACAUUUUGGGUUGGUUAAUGAUGUUCAGGUUGUCGGAAUUUCUCAAAUAGGAAACAUAACUAUGGGUCUUGCUUUUUAUGAAAGAAUAUAGCGUCAAUCAUAUUUUUGCUGUUUUAUUGAGGGUGUAAGCUAGUUUUGUCAAAAAUGCUAAGUAUAUUGGAAAGCUGCAACGAGAAAAUAAAAAAUGCCUAAACUGAAAACAGGGAAUGUUAUAUAUGGUUAUGUUAGCUUGGGAGAAAGCAAAGUUGGAAAAUAAGGUGUGGGUGCAAUCGUAUCAACUUCACAUAUAUGGUUAUGUUAGCUUGGGAGAAAGCAAAGUUGAGUAAUUAACUAACCUAAUAUUUCUUCACUGCCCACUUCGUUUGUAUCCAGAAACACUUGUCCCUGCUUCCUUCAACUUCUGGAAUUGCAUUGGCUUCUAGCACCAUCAUGCAUGCAAUAAGGACAUAUGAUGUGUUUGUGAGCUUCCACGGUUUAGACACACGCAACAAUUUUGCUGCUCUUCUUCUUCAAGCUCUCCAUAGGAAUGGCAUUGAUGCCUUCAACGAUAAUGUACAUGUCAUGAAAGGUGAAUUCAUUGAAUCCGAGCUGUAUAUGGCCAUUGAUGGGUCUCGCAAUUUCAUUGUGGUCUUCACAAAGAACUAUGCUUCCUCAACUUGGUGCUUGCACGAACUAGCACGGAUCUGCAUGAACAUUGAAACAUCAACAAGACGAAUUCUGCCCAUUUUUUAUGUUGUUGAUCCAUUAAAAGUGCAAAAGCAGAGUGGAUGUUAUGAGAAAGCCUUUAUGGAUUACGAAGAAAGAUUCAGAGGAGCUAAAGAGAGGGAGCAAGUAUGGAGAUGGAGAAAAGGUCUGAAACAAGUGUCACAUCUCCCUUGUUUGCAUAUCCAAAAUGAGUAAGUAGUCCUCUCUCAUUUAACAAAAGAAAUUCAUUUCUUACAUAUAUAUGCACCAAGUUAUCUACAUGUGCAUAUAUUUCCUCGCUUCUCAGUCAUGCAGUUUUCAUGAAUUUACUAUCCCUUUCUAAACUAGACUUGAGAGAUAUUGAAGAGAUAACAUGUUACACAUGUUUAAUACAAAUAGUAUUUUAUAACAGAAGAAAUACUUUUAUUAUGCAAAUAAUAUUUUAAAACAUAAAAUGUACUGUUAUUUUCUUGUCCAACACAUGUACAUUUUGUUUUGGUUUGCUAGGGUGAUGAUUUGGAAUUCUUCAUUCUCUUUAAUUUUUCAGUCUACAACAUUUACAACAGGCAGAGAUCGAAGAAAUUCUUCAAGAGAUAAUAAAUAUAUUGAAUUUCUAAUCUUCAAGUCUUCCAAAUGAUGAUCUAGUUGGGAUGAAAUCUAUUGUCAAAGAAGUAUACUUGCACAAAAUUAUUGUUUUGGUUGUCAUAGGAUACUUGUGUUAGAUAUCAUUCUUUUUCUUUUGGAUGUAAUGUUUGCCAUAGGAUGAUACAAUUUCUGAUCCUUUUUUAUGAAACUUAAACAUAGCCUGUGAAUUUAUGUCUAAUAAGCUUUUUCUUAUUUGAAUCAAUUUAUUAAUGUAUAAUAUUAUGAUCUUUAACUCUACAUGACAGCAUGAAGAGAAGUUGAAACAAAAGGAUUCUUCAUUUGAGCCAAUCUGAUAAAGUCAUCUUUGUCUCCUACUUUCAAGUAAUCUGUUUCAGAUUUUUAUCUGAACAGACUAUGCCCUGUUCUUUGACUCUUACAUUUGAGGGCUUGACUAGUAUUUUCAUGGAGACUGUUACUGGACAAAUUGCCUUCAUGUGAACAACUUCAUCAAAGACAUGUUCAGAUUCAAAACUUAGAAGCUUCUUGUUAUUUUUGUUACUCGAGAAAGGAAACCACGCAAUACUUAUUUCUCAUGCGUUCUGAGACUAUUCAGAUCGAUGUUUUUCUUUCCUUCAUGGUUUCGUUGGCAGCUCGACUAGCGUCUCUCUGACAUGCUACUGUCGCCGUCCACGCUUACUCUAACUGGUGCUUAACUCAUCCGUCACUUCACCAAAGCCUCCCCAUAUCGUCACGCGCGUGUAGGUUGCAAGAUCUACAGUAGUGUGAAGGUUUUCUCUAAUUUAUGCUCCAGUUGGGUUUCUGUGUUUGGGGUUAUGGGGUUCUUUUUUAAUUUUGAUUCGUAUGUGAUUUUUAGCUUUUGACUACCGACAUCUCUAUCACAUUCUCCUAUUCUUUGUGUUACUGAAAUCUUGACUGAAGAUGAAUAUGAUUCUUUUGUGAAGUUUCACUGUCUCUUUUUGAAAUCGUGAUAUUGAGUACAAUUUAAGGACCUGAGGGUCCAGAGGAAGUGAAAGAAAUUCUUCAGGGAUUGUUGUGUGGCAAAUUUCGGUUGAGAAAACAUGAGUUGGUGCAGGAGGAAGAGAAUAUUUUCCUUUAUCUUCAACCUAUCUCAAGCAACAUGGGUCCUUGAUUUUUUUUUCUUUAGGAUCUUCUACCUACAACUUGAAAAUAAUUUCUAAAUUUUACUGAUAUGUGCUUGCUAUAUUUCAUUUUUUUUUUUUUUUGCAUCAUUUUUUCCAUUUUAAUAACUAUUUCCUCUUGUAUCCUCAGACUCUGGUGCCAGACCACCCUCAUUCAAUGCAAAAUCAUGAGGCUUUAAUCAUUGGGUAUCUUUUACUCUAGGUAAAAAGCUUUUUACUAUUUUUACAUGUUAUAUCCAGACUGUGGAUUUGAUUACAUUUCAAUAAACAUAGCUUUGGCUCUGAACAAUCUUAACAGGACAAACUCAAAUGCAUUAAGUGUAUGUUUGGAUGAUUAAUUACAUUUAGUUACUGAAAUAUUGCAAAUUUUGAGCCUGAGUAUGGACUAGAUCCAAUGCUUCAUUUCGCUUUGGUUGGAUCUGAGCGGCAAGUCAGAAUUCAAGGUAGAGCUAGCAAUUGGCAGGACAAACUUGUGGUGACCUCAACACGUUCUGUGGAAUAGGAUGCAUUCCCAAAUGAUUAUCUUGUUGGGAUGGAAUCCCGUAUUGAAGAAUUAGAAAAGCUUUUAAUGUUCAGAUCAAUUAAUGUCGUUCGAGUUGUCGGAUUUAGUAGGAUGGGUGGAAUAGGAGAGACAACUCUUUGUAUGAAAGAAUCUAUCAUCAGUAUAAUGUUCAUUGUUUUAUUGACGUUGUGGGUAAAAUUUAUCUCAUUUUCAACACAUCAGGUGUACAAAAACAAUUGCCUUCUCAGUGCCUAAAGGAAAAAAAUGUAGAGGUUUGCAUACAAGAGCACUAAUAUUACUUGAUAAUGUUGAUCGAGUUGAACAACUAAAUUUGUUUACUGGUAAUAGAGAGACUCUAUUACGGCAAUGCCUAGGUGGAGGGAGUAGAAUCAUUGUAAUUUCUAGGGAUGAACAUAUACUGAAGACACAUGGAAUACGUAGAUGAUGUGCACCAAGUCAAGUUGUUGGAUAAAGAAGCCGUUCAGUUGUUUUGCAUAAAUGCUUUCAAAGGUUAUUAUAUUGAGACUUGAGAGUGAUUAUGAAACACUAACACGUGAAGCACUAUCACAUGCUCAAGGCCAUCUCAUUGUCUUUUGAAAUGGGAACAUAAUAUUCCGCUUCUUUUCCAUGGAGAUCUAGUCAUGGAUGAUUCAGAUCACAUGUGGCUAUUUUAUAUCACUCGACAAGAUUUCAUUGAAUUAUAUAAAUUGGGAGGGAAACGUUCUGGUGAUUUUGAAUUUAGAAUACAUGAUGAUUGAUAGAGCAGAGAUGAAACGAUUGUAAUAAGGUAUUUUAUUGAAUGUGUGAAUAAUGGAAAACUGAAUACAAACCAGAGCCAAGCUCCUCAGCAGAGAACAAACUCUCUAACUGCCUAACCACAAGGGCGAAAGCAAAAUGAAUAAUCUCCCCCAUAACUAAUUCCCACUACUCUACUUAUUGAGGGAAUAUCCUAACCGAAUGCCACCUCAGCUAUCACACUUUCUUUGUGACUCCUUUCUUAAUCCUUCUUUCAUACACGCGCCAAACUUUGGGCUCAACAUUCUUUUUGUUAACCAAUACUUCACCUUCACUACUAACAGACCCACUUCUAUCAUCACCCCCUCCUGCAACAACAGCCUUGUCCUCAAGGCUGAAAUCUGGGAAUUGACUCUUUAACAAUAAUUCCUCUUCCCAUGUGGCAUCUCCAAUAUCCAUGCCUUCCCACUGCACCAGCCAUUCCCUAGUAUGUUUUCCAGCAUCAAAUUUGUCUCUCCACGACAACAGCUUGGCAGGAACCACAUCCUUUUUCUCCAAUUCCAGGCUGGCAGGCAAGUCAUUAGACACUGUGUAGUUACCCACUGCCUUCUUAAUUUGUGAUACAUGAAAAAUAGGGUGAAUUUUUUAUGUUGCCGGCAACUUAAGCUUGUAUGCAACUGGACCAACCUUCUGAAUGAUCUGGUAAGGGCCAAAGAACCUGGGAGCGAGUUUCUGAUGAAUUCUUUGCACCACAGAUUGUUGUCUAUGAGGCCAUAAUUUGAGAAAGACCCAAUCUCCCACGUCAAACUGCACUUCCUUCCUUCUUUUAUCAGCUUGCAUCUUCAUUUGCUCUUGUGCCUUCUGUAAAUUGAAUUUCAGUUGUCUCAAUGCCUCAUCUCUAUCCCUCAAUUCUUGAGCCACCGCUUCAACUCUAGUUUCACCCUCUAAGAAGUGCACCAACACCGGUGGUUUUCUGCCAUAAACCACCUCAAAUGGUGUGAAACCAGUAGAGAUAUGAAAGGUAGUAUUGUACCACAAUUCAGCCCAUGGCAAUGGGCCCAUGACUUUGGUUGGUCAGAUAUGAAGCAACGAAGAUAAGCCUCAAGGCACCGGUUGACUACUUCCGUUUGACCAUCCGUUUGAGGAUGGUAUGCUGAAGACAUUUUGAGCACAGUCCCGAUCAGCUUGAACAAUUCCUUCCAAAAAAUGCUCACAAAUAAAGGGUCACGAUCACUGAGUAUAGACUCCGGAACGCCAUGAAGCCUCACCGCCUCUUUCACAAAAAUAGAAGCAAUGGAACGGGCUGUGAAAGGGUGCUUGAGGGGAAUGAAAUGACUGUAUUUCGAGAGGCGAUCAACUACCACCAAAAUAGCUUCAUAGUCGUUGCUCUUAGGUAAGUUAGUGAUAAAAUCCAUAGAAAUUUCACUCCAUACCAACACAGGAAUAGGCAAGGGCUGCAGCAAACCACUAGGUGUGGUGGCAGCAUAUUUUUGCCUUUGACAAGUAUCACAAGCCUUCACAAACUCCUGAACUCUCUUCAUCAUGCCCUGCCAGUACAACGUUCCAGCCAUUCGUCUAUAUGUUCUGAGGUACCCUGAAUGUCCUCCACUAGGAGAUGAAUGAAAAUCGCGCAGUAAAUCAUCAAUUAUUGGAGACUUAGCUGGAAUGACCAACCUAUUUUUGUAGAACAACACCCCACCUUUUAAAACGAAACCUGGCUUCGAUGUAGGGUCCGAUUGAAUAGCUUUAAUGAUUCCUUUGAGGACUGGAUCUUGCAUAACUUCUUGCUGCAGCUGUUUCCCUUGAGUCCAGAUCGGAAAUGACAACAUGGUCUGUAUUGUUGCCUCUUCGUGUUGCAUUGAUAACGCAUCCGCCACCUUAUUCUCCACUCCUACCUUAUAAACCACUUCAAAGUCAAAGCCCAGCAAUUUAGCCAUCCAUUCUUGCUGGUUAGCCGUCGUGAUACGUUGUUGUAGUAAGUGUUUGAGGCUCUUUUGGUCAGAGUAUACCACGAAGCGCCUACCCAACAAAUAGUGUCGCCAGUGUUGAAUAGCUAAAACUAAUGUCAUCAACUCCUUGUCAUAAGCUGAUUUGGAUAGUUUAGAGGCAGUAAAUGCUUUACUGAAGUAAGCAAUAGGGUGCUUCAUCUGCAUCAACACAGCCCCAACACCUUUACCGGAGGCAUCACAUUCAAUUUCAAAGGGCAGUUCGAAAUUGGGUAAGGUAAGCACAGGCGAUGAAGUAACAGCAGUUUUUAAUGUCUGAAAUGCUUUUUCCGCCUCUUCAUUCCACUUAAACCCUUCCUUCUUUGUCAACUCUAUCAAGGGUUUAGCUAUUUUCCCAUAAUUGGCAAUGAAUUUCCGAUAGUAUCCGGUCAAACCCAAAAAUCCACGCACCCCUUUUACACUAGUAGGAACUGGCCACUGCAAAACACUCUGCACCUUGGCCGGAUCAACCAUCACCCCUGCCUUAGAAAUGACAUGGCCUAAGUAUUCGAUCUUUUCUUGGCCAAAAGCACAUUUGUUCUUAUUCGCCACAAACUGAUGCUGUUGGAGGACUUGCAGCACCACAGCUAAAUGUUGCAAAUGAGUGUUCCAAUCACCGCUGUAUACUAAGAUGUCGUCAAAGAAUACGAGGACAAAUCUUCUCAAAUAAGGUUUAAAGAUCUCAUUCAUCACAGAUUGGAAGGUAGCUGGAGCGUUAGUCAGACCGAAUGGCAUCACCAUAAACUCAUAAUGACCUUCAUGGGUUCGAAAAGCAGUCUUAUGAAUAUCCUCCUCCUUCAUUCGAAUUUGAUGAUAACCCGAUUUCAAGUCUAACUUCGAAAAGUAUGCAGAACCAUGCAAUUCAUCAAGUAAUUCAUCAACCACAGGAAUUGGAUACUUAUCUUGUAUGGUGACCUUGUUCAAUGCGCGGUAAUCAACACACAUCCUCCAUGAAUGAUCUUUCUUCUUGACCAAAAUGACCGGACUCGAAAAAGCACUAGUGCUAUUUCGAAUUACUCCUUGUUGUAACAAAAUCUGAAUAUGUUUUUCAAUCUCAUCUUUAUGAUGAUGAGGAUACCUAUAAGGUCGAACACUCACAGGCCCAGCACCAGGUAACAACACAAUUGAAUGGCUAUUGUUCCUUGCUGGAGGCAGACCCAUUACUUCACAAAAAACACUGGAGAACUUAGUCAGCAACGCUUGAAGCGCUCUGUUUUGCACCUCACUAAGCCCAGCUUCAGCCUUGCCCUUUACUUCCAUCAAAGUAGGAGACCCUUCAUUAGCAAACACACUGGAAGUGGUCACGGCACUCUGGAAUGUGGCCAUUUUCUCCUCCAAGGGCUGACCAAUCAACUUCACCAAAUUCCCGUUGUAAUUGAACACCAUAGACAUCUCCUUCCAAUCCAUAGUGACCUUGCCAAGAUUUUCAAGCCAAACUACUCCCAAAAUUAAAUCCACACCUCCUAACUCCAAAAUAUAAGCAUCAAUGGUAGUCUCCAUUUCCCCCAAUACCAAGGAAAUUGCCGCACACUUACCCAUAGUCAAAACACGAUGAUCAUCACCUAACUUGACUCCCAAGGGCUUGGAAGGGACCAGCUGUAAACCCAAAGCUUCCACCACUUUGGGAGAUAUGAAGUUAUGUGUUGCACCACUAUCAAUUAGAACCAAGAUGUUUGCCCCUUGCAAAACACCCUCCAGCUUCAUGGUACGAACUUGUGAAGAGGUAGAAGACACACCAAACACCCCAAGUCCUUUACAUUCCAUUUCGUCAGACUCUGUGUCCUCCUCUGCCGCUGUUUCCAACACCACAAUUUCACCCUCAUCGUUGAUGGCCUCAUCAUCACCCAGAAUAAUCACUCGCAACUGCUUCGUAGCGCAUUGAUGGAGCGGAUCCCAACGUUCAUUGCAUCGAAAGCAUAAACCCUUUGAACGACGCUCAUUCAUCUCUGCUGCCGGAAGAUGACGGACACCACGGGGAUUGCGACGACCACCUUCACCGGCGUUCAGGCGAGAACCGGAGGAUGGUGCGGAUGAACGAGUCGAUCCUGUCGAUAGAGUGGACCCAGAAACAGAUCGGGAAAUUGAAUUGGAUUUCCCCAAACCACCGCCAGAUUGGGCCGGAUUAGAUGACCCGUUUCCAUCCCCUUCACGUUGGGUCCAAACCUGUUUCUGUGGGCGAGCCCAACUCGCUUGACCCGGCUUGUGGCGAGACCCGACUCCCUGACCCGACACGUCAGCGAACUCACGUUCAACAUCACGUGCCAACUGCAUCGCCAAAUAACGAUUUCGUGGUUUGAAGGUACGCACACGGGAACGAAUAUCAUGACGCAACCCUCCGAUGAAAUACCCCAGAAACUGUUGUUCCGGCAACCGUCCACACUGGGAGGAGUACAGUUCGAAUUCCGCGACGUAUUCCUCCACCGAACCGUUUUGUUUCAACUCCUUGAGUUCUUCAAACGGGUUCUCCAAACGUCCACCGCCAAAUCGAAUCAUCAUCGCCUCCGUCAGAUUCUCCCAUGUCAACUCCUCUGUUGAAUCACGCCAGAGAUUGAACCAGUGAAUAGUAGGGCCUUCCAUGCUGAGUUUGGUCAAUUGAAUACUCACCUCCUCAGAAAUUCGCUGCACUUCAAAAUACGUCUCAGCUUGGGUAAUCCACGCCACGGGAUCGUCGCCGUUGAACGACGGCAACUCAACUUUCUUGGCAGAUAAACGAAAUUCAUCCAGGGGUGAGGUAACUGAGUCACCACCCGGUGGAGGAGAAGGACGACUCGCCAUCGCACGCUGAAUCUCGGCGCCGAUGAACUCGCGUAACGAUACAAUACUGGCUUCCACGCGUUCCAAACGAUCUUCCACUGCUGUGACACGAUCAGCCAUCUUUGGGGCUCGGGGCAUCAACAACGGUAGGUCGGACCAAUUGAUAGAGCAGAGAUGAAACGAUUGUAAUAAGGUAUUUUAUUGAAUGUGUGAAUAAUGGAAAACUAAAUACAAACCAGAGCCAAGCUCCUCAGCAGAGAACAAACUCUCUAACUGCCUAACCACAAGGGCGAAAGCAAAAUGAAUAAUCUCCCCCAUAACUAAUUCCCACUACUCUACUUAUUGAGGGAAUAUCCUAACCGAAUGCCACCUCAGCUAUCACACUUUCUUUGUGACUCCUUUCUUAAUCCUUCUUUCAUACACGCGCCAAAUUUUGGGCUCAACAUUCUUUUUGUUAACCAAUACUUCACCUUCACUACUAACAGACCCACUUCUAUCAAUGAUCAAUAUUUUCAUGCUGAGGUGAAGAAAUAUUGUUAUAGUUGGGUAUAUGAACAGGAUCAACAACUAUCAAACUUAACAACAAUGCACAUACAGCGAAAAUUAGUUGCAUGCCUAUAUGUGUGUGAUGAAAAUCACAAUAUUUUCAAAAAAUAUAUUUUGACAUUAGUUAAAUUCAUAAAGGCUCUCUAAUUUUGGUGUCAUUUUAAUCAAGUAAAUCUAUUUAUGUAUUUUCUAUUUAAAAAUUGAAGUACCAUACAUGUUUUUUAAUUUAAAAACAGAAGCUCUAUAUUUUUAAGGACAGAGACUAUCAUGUCACAUCAGUUUUUAUCUUCUUUCUUUUCAAAAACCUGAUUUUUCUUCUGCUUUGGUUGGUUCAUUUUCCUGGGCACAACAUAUCUUAUACAAAAAGAGUUCCUUGCUGCUCUGCUACCUGAGCCUUGGCUGAGACGGGUCUAUUAAAUCUUGGAGGGUUCUUGCGCCAUGCAAAUAAAUCCUUAAGGACAAUGUGCCUCCACACGUCUCAUACUGUUGCUGCAUUGUUUCUGGUUUUGCAUUGCUGCAGGGUUUCUGUUAUUGCAUGUGUUGUUGUUUCUUACUGAUAUUACGUUGCUGCUUCAAAUUUGACAACGAAAAUAUGGUCUGGUCUCCACUCUUAACAACUUACAUUUAGAGGAAGGAUUACCUUAUUUUAUAUGUCGAUUACUUUAUUAAGGUAUUUUUUCUUUCGAAUUUUAAUUGUAGUUUCUCACAAUAUAUUUUCCAUUUUUGUAUUAUAUUUCUAUCACCAUCUAUAAAUGUAUGUUAACACGAUUUCUGUAGAAAAGCUCUGCCGGUGCACCUUGCAACAUGCCGUCAUGUAAAGGUGGCAAAUGUUAUAAUGAGAGGGAUAUGUAACUAUUUAGACAGAAAAUCGUUAGCAAUAAUUUCUCUUAGAAAGGUUUGUCAAAACCAUGCAAUGGGACACUAACAACUGAUCGGCCAAUUUAUGCUUUUGAAGUUUGCCCCACUCCAUGUUCUAUCUAUUUUCUAUUUUACAAAAUAUAUAAAUUCUAAGACGCAGGCUGCCACAGUGUCUUUUUAUUUAUUACUAUCUCUGUUAAAGGUUUGUAGGUUGUUAUUAGGAAGAAUCUGGCUUGGUUAAAACUGUUGCCUCCGUGUGGGUGCAAGGAGUAGUGGUUAAGAGUCAACAACAUAGUGCUGGUUAGUUCUCCUUCGUUCUUUACAAAACAAUCUCUCAACAGUUUAUAUGGAUUAUAACUGCUAUAUAUGUCUUUUUUUUCACAUUUUGAACAUCUUUCUGUGCAACUUUGUAUAUACCAGUGCGGACACAACUGAUAAAGAAAACUGAUAUCUAGAACUUUUAUUUUCCUUGAAAAGAUUUGAAGUUUCUAGCUAUAUAUAUAUAGUCCAUGCUUAUUUUUCAGGGCUCACUGAUAGAAAGGAAAGAGUUAGCUGUGAAAAGGAUUUCAAACAAAUCUGGAUAAGGGUUGGAUGAGUUCAAAUAUGAAGUGGUGUGGAUUGCAAGCUGAGACAAACACAAACAGGGUUGUUGGGACAUAGUAUGUCAGUUUCCUUUUGGUUAUGAUUCUUUGAUAUUGUUCUGUCAAGGUUAUAUUAUUUUGUUUUGAAAUUAAUAUUCAAUGGUUAAAUGCCUCCUGAGUAUGCUGCGUGCCAGCAUUUCUUCAUGAAGGAGAAGAGAUUUUAAGAGUAAAGAGAGGAUUUUCAUGCCCAGACCACUACAAUAACGUUCUAGGACAUGUAACCAAAUUGGUAUGACUAUGUUGCUAAUUUAUAUAAACAGUUAUUUCUGACCAAAUAAUUUUAACUUUUGCCAUCUUAGGCAUGGAAAUUAUGGAGAGAAGAGAGGAAGCUGAACUGUUGGAUGAAGUAUUAGGAGAACAGUGCAUGUUCUCUGAAGUCAUACGAUACAUACAAGUAGUAUUAUUAUGUGCGUGCAACAAAGACCAGAAGAUAGGUCAUACAUGUCUUCAGUGUUUUUAAAUUUUAAUGUUGAAUUAUGAUAAAUUAUUGCCAAAGCCAAAAGUUCCUGGCUUUUACAAUGAAAUAGAUGUUACACCCGAAGCAAAUUCUCUGUUAGCAAAUCCAAUAUUGUGCUCAGUUAAUGAGGUUUCCAUCAAUUUUAGAUGCAAGAUAAAAAAUGGACGGAAGAAAAUGUUAAAGAUUCACCUUCCAAUUCAGGAUAUUUGAUAAUUGAUUUGAUAUUAAAUAUUAAAGGUUCUUGUACGAGCACCUACUUUGUAUCAUCUUUUAGUUUGUAAAAAUUACAAAUGUUAUUGCUUUUAGUCUUAAGCAUGAGACUAAAACUAUAUCAUUUAUGGAAAGCUAGUUUCAUCUUAAUGUUUUUUCUGCUCGUGUUAUUUGCUCUUAAAUAUGCUGCAGAUGCUGCAUGCACUGUACUACAGGUAAUCACCUAAAAAUAGACAGUUGUUCCCAUUCAAUUUCUGCUUGGCACCUUAAUAUGUACCUCGAGCACAUUUUUCUUUGGUGAACAAACUCAGAUAUUGGGAUCUCCAUCUAACAUAAAUUUUUCAUUGGUGAAGAUCCUAAUUUAAAGCACCCAAAGAUUAGGGAAUAAAAUAGCUGAGCCUGAGGAGUAUAAAAUGAAGGAAGAAAGCAAGAUUUUUGAGAAAAAUGAAGGAGCCUGAGGAUCUAUCAUCUGGGCAUUAUGGUAACUUGGGCCUAAUCAGUUCGUGCAUUUGGGCCUAUAGAAUGACCCUACAUCAACCAUUUAUUUUAAGCUACAAACUGCCAAUAUAUCACCAUAAAUUAUACAAGCUAGCACGCAAGCAUACAAGAAGAUCUCUGGAUCAUUGUUUGAUUGGUCCAAUACAGUUAAAUUUAUGAUUAAACUGCAAUUAAACUUUAGUCGAAUUGGAUACGUAGAUUGUUCAUGAUCCAACCAGUACAUUAUAUUGAACAUCUCCCAAGUUUAAUUUCUUCAUGGUGAUAUGUAAUAAUCCAUUCACCGGAUCUCAUCACACAUUUCACAUCCUUGUCUCAGCUCUUGCAUUCUAUGGAAUGGAAACACUUUUGAUGCGAUGAUUAUUUGAAUACAAGUUCCCUCCUGCAUGAAUAAUUUUUAUAAACCUUGCAGUAUUAUAAUAAUAACUUUCAGGGUUCUAUUCGUAAUGGACCAUUAAGUGUAGUCAAAUUGAGGAAUGGCAAAACUUAGACUACAUCAAAUGUAUUACUGAUAAGAAAUGUGUAAGUAUCUUCUCUAAUUGUAGCAUCCAAGUUCUCUAAAUGUGUAAGUAUUUUCUUCCAAGAGCUUGUGUUAAUACUGAAGAUUUGAGUCUAGCUGACUUGAUUUAAUAAUAAUCUGCAACAAUCUAUAAAUUAUUAUAUUCAGUGGCAAAAAAAAUAGGAAACCUAAAAUAAGUGUACAAAAACAAAUUAUUAGCUUAAGACCCACAAGGCUUGAAGAAUGAAAAUUCUAAGAUUCUACAAUUAUUAGCUUUAUAUUUCUUCACUGCCAACAGCCGACAGUAAUUGUCCUCGCUUUCAGAUUCUGCAAUAGCAAUGACUUCUAACACCACUAUCCAAAAACAUUUAAAAUUACUUGGUUGAAACAUAUAAAAAAUACUAAAAGUAAAAAAUCUUAAAAGUUUAGGCACAAAAAUAUAAUUUAUUAUUAUUUUUUGCAAAUGUUUUAUCUUAUUUUUCUACAAAGACUAGCUAAGACCAAACACAACCAAAUUUACAUAAACUUUAAAUAUUUUUAAUAAUAAUGAUAAUAAUAUAAUUAAAUAUAAAUGAGUCUCGUCUUGAAUGCCUAAAAAUAAAAAUAAAAACGCGUUAGCAUUAAUAUCUAUUGUCUUCACUAGAAAAAACCGGGCAAUGGAAAAAACAAAGAGGAAAAAACCGAACAAUAAAAACGCGUUAGCAUUAAUAAUGUUCAUGCUAGCUUUACAACAAAGAGGAAAACUUAGUCCAACUUGACAGUUCUGCGAGCGAAUUGAAAAUUGACAUUAACUUCUAAGGGAUGUGUGGAAAAUAAAGUCUUACUAUUUAGCUUAUAAAUUGAAUUUACGAUAAAAUAUCUUUUUAACUUCUAAUAAAUAUUUAAAUUCUAUAUUUUUUUAUUUUUACUCUUUGGUAAAAGAAAAGCUUUAUUUUUUGGUGUUUUGACACUUUUUUUAGUCUUUAAUAAAUUAAUAAAUAUUAUAUUUUUUCCUAAUAAUUUUUAGUUAAAAUAUAUCUGUGAUCCUUAAUAAAUAUUUAAUUUUUUUAUUCUUUGAUAAUUUUAUAUUUACCUUGAGUAUCAAAUAAAAUAAUAAUUUUAUUUUUACUUAUUGAUAUUUUUAAAUUUCUAAUAAAUGAAUUUUAUUCGUUCUCAGAUAUUUCCUUCAUAUCUAAAUUUAAGCUACAAAAAAAAAAUUAGACUUAAAUAUAAUCAAAUAUUAAAUAGCUUUUAUAUUAUAUUUAAUAAUAAUAUUUUUAUUUUGUCUUUCAUUUAAUAAAAUUUUAUCUCUUGUAAUAACCAGGCUAAUUUUAGAAAAAAAAUUGAAUUAAAUAUUACUAAUUGAAUUUCUUCUUUCAUACAUUUGCCAGCAGUUAAGUUUACUUAUAUUUAUGUUAGGGUAAUAUAUCUUUUAUCAUUUGUUAUUAAUUUUUUUCAAAAACAUUAAUAACAAAUGAAUUUUUUUUAUCAUACAAUACAUAAAAAAUUUUGAAUUUUUAAAGUUGAAUUUUACAAUAUUCUACACGAGCAAGAAGAAUAGGAAAUCAUGGUCUUAGAAUAUUUAUCUUUCUUAAAUAGACUAAUAAUGUCAUUCCGAUAAUUAUUACUUUUGACUUUAUCUUUCUAUUCUCUGAACUUUCUUUCAUAACUUUAAUUGAUGAUAAUGAAUCUUGUAGCAUGUGCAAUGGGCCUAUGUGGCAAGUUACACAUUGAAUAAGUGACGCGGUUUAUGCGGAUCCCACAUAUGGCAAAGAGGGGAAAACUCCACUAGCUGACUUGACUUAAUAAUCUCUAUCUAUUAUACAAGCAAGGCCCGGACUAUCGGAGCUCUGUCCUUUUGCCACCUGUCCCACUUCCGAACCCUAUCAUGUUGACACCUAUCUAAUUAUAGGCCUUCUUUUAUGCUUCUUCUUUGCUCAUUGUCGUGUUUUAUGCUUCUUCUUUGCUCAUUGUCGUGUGUUGCCACCUGUCCAAUAAUAAACCCUCUUUUAUGCUUCUUUGCUCUUCAGUCCAUGUGUUGCCACCUGUCUAAUAAAAAACCCUAUUUUAUGCUUCUUUACUCAUUGCUCACUUCAGUCCACGUGUCCUGCCCCUUUGUUUAUGUUCAUCCUGGCCAUUUUUGCUUCUUCCCUUUUCCGCUUUCCAUUUUUUUGCCCGUACCUAUAGCUGUCCUGUCGGGGUUUUUUUCUCAUUUCUUCUUUUCCCAUUUCCCAAUAUUGUCAUUGUUUUGUCAUUCUCAUCCCGUACCUCCACCUCUCCUGUCCUCACUCCGUUCACUAUUUCUCUCCUUUGGGCUUGCUUUCUUAACUUUUGGUUUGUGUUGCAUUUGCUUAUUUUUUUUCCAGUUAUGUGUUCAUUGUCUGUUCACCUUUUUCGGUUUCCUUUGGACUGAAGUGCUGAAAACAUGCGUGAGCUUUGCCUGAUUCUGAUUUACAUUGCUAUUGUUUAUGUCUUUCUGUUCGUUUUGAUGCCUACAACUGUUUCUAUUUUGUUCUUUUUUUUACACGUUUGUAUGUGGUUCGUUUUGGCCUUUAUGUUCAUUUGCUUGCAUGUGUUAAAAAACAUUCACCUUUGUCUUUGUUUUUUAUGUGUAUUGCUUUGGACUCUUCAUUUUCAUUCAUGUUUAAAGCUUUACCUUUGUAGUUGGUUUUUUUUGUGUAUAUUUGCUUUGUACUGAAAAAAAAAACUUGAGCUUUGUCUCAUUUUGAUUCUCAUUUAGUUUGGUUGUAUUUGGUUGUAUAUUGCUUUGGACUGAAAACAAAUGUUGUCUCAUUUUGAUUUUCAUUUGGUUUGGUUGUAUAUUGCUUUGGACUAAAAACAAAUGUGACCUUUGUCUGAUUGUCACUCUCAUUUUCUUUAGUACUGUUUAACUUCUUCUAUAUCCAGCUCUGGAACUGUCAUUUGGUUCUUCUUUUUCCAGGUUUGUAUUUGGUUUUUGUGUUUCUGUCCAUUUUCAUUCAUGUGUAAAAAUCUUUUAUUACCUUUGUAUUUGAUUUUUUUUUAUUUCCUCUAUUUUUGUCCAUCCUUCUUUUCUGUUACCCUUUACCUUUUUGUUGGGCUUUACUGACGUGUGUUGCUAUUUUCUUCUCUUAUAUGCAAGUUUCUAUUUUCGUCCAACUUUUUUUCCCGGAUUGCUCCUGUUUGCCACUGUUUGAAAAAUAAAAAAGGUUUGCUAAUGUCUGCUGUUGUUUUGUUCUAACCACGUUUUGAGUUAUGCAUUUCUGUUUGCCGCGGUUUUUUGCAAUAACAAAAAGAUUUUCAAUGUUGGUAUUGUUCCAACUAUUUUCUCCUGUUCAAUGUGAUUCCUAUUUUCUUUGUAUUUGUCUCUCUUUUUGUCAUUCCCAGUGGUCUUUAUUAUCCGUGUUGUAGCCAUGUCUCAGAAAGAAAAUCUGAUAUCUGAGUUACACACCAGAAAAGGAACAUGGAAAAUAGUUGUCCGUAUCACUGAUCUUUGGCAAGCUCAAAAGCAAAAUAGUAAACAAAUAAUUGAGAUGGUGUUGAUGGACCAAACGGUUAUUGUUGUGUUCUUUCUGAUUGUUGUUAUUACUCAUUUGUAUUGUAUGUCAUGUCACUUCAUUUUAUGGUUUAAGUGUUUCAGGGUUCAAAAAUUGGGGCUACUCUCUGGCAAGAACUGUUCACUGAAUUACAGGACAAGUUACAGUGUGGUUCUUUGUAUUUGAUUCAAAACCUGAGGAUUGUUGACAACCAAUCUGAAUACAGAGUCACCCCAGUUCCAUAUUUUGUUUAUUUCCUAAAAACUACAUCUGUCAAGGAAAUCCACCGUCCAGAAAUUCCUUCUAAUAUUUAUCUCAUUACUCCUUUUACUGAUAUAAUCUCUGGCCUCGCACCCCGCCAUACUUUAGUGGGUCAGUUUGUUUAGUUUUUUUGUUUAACCAACAAUUUGAUAUGCAUAUUUGUUUCAGACUAACAUUUGUCUUGCCUAGCCAUCUUUGACAAGAUAUUGUUGGUGUGGUUGCUGAUCUGAUCGAUGUUAAGACAGUUAAUCCCCCUCACAGGAUGACAAUCGGGCUUAGGGAUAACAGGUAUUCAAAUCUCCCAAUUUAACACACACACACACACACACACACACACACACACACACACACACACACACACACACACAUAUAUAUAUAUAUAUAUAUAUAUAUAUAUAUAUAUAUAUAUGUUCUCACACUAACCAAAUCAGACCAUUCCAGUUUGUCCUUAUUAUUUUAUAUGAUGAUAUAUGAUGAAUAGGUUAGCAACAACUAACAUACUGAUUGUGAUUGUUUGGUCAUAGUAACUGUGACAUUCUAAUAACUGUUUGGGAGGACUAUGCUAUUCAGCUACAUGAUGCUAUUGACAAAAACCUUCUGCUUCAAGAACCAUUGGUUGUUAUGUUGACCCUAGGUAAAAUCAAGGAUGCUAUAGGUGGUUCUGGUGUUGGUUAGUCUUUAUUAUGUAGAUUUAUUCACUUUGGGUGAUAAAUAUGUAUGUUGUUGAUGAUAUUGAUGGAUAUCAUUCUAGACAAGUAUCCCCUGAGCGUGCAAAAUAUCAAAUUUGGAUCUAAAUUGUAUGUCAACGCUGACAUUACAGAGAUACACCAAUUUCGUCAAAGGUUUGUCAUUAAAUUUACAUUUUUACAGUGUUGGAAUACUACAAUGUUCAUGUUUUUCAGUUUCUUUGCAUUUUUUAUACGCUUUAAUGGUCGGAUUCUAAUUUUUUAUAUUGUCGUCCAUUCAGUUUGUCUGUCCCAUUUUAUUCUGGUGGGAUAAUCCAUGAUAAAGAUGGUUCUCAGUCCCAAUCUAGCCAGAGUAAUGUGGUAGAAAAUUUUUUGCAGAAUGCUCAGGUAGUCAGUAUAGGUGAAAUCAACAAUCUCAAACAGAUUAAUAAUUGAACAAUGCUUUCGUUAAUAUGAGCUUUACCACAUGUUUUUUUCUUCAUCUAUUAUUUACCAUGUUACAGGAUUGUUACUGCUUAACUGUUGGAACAGUUGACGAAAUCAUCAUUGAUGCUCCAUGGAGUUAUGACAGUUGUCCUAACUGUACAACCACAUUUGAUCCAUCAAAAGGUGGCCCAGCUUGUCGUUCUUGCCAUACCAGUGUGAUCGAUACAGUUCCACAGUUAGCCAUGAUCAUUUUUUGUACUAAUUAUUUACUUACACGCUUUCCUGUUUUAGCAAAUUUCCCUUAAACUUCUAUGGAUGUCAAGGUAUAAAUUAAAUUUUAGGAUGGAGCAUAAUAGGGACAAAGGAAACUUCCUUCUCUGGGAUGCAACAUGUAUCAAGCUAUUUGGUAAGACUGCUGGAGAAUGUCGAGAUGAGUUGAUAGCGGUAUGUUCUACACAAUACAAUCAUAGAUUAAAUAAUGAUUCUGUGAUUUGUCAUUGAUACCAUUUACUUCACCUGUCUAGGCUAGGGAUGAUAUUAAGGUGUUUCCAACGUGUGUUGAUGAAAUCCUGUCCAAAACUUAGGCUGUCAGAUUUAAGUUUCGUUCACAAUUACGCCAAUCAUCUGUGUUGGAUGUGAGUGAAGAACUCCAUCAUAUUCAAUCAUUGAUAGCCACCCUUGGGUUGAAGGUAAUAACUAAAUAAGUUUAUCACAAUAUAAGGUCAACAACAAUAAAUGGUGUUUCUCCUGUGUUAAUAUUUUUCAUGCAUGAACAAUCAAGUAAGGGAAAAGCAAUAGCUGUUGAGCCAGAAAGUUCACCACCAAUUUUUGUUCCCACGGUGGGUCUUUUGUUUCAAUAUUGCAUGAUGCCAAAUAUUUAGUUAUGAUAUUGUUCUUAAUAUAUAUAUUGCUAAAUGUGUUCACAGCCAUCGUUGUCACAGUCUUCUGAUUACGAUCCCGGAAACUCCACCUGUUUAACUCCAACCAAAAGGAUUAAUUGUCAGCAAACCAGUUCUAAUUUUGAUUCUGAUGAGCAUACAUAGUAUCAGUUAUCAACUAACAAACAUAUCAAAGCUAAGUAAUUAGGGCUUCCACAAUCUUGUGGAUUCGGCUUCUAUGUUUUGUUUAACAUCAAUUUGAUCGUAUUGAAUUUGCUAACUGAGUACAUAUGACAAUAUAUUUUGUGCGGUCCACCAUCAUUUUAUAGCAAAUGAUGUAUAAACAAUCUAAUAUCAAAUAUAUAUGAUAAUAUUUAAUUAAAGUUUUACUUUUCAUUGGUAUUCAUCCGUCUCAUACUCUUUACUAUCACGAAUACCAUUACAAUUAUUAAAUCAAUAACAUAUAACCAUAUCAAUUAACUAUUCAAAUUGCCAUACGAUAACAUAUAAAUCGAUUCGGUUUGCUUUGUUUGCAUGUUACUAAGUCAAGUUCUAUUGUAUGACGAACAAAAUACUUGGUUUCAUGAAAUAUCCUCCUGUCAUAUUUACUGUUUUAUUAUAUAUUCAAUAUUCAAAUGUUGGGAUAUAUCCAAAUAUUAGCUUAUGUCAUUUAAUGGUUUAAUUUUUUUUAUUCUUAUAUUCAUAUUUAUUUAUGUUUUUAUAUAUAAUUAUAUAUAACAGGGAAGGCAUAACACUUAUAGUAGUGUUUCGUUCCUUUUUCAAGUAUAUAACAGGGAAGCAAAAAUGUUAAUGCACGGUUAUACGUUUUACAAACAAUUCUUUGUUUUUUGCUUUCAUAUAUGUUGGCAUAUUACACUGGAAUCAAUAUUAUUAUAUAUUUAUGUAUGGUUUUAAAUUUUAAUUCAAUUAGUAUUAGUAUUAGUAUUAAUAUUAUUAUUAUUAUUUUAAUAAUUAUAAUGAAUAAUAAAUAAUAAAUAAUAAUAAUUAUAUUAUAAUAAUAUUUUUUAAAAAUAACUCAUGCUUAACGUAUCCCAGACUUCCAAAAUUUAUUAUUAUUCAUAUAUUAUUAUUCAUAUAUACAAUAUACAAUACACGGACAAUAAUAGCAUUAAUAUACGUCUAUUGUUCUCUGAUUUUUUUCAAUACUUAUUAUUAUUAUUAUUUUGUUACUAACCUCAUUAUCUGCAAAUGCAGUUAAUGUGUACAGCUAUAAAAACAUAUGGUAUGAUUGUUCUAUGUUUUAUAGGCGGCUAUUUUUUGGGAUGCCACGCUCAAUGCAUUUAAUGAAGCAAAUAUAAAUACACCUUUACUAGCAACACUAACUAAGCUUCAUUCGUUAGCUGAAUUCACCAACUCUAUAAACUUAUUCCCCUCAUUCGACGGCCUUUGUCAAUCCCCAUUGAUGUCGAUCAAUCAAUAUCAAUAUCAAUAUUACUGGUAUCAAAACAAUUGUUAAAAAACUUUUGUUACUUCCAAUUCAUCUGGCAAUGCACCAUUUAUUUUCCAACAUUUUGUUUCCUCCCUCAUAAAAAAUUACAUGUUUACGACUUCAAUAAGAAAGACGAUGAUCAUAAAUGUUCAGACAACAGAGAAUUUGUAAACCUAACAUUUUAGAGCAGCAAACUAUUCAUACUACACUAAACCAUUGAGUAUGAAAUUUAAUGCGUGUUUGAAUACAAAUUUUUCUAUUGUUUUAUGUUGUUCUUCUUUUGCUAUUGCAAAUACAUAUCCUUUACUCGCUCAUGCAAAUGCAAAUAACUAUAAUGUUGGUAUCAUUUUAAAGUCAACCUACUACAACAAUUUAUUUAACUUAGUUUCAACGUUUGAUUUUGGUGUUGUUUGGCAAUUAUAAGCCAGUUGUUGCAGAAAUUGAACUACUCAUGGACAAAUAUGUUGAACGAAAGAAGCGUAGGAAAACUAUUUUACAACAACGAAAAAGACAACAUUCAGCUACUAAUGGUAAUACUUAAUACAAAUUUGUAAUUUGUAAUUUGUAAUUCAUUUAUACAUUAUUAUUCUUCAUAUCAUAUUAAUAUUAUAAUAUACUUACAAAAACUAUUGUUAUAGACAACUUGCAGUGUAUCUCACAAUGUAGUCCAACCAUUAACCAUGAUAAUAACCCCGCUACAAGCUUCCAAUGUACACCACCAUCACACAGGACUUUAUCUAUAAAUGAUUCUGAACAUUGCUCAAAAAGACAUACAGUCAAUUUUUCUUCCAUCUAGAAAAAUUUGAUGUCAUCUUAUGACAAUCAAAAAAAUAGAACAACUGCUUCUACUUCCACAUGCCAAGCUAGUAAUCGUUAUUCCAAUAUGACACAGUCUCACAUUGAUAUAGGUAAUUUUUAUUGUUAUGCUAUUAUCAGAUAUAUCUACAUAUACACAUUUUAUUUAUUAUUACGUCCUUUUCAAAUUUAAUUCUGCAGUCAACUUAUAUAUAAGAUGCCAAAUUGUCUGUUUAUUAUGCAGAUAAACAUCAGACAACAACUAACACUACACAGGAUAAUUAAUUUGUCACCCAUGACAGCUCACGUUCCACCGAUAAUGAUGUAAAUAUGACACAGGAAAACAUCAAUAUAGAUAUUUAGCAACUUAUUUAACACAAUUUCAACGUUUGAUUUUAGUGUUGUUUGGCAAUUAUAAGGCAGUUGUUGCAGAAAUCAAACUACUCAUGGACAAAUAUACUGAAAGAAGGAAGCGUAGGAAAACUAUUUUACAUCAACGAAAAAGACAACGUUCAGCUACUAAUGGUAAUACUUAAUACAAAUUUGUAAUUUGUAAUUUGUAAUUCAUUUAUACAUUACUAUUUUUCAUAUCAUAUUAAUAUUAUAUUAUACUUACAAAAACUAUUGUUAUAGACAACUUGCAGUGUAUCUCACAAUGUAGUCCAACCAUUAACCAUAAUAAUAACCCCGCUACAAGCUUCCAAUGUACACCACCAUCACACAGGACUUUAUCUAUAAAUGAUUAUGGACAUUGCUCAAAAAGAUAUACAGUCAAUGUUUCUUCCAUCUAGAGAAAUUUGAUGUCAUCAUAUGACAAUCAAAAGAAUAGAACAACUGCUUCUACAUCCACAUGCCAAAUCAGUAAUCCUUAUUCCAAUAUGACACAGUCAGACAUUCAUACAUGUAAUUUUUAUUGUUAUGCUAUUAUCAAAUAUCUACAUGCACACAUUUUAUUUAUUAUUACAUCCUUUUCAUAUUUUCUUCUACAGUCAACUAUAUAUAGAAUGCCAAAUUGCCUGUUUAUUAUGCAGAUGAACAUUAGACACCAACUAACACUACACAGGAUGAUCAAUUUGUCAGCGAUGACAGCUCAGAUUCCACCAAUAAUGAUGUAAAUAUGACACAGGAAAACAUUAAUAUAGGUAUUUAUCCAUUAUUUAUAUUUAUUUAUAUUUUGUUUCUUCCAUCAUCAAAUAAAUAAAUUGAAUAUUUUCGGCUGAUGUGUGUUAUACCAUAUCAAUAUAUAUAUAUAUAUAUAUAUAUAUAUAUAUAUAUAUAUAUAUAUAUAUAUAUAUAUAUAUAUAUAUAUAUAUAUAUAUAUAUAAAAUACUCAUUAAAUGACCCAACAAUAGAUGAUCUUGAUGAUUAUGAUGAACAGACCUUUCUAUCUACCUCAUAUGCAUACCAAAAUACAGGUUUGAACUUUCAACUAUAAAAUGUAUUCAAAUGUGUUUGAUAUAUUUAAUUAUUAUUCAUACCUUAUUUAUAGGUGGUACUUACAUUGAUAUUGGAGAUCCUGUAUGGGAAUGCCCACAUUGUAAAGCUAUGAUGUGGUAUGAUGAGAGGAUAAAUAAAUACAAACAAACGAACAAACCAAGGUUUGUCUUUGUUGCAUGAACCACCCCAUCCAUUGAAUCACUUACUUUUCAAUAACCAGGAUCCUAAAACUAAGAAUUUCCAGCAAUACAUACGAACAUAUAAUCUAAUGUUUGCCUUCACAUCUCCUGGUAUCAAAUUUGACAGAUCUUAUAACACUGAAAAAGGACCUCCAACUUUCCGUAUACAUGGACAAACGCAUCAUCUUAUUGGAAGCCUCCUCCCUAUUCCUAAUAACCCACCUAAGUUUGCACAACUAUAUAUUUAUGAUACAGACAAUGAGAUCAUCAAUAGACUUUCACAAAACCCGUUAGUAUUCAUACUUAUGUCACACAUAUAAAAAUUUACAUAUUCAAAUAGAUGUUUAUACUGUUCUGGCUAAUUUUUUAUUUACAGGAUGCACGAUAUACUUGAUGAACAGAUUAUCAUUGCAAUCAAAGACAUGCUUGAUCAUCACAAUCAUUAUGCCCAAAAGUUUCGAAUGGCAAGGGACAAAUUGCAUUCUACUGCAGUUCCAGACCUAAAGAUCAAACUGAUUAGUCAAAGACAAACAGACGGAAGGUUGUAUAACUUACCAACUACCACUGAAGUUGUUGCUUUGAUUGUUGGUGAUGAACACUAAACUGAUAAAAGAGAUAUUAUAAUAGAAAAACAAUCCAGACUUCUGAAGAGAAUACAUGAACUUCAUCCUGCAUAUUUGCCUUUGCAAUAUCCACUUUUAUACCCAAAUGAAAAAGAUGAUUACAAACUAAAUAUACCUCACAAAGAUCAUGCCAAUAUACAUACUGCAAAGAGGAAACAAGUCACAUUGCACAAAUAUUUUUGUUACCGGCUACAGUCAAGAACCAACGAAGCACAGACUAUACUUCAUUCCAGAAGAUUAUUUCAGCAAUGGAUUGUUGAUGGAUAUUGUAUGAUUGAAUCUCAAAAACUAAAUUAUGUCAGACAGCAUCAACAACAACUUAGGGUUGACAAAUACAUAAAUUUAACUGGCUCUAAUGAUCAUCCUGAAACACUUGGUAAGGACAAAGGAAAGAGAAUCAUACUGCCAAGUAGUUUUGUUGGUAGUCAAAGAUAUAUGAAGCAACUGUAUUUUGAUGGCAUGACAAUUUGUGGACAUCUUGGAUUUCUAGACUUAUUCUUAACAAUGACAUGUAAUCCAACAUGGCCAGAAAUACAACGCAAGGUCACACAAUCCAAUCUGACCCCCAAUAAUUGCCCUGAUAUUAUCACACGAGUUUUCAAAAUAAAACUCAAUCAAUUGAUGGAUGACUUAAAACAUGGCAAUAUCUUUGGUAACAUUAUUGGAUGUAAGUGAUAAAAAAUUCUAUGACUUUUUUCCUACUUUCUAAAUUGAUGUUUAUAAUAUAACUGAUGCAAGUUUAUUACAGAUAUUUAUACAAUUGAGUGACAAAAAAGAGGAUUGCCACAUGCCCACAUUUUCAUCUUUCUUCACCCUUCAAACAAGUUACCAAAUCCAGAAAAUAUUAAUCAAAUCAUUUCAGCAGAAAUACCUGACAAACACACCCAGCCAUAAUUAUUUGAAAUUGUCUCAAACCAUAUGAUGCAUGGACCAUGUGGGUUUGCAAAUAAAAAAUCACCAUGUAUGGUCAAUGGAAAGUGCAUUAGAUGUUUUCCAAAAAAAUUCCAUGGAGCAACAAUUGUUGACCAGGAUGGAUUCCCAGUUUAUAGGAGAAGAAAUGAUGGACAUACAAUAAUGAAAAAUGGAAUUGAACUAGAUAACAGAUUUGUUGUACCAUACAAUCCACAACUCUUAUUAAAGUAUAAAACACACCUAAAUGUGGAAUGGUGUAAUCAAAGUACAUCCAUUAAAUAUCUGUUAAAAUACAUCAACAAAGGUUCUGACCGUAUCACAGCUGCUCCUGGAAAUCAUCACAAUAGCAAUGGUGACAACACUCAGGUUCAAGAUGAAAUUAAACAAUAUCUUGAUUAUAGGUAUCCUUCUAUUCUCACCUGAUUCAAUUAACAAAAUCAUUUAACAUAAAUUAAUUUAGUUGAUCUUAUAUAUUUAACUCAAACUUACCAACAUCUGAUUCUAUCUUCAACAAUAUAUGUAUGCUACUUUAAUCAUUAGAUAUGUAUCUCCGCCAGAAGCAUGUUGGAAAAUUUUUGCAUUCCCAAUGCAUGUGCGUUCCCCAGCAGUGGAGCGGCUAUAUUUCCACCUUGAAAAUCAACAACAUGUUUACUGGACAGAUGAUCAACAAAUAGGUGAAGUCCUAUCAAAAAACACAAUCAAAGAAUCCAUGUUCACAGCCUUGAUGCAUUCUAACAAAAUAUAUUCUUAUGGACGGGAUAUUACAUAUCAUCAAUAUAUCUCAAGAUUUGUUUAUGUCGCCCGCAAAAGAUGCUGGCAACCAAGAAAACAAGGGAAUACAAUAGGCAGACUCAUAUGGGUCCCACCUUCAGUUGGUGAACUGUUUUACCUUAGAAUGAUGCUAUUCACUGCCAAAGGUGCACAGUCUUACAGUGACAUUAGAACAAUCAAUGGUGUGGUAUAUCCUACAUUUAGGGAAGCAUGUUUUGCAAAAGGCUUUCUAGGUAGUGAUCAAGAAUUUAUUAGUGCUUUACAAGAAGCUAAUAAUUGGGGUACUGCACACUACCUAAGAAAAUUAUUUGUCAAGCUUUUAUUUAUGAACACCAUGGACAGACCAGAAUAUGUUUGGCAACAGACAUGGCAAUGGAUUGCAGAUGAUAUCACAUUCAAUCAAAGAAAACAAGGUCAUUUUAUAUAUUCGAAAUAAUUAUUGUUUACUCAUAAUCAUUAUGUUUCUUAUUUUACUAAUCACAGGUAUUCGCCUUACUGUAAAGGAAACAAUCCAUUUAUGCUUGACUGAGAUUGAGAAUAUGUUACAAGCCAACAGAAGGAGCUUGCGAGAUUUUCCAUCCAUGCCAUACCCAAUAGGAUAUGCACGCAACCAACAACAUAAUAAUCUGAUCCAUAAUGAAAUGGCAUAUGACAAAGAAAUGCUAGCAGAACAAUACAACACAUCAUACCAAUUGCUCACAGGUAUUCACAAAUUAUGACAUAUUUGAUUCAGCAACUCCUCAAUCACAAUAGUGUAUAUUACUAUUUGUUAAUAUGUGAAUAUAUAAUUACAGAUGAGCAAAAAACUAUUGUCGAUACCAUUAUGCGUGUAGUUAACACUCAAUUAGCUGCAGUUUACUUUCUCUAUGGAUAUGGUGGAACUGGCAAAAAAUUUGUUUGGACAACCUUAUCAUCUGCUAUACGCUCCAAUGGUGGAAUUGUUUAUACAGUUGCUUCGAGUGGAAUUGUUUCAUUACUCUUGCCUGGUGGUCGGACUGCACAUUCCAAAAUUUGCUAUACCAGUCCCUGCAACACAAAAUAUAACAUGCAAUAUUCAUCAAGGCAGUGACUUAGCUGAAUUAUUAAAGGUUACAAAACUAAUAGUCUGGGAUGAAACUCCAAUGUGUCACAAAUUUGCAUUUGAGGCACUAGAUAAAAGCCUUAAAGACAUCAUGCAGAACAAUCUACCUUUUGGAAGGAAAAUUAUCAUUUUUGGUGGAGAUUUUCGAUAGAUCUUGUCAAUUGUUCCAAAAGGUAAUCACUCAGACAUCGGCCAUGCAACUAUAAAUGCAUCAUACAUUUGGGAUCAUUGCCAAAUUCUUAAACUUACAAAAAACAUGAGAUUGCUAUCAAAUGCUCCCCAACAGCCCAACAAUGAGGAGCUCAAACAAUUUUCAGAUUGGCUACUUGACAUAGGAGAUGGAAAAAUUGGACAACAUAAUGACGGAUUUUCAGAAAUCACUAUUCUAGAUGAGUUUCUUAUCAAGGAUUAUGAUGAUUAUAUCCAUGCUAUUGUUGAAGUCACCUAUCCCAGCUUGAUAGAUAACUAUAGUGACACAGAUUAUUUGCAAAAAAGAGUUGUUCUUGCCUCUAAAAAGGAAAUUGUUGACAAAAUAAAUGAUUAUGUCCUAUCACUUAUACCCAAUAACGAAAAGGAGUAUUAGUAUUGCAGCGCAGAUAGUAUUGAUAAAUCAGAUGAACUGUUCAAUCCUGCUUUCGCAUUAUUGCCACCUGAAUUUCUGUAUUCAUUGCAAACAUCAGGUAUACCUAAUCAUAAAUUAAAACUGAAGGUCGGAACUCCAAUCAUGCUAAUACGAAAUCUCGACCAGACUGAUGGUCUGUGCAAUGGAACUAGGCUCAUUAUCACCAAACUUGGAUCUAAUGUGAUUGAGGCUGAAGUACUUAUUGGGCCUAAUACAGGAAAUAGGACAUACAUACCCAAAAUAAAUGUCUCCUUCUGAAUCUCUAUGGCCAUUCAAACUUAUCAGGAGGUAGUUUCCAUUCAUAGUUUCUUAUGCUAUGACUAUAAACAAGUCUCAGGGACAAUCAUUACACCACUAGGACUGUAUUUGCCACACCCAGGUUUUAGUCAUAGCCAACUAUAUGUUGCACUUUCAAGGGUUAAAAGCAAAGAUGGACUUCAUAUUCUCAUACAUGACAAUGACGGUAAUCCAAAAAAUAUUACCACUAAUGUUGUUCACAACGAAGUCUUUGCCAAUUUAUAAACAGGUAUCCUUCCAUCAUACAAUACAAUUAUGUUGUUGCAUUAAUUACACCUUUCUAUUUGUUUGUUUUAUUCACUCUAACAUAUAACACAUGUAUCAUGUAUGUUGUCGCAUUCCAAAAUUGCUAUGCUGACUUCGGGGAAUUCAAUGCAACUUUAACAAAUUUAAUUUAUAUUACAUGGUCAAUAUCAAAUUGUUUAUUUCAUCGUAAUUUAUUUAUAUAACUGCAAAUCAUACAAUUAUUUACGAAAUACACAUACAAAUCCAUAUUAUGGUUAAUUAAAUUGAAAUCCUUUUUUAUUUAAUGUGAUUUAACGAAAAUGUUUUCGAACUCCUUGGACCACCCCUGCAUAUUUUGUAUUCGUGCUUACACUCCUAUACGAUUGCUUUCUGAACUUCCACUUAGUCUACAAAUAAAUACAACUUCAAUCCUUUUUUAUUUAAUGUGAUUUAAUGAAAAUAUUUUCCAAGUCCCUAGACCAACCCUGCACAUUUUGUAUUCGUGCUUACACUCCUAUACGAUUGCCUUUUCAACUUCCACUUAGUCUACAAAUAAAUACAACUUAUCCACUGCCAAAUUAAAAUUACACCAAUGAUUCCGUAUUCCUAAUAAAUACACUGCACAAUUGUUGUUGAACCCUUACUUUUCCCAAUACGUACACACUUCCUACACGCUUUCUAUCCCUGCUUACUCUGCUAUUAGAUUGCCUUCUGAACUUCCACUUUGUCUACCAAAAAAUAUGACUUUCUCAUCCCACAUAAAACUUACACCACUGAGGCACCUUUGUAAAAAAUGCACUAAGACAAUUACUGCAGUUGUAUCUCCCUAUACUACAUCAAAUGUAAUCAUUAUCAUACAUUUGUACUCUAAAAUAAUAAUAUCGGGAGAUGUCAGCGCUGUAUACGGUUGUGACUCUUCACAACUCUUUUUUGCAUCCUUCAACAACAGAGAGUCACCAUUUAAUUUGUUAAUUAAAUCGGUCAUUAUAUCGAUAUAACACCACCGCCACUUACAACACUUCUAUACACAUAUAUCUAUCUAUACUGCACUUCCUACUCAUCUUCUUCGCAUCCUGCCAAAACAAACUACACUUCCUAUUCAUCUUCUUUGCAUCCUUAUGGCCACUUCCGCAUCCCGCUCCACUAUUGUAAUUUAUUUCCUUUGCUUCUCAUUUUCAUCUUUCUUAUAUUUGUUUGCUCUGUUCCUUUGGUUACUUAAUAUUUUCACAUUAUUCGCGUAGUUCCACGCGAUGCAAUGGACAACAUAAGAUUUACGACACCUUUCAAAGUUCAAAAGGUAACAUUUCAUAUAAACAACUAUUUUCUACUUAACUAAAUUUCCAUUUUUUUUCAACUACCUUGCUUUACUUUCUUUGCCUGCAGAACCUUCUGCAAGUUCCUUACUCUUAUCAUAGACAAUGGCUCCAGAAUUACCCAAAAUAUGUUUUAUUCCACUGUGAUGGCAAUAUACAUUUCAUCCGGGUAAGAACACAUGGUACUAAAUGCUUCUUUGUUGAUGGCUUAAAUGAUUUUAGAAAGGCACACAACCUAAACGAAAGCGUCAUUCUACGUUUCGUUGCUGCUGACAAAAAUACCACUUUCACAGUUCAUAUUGACGGACCUACACACCACCACUCCAGCCUAAAGCCCAUUAUAUAUAGAAGAAGAUACAUUUUUACAGCUGAUAUCACACAUGAUAUGCUACAAAACAACCUUCCUUUGGUACGUUAUACUACACUUUUUUAAAUCUAUGAUAAUUUGUCGUUGUUUCCUCAUCAAUUUGUUUAACCAUCCUUUGUCUUGAUCAUGCAGAUACUUCCUGCAGCAUUUUUGAAAUUUGUCUAUGGCUCAAAAAAAAGUAUUACCAUCCACCGCGGACUUCCAAAAUCCACCCAAUGGCAACUCAGCAUCCACAAUGACAUGCCAGCUAUUACAGAACCAUGGUUCAACUUGAUCCAGGACAAAAAUUUGACACCUGGAGAUGAGGUAGCUUUCUACUACCGUUUUCAUGAGCAUGCAUGGGAACUGCUCAUCAGGAAAACUAUUGAAUGGGACAACAAUGACACCGACUUUGACUUCGACGAAUGAGUACUUUUAUAUUCAUCUUUAUUUUUAAAAAGGUUGAAUAUUUUGUGGUUUUUGUUUCCUCCUAUUACCAGACAAUUUCUUGACUAUAACUGCACCGUUGCUAUUUUAAUAUUAACAAUAUUUACGUUCUCUUAAUUUUGCUCAGCCCUCUGUUUUUCUUUUGGUAUUUAUAUUGAUUUACUGAACUUUGGCUUCCAAAUUACGUUGAAGGCCAUGCCUUUUGUUGGUAUUUAUACGAAAAAAGAGAUAGCUCAAUAUUGGCUUCUAAAAGAUUUUUUUUUACAUUAUAAAUUUUUUUUUCCUCAAUUAGAUUAAAAAUUAUUUAGGAUAAGAAAAGGUUAUUCCAUAAUAUAUUGGUUUGUGUUGCAUUUGCUUCUUUUUUUUUUCCAUUUCUUCUUUUCCCAUAUUGUCAUUGUUUUGUCAUUCCCAUCCCGUACCUCUCACUCCAUUGACUAUUUCUCUCCUUUGGGCUUGCUUUGUGAACUUUUAGUUUCUAUUGCAUUUGCUUUUUUUUUUCCCGGUUGUGUAUUCAUUGUCUGUUUACCUUUUUCGGUUUCCUUUGGACUAAAGUACUGAAAACAUGCGUCAACUUUGUCUGAUUCCGUUUUGAUGCCUACUACUAUUUCUAUUAUGUUUUUUUUUCACACGUUUGUAUGUGGUUCGUUUUGGCCUUUAUACGAAAAAAGAGAUAGCUCAAUAGUGCCACCACUAAAAUUGUUCUAAAACAUUAUUUUUUAUACAUUAUUAUAAUUUUUUUUGCUGAAUUAGAUUAAAAAUUAUUUAGGAUAAGAAAAGGUUAUUUUUAAAUAAUAUUAUCCCACAAAAAAUUGUUUACAUUAUAUUAUUUAUAGAGAUUACAAAAUUAUUUAACAUAACAACAAAUUACUUUUAAGACUGAAACAUUUUUUAAAACAAAGACUAAAAGAUUAUUUUACAAAAGAACUUAUUUUUUUUAUAAGUGUAAAUUAUCUUUUAUAAUGAAAAUAUUACUUUCAUAUGCCCACUAAUUAUGCGAAUUUAGUCUCUCUUCAAAAUAAAAUACAUCUAAAAUUACAAAAUUAUUUAGCAUAACAACAAAUUACUUUUGUAGACUAAAACAUUUUUUUCAACAAACACUACAAGAUUAUUUUACAAAAAAACUUAUUUUUUUUAUGAGUGUAAAUUAUCUUUUAUAAUGAAAAUAUUACUUUCAUAUGCCCAUUAAUUAUGCAUAUUUAGACCCUCUUCACAAUAAAAUACAUCUAAAAUAAAAAUUUUCCUGCAAAACCACAAUAUUUUUAAAUUUAUUUCCUAUGUUUCUUUUGUAUAAUUUAAAUCAAUUUCAAAAUGUUUUCAACACAAUCAACUCUUCUUACAAAUUCUCUUUAUGUUAUAUACAAACAAUACCCUGACAAAUAGUAUUUAUGUCACUUACAUUAAAAUAUCAACCCGUGCAUCGCACGGGCCAGCCACUAGUAAUAAUUUAUAACAAUCUAUAAGUUAUGCUAUUCACCAGAAAAAAAGGGAAAACUAAAAUAAAGUGUGAAUAAGGGACGCGGUUUCUGUGGACCCCACAUAUGGCAACGAGGGGAAGAAGCUGUCAAGAAAAACUCAUCAUUUUCACUGUCCAUGAUUUCUUUGCAUCCAUAAACCAUUCACCUUCCUUCGAAACUUCACAGCUUUUGCAAUGGCUUCUAACAUAUGACAAGUGGGGGAAGAAGCUGCCAAGAAAAACUUCUCAUUUUCACUAUCCAUGCUUUCUUUGCAUACAUAUACCAUAUAUCUUAAGUUUAAUAAAUAAAUAAAAAUUAGGUUAAGUUUACACAUUUUUUUCUAUAAUUUUAGGAUUAGUAUAUUUUUAUCCCUAUAAUUUGAAAAUAACUUUUUUAGUUUUAUAGUUUACGUUUAAAUUCACUUUUAAUUCGUAUAGUUUAAAAAUGAUAUUUUUAAUUCUUUUUUUAUCCUUUCAAUUUGAAAGUGAUUUUUUUAAUUUUAAUAAUUUACAUUUUAAUUAUAUUUUAGUCAUUGUUAAAAAAUUAUUAAAAAAAUAAUUUUAAAUAAGUUAUAAAUUAUCAACUAUUUUUUAUUACAAAUGUGAUAAAUUAUUUAUGAAUUAAUUAAUAAUAUUUUUAUGGUUAAUUGUAAUUGAUAAUAUUACUCAUAUAUAUUUUGGUAAUAAUGACUAAAAAAUUAAAAUAUAAAAUAUAAGAACUAAAAAAAUCAUUUUCAAACUAUAGAGAAUAAAAUAAAAUAAAAAUAUAAAUCAUAAGAAAUAAAAAAGUUACACCAGAAAAAAGUUUUUCUAUUUUGAUAAUUUUAUUUCUCUCCCAAUAAAAUCAAAAUACACCUCAAACAAAUAUUCAUAUGAAAAAAAUAUAUACAUUAUUUAUUUAUUUAUUAUUUGUGAGAAUCAUAUUGAUUUUUUAUAAUUAAUAAUUUAAAAAACCGCUAAUAGUUUUAAUGUUAUGUACCAUGAAUAUCAACUGUAGUCAAAUCGAGGAAUGACAAAACUAAGAUCGCAUCAAAUGUCUUACUAAUGAGAAAUGUGUAAGUAUUUUCUCUAAUUGUAGCAUCCAAGUAGACAUGGCAAGAAAAAUCAUACCCGUGGGGAUCCGUCCGAAUCCGUUUUAACUUUAAUAGGUAAUAUUCGAGUUGACCGAGUAUGAGUUCGGGUUCGGAUUUUUCCCGAUAACCAAAAGUUGGGUACGAAUAUGUGAUUACUAGACCUGUCCCGACCCCGAACUCGAACCCGUCCCGCUACUUAAAAUCUUUAGAAUUUUUGCAUAAUUUAAUCAAAAGGCAUAGGAUUUUUAUUACUAGUUAAUUUUAUUUUAGAAUUUUUACAUAAUUUUAUAUUAUUUUCUUAACUAUUUUUGUAGACACACGCGCUAUAAUAAAUUUAUUAAUAUAUAAGUAGUUAAAAACAAAUGUUUAACAAUCAAUUUAUUUUUUCUAAAAUCAAAUUUUUAAUAUUUUUUUAUAAAAAAAUAUUUUUUUAAUUUGAAUCGUGUAUGGGACGGGAUCAGAGAUAUCUGAUACCCCAUGGGUACGGAAAUGAGACAAUAAACUUAAAUUCGUCGGAUAUCAGGUAUGACUAUGAAAUAUGUUGAAAAGUCAAAGUAAAGAAUUAAAAAGACAAUACUCAUACACAUCCUACCCCAUUGUCAUGUCUACAUCCAAAUCCACACUUAUACCUUAUUCACACGGCAGUGUGUCAUAAUUUUCUUCCAAGAGAUUGUGUCAAGAUUGUCUAGCUGACUUGACUUAAUAAUAAUAAUUUACAAUUAAAUAUAAAUUAGUCACGUCUUGAAUGCCUAAAAAAAUGCGUUAGGAUUAAUAUCAAUAGUCUUAUCAAUAGUCUUCACUAGAAAAAACCGCAUAUUUUUAUCUCUAUAAUUUGAAAAUAAUUUUUUAUCUUAUAAUUUAUAUUUAAAUUUUUUAAUACUAUAUUUAAAAGUAGUAUUUUUAUUUCUUUUUUAGUUCUUAAAAUUUGAAAAUCAUUUUUUUAUUUUUAUAAUUUGUAUUUUAAUUAUCUUUUAAUUCUUACUAAAAAUAUAAAAAUAAUUUGUUAUAAAAAAUUAAAAUAUAAAAUAUAUAAACUAAAAAAAUUACUACUAUACAAAUUAAAAUAAAAUUAAAAUUUAAAAUUAUAAAAAAAUAACUUUCAAACUAUCUAGACUAAAAUAGAAUUAAAAUAUAAAAUGUAAAAUUAUAAAAAAAAAAAAUAACUUUCAAACUAUCCGGACUAAAAUAAAAUUAAAAUAUAAAUUAAAGAAAAAAAACCUAUUUUAAAACUAUAAAGAUUAAAGGAUAAAAAAUAAAAAUAAAAUGAGUAAUUAAACAAUACAAAAAUUAAAGAAAAAUAAAGGAAAAGUGAACCGAAGAUGACAGCACAAGGUAGGUUGAAAAAUGAAAAUCCUAAGACGCAAUCGUGACAUGAGAAACUGACGAGUGAACUACAGUUAUUAACUUUAUAUAAAGCAAAUUGGAAAAAUAAAGAAAGAAUCGUUUCUUUCUACAAUUAUUAGCUUUAUAAUAUUUCUUCACUGCCCAUAGUUAUUAUCCUCGCAUUACGCUUCUGCAAUUGCAAUGGCUUCUAAGGCCAUCAUCCAAUACAGCUCUUCUUCUUCUUCUUCUCAUGCGAUCAUCACUACAUAUGAUGUGUUUGUCAGCUUCCGCGGUGAAGACACGCGCAACAACUUCACUGCUUUUCUCUUUGAUGCUCUCUUUGAAAAUGGCAUCCAUGCCUUCAAAGAUGAUACACAUCUUCAGAAAGGCGAAUCCAUAGCACCCGAGCUGCUACUGGCCAUUCAGGGGUCUCGCCUUUUCGUUGUGGUCUUCUCAAAGAACUAUGCUUCCUCAACUUGGUGCUUGCGUGAACUUGCACACAUCUGCAACUGCACUAUUGAAGCAUCCCCGAGUCGUGUUCUUCCAAUUUUCUAUGAUGUUGAUCCAUCAGAGGUGCGGAAACAGAGUGGUUAUUAUGGGAUUGCCUUUGCAGAACACGAAGAAAGAUUCAGAGAAGAUAAAGUGAAGAUGGAGGAAGUGCAGAGAUGGAGAGAAGCUCUGACACAAAUGGCCAACCUCUCUGGCUGGGAUAUCCGAAAUAAGUAAGUACAAAAUUAUAUGCAGUCAGUCAUAUUAUAUCCAUGUGCAUACAUUUCAUCAUUUCUUAGUCAAGUUGUUUUUAUCAAACUUAUUAUCGCUUUCUAAAGUAGAGUUCAUAGAAGUUGAGGACGUAACAUGCAAAUUGACUCUAAAUAUAUACAUGUUUAAUGCAAAUGGUGUUUAAAAUCUCUGAAAUUAUCUUGCCCUGUACAUCUAUACAUUAUGUUGUGGUUCUGAUAAUUUUCCAUUCAUCAUUUUCUUUAAAUUUUCAGGUCACAACCUGCAAUGAUUAAAGAAAUUGUUCAAAAAAUAAAUUAUAUAUUGGGUCCCAAAUUUCAAAAUCUUCCAAGUGGUAAUCUGGUUGGGAUGGAAUCCCGUGUUGAAGAAUUAGAAAAGUGUUUAGCAUUGGAGUCGGUCACUGACGUUCGAGUUGUCGGAAUUAGUGGAAUGGGGGGAAUAGGAAAAACGACUCUUGCCCUUGCUUUAUACGAAAAGAUUGCUUAUCAAUAUGAUGAUGUAAACAAAAUUUAUCAACAUUAUGGUUCAUUAGGUGUACAAAAACAAUUACUUGAUCAGUGUCUAAAUGAUGAAAAUCUAGAGAUUUGUAAUGUUUCUAGGGGAACAUAUUUGAUAGGGACUAGGCUACGCAAUAAACGAGGACUUAUAGUUCUUGAUAAUGUUAGUCAGGUUGAACAACUACACAUGUUUACAGGGAGUAGAGAGACUCUAUUACGUGAGUGCCUAGGUGGAGGGAGCAGGAUCAUCAUAAUUUCUAGGGAUGAACACAUAUUAAGGACACAUGGAGUAAAUCAUGUUUACAGAGUUAGGCCAUUGAAUCAAGACAAUGCUGUUCAGUUAUUUUGCAAUAAUGCUUUCAAAUGUGACUAUAUUAUGAGUGAUUAUAAAAUGUUGACACAUGAUGCACUAUGGCAUGCUCAAGGCCAUCCCUUGGCAAUUAAAGUAAUAGGCAAAUCCUUGUUUGGUCUAGAUGUUUCGCAGUGGGAAGGUACAUUGGUUAGGCUAAGUGAAAAUAAAAGUAAGAAUAUUAUGGACGUGAUACGAAUAAGUUAUGAUGCUCUGGAAGAAAAAGACAAGGAAAUAUUUUUAGAUAUUGCUUGCUUUUCCGGUCAGCAUUAUUUUGAGGAUAAUGUGAAGGAAAUCCUAAAUUUUCGUGGAUUUAAUUCUGAAAUUGGCCUCCAAAUUCUUGUUGAUAAAUCACUCAUAACCAUUAGUUACGGGAAGAUUUAUAUGCAUGACUUGUUGAGAGAUUUAGGCAAGUGUAUUGUUAGAGAAAAAUCACCUAAAGAGCCAAGAAAGUGGAGUAGACUAUGGGAUUGUGAAGAUCUCUACAAAUUUAUGUCGAGCAAUAAGGUAUAAUGAAUUUUUUAAUGUAUAAAUCUUAGGUUGCUCAAUUUUUUUUGGAAUUUGUAUAUACCUCAAAGAUCUAAUAUUUUCUUUUUUGUUUGCAAUGUUGUAGGAAGCAAAAAAUCUGGAAGCCAUAGUUGUUGAAGAUGAACCAGGGAUGUUUUCUGAAACAACAAUGAGAUUUGAUGCUCUAUCAAAAAUGAAAAAUCUUAAGUUGCUUAUACUUCCCAGGUAUUAUGAGAAGGGGCUUUCCACAAUUGAGGAGGAGAAAUUUUCAGGAAGCCUUAAUUAUCUUUCCAAUGAAUUAGGAUAUCUUAUUUGGCAUUUUUAUCCCUUUAACUUUCUACCCAAGUGUUUUCAGCCACACAAUCUUGUUGAGUUGAAUCUUUCUGGGAGUAACAUCCAACAUUUAUGGGACAGCACACAGGUAGUGUAAAUUUUUAAAUUUUUAUGUUUUUUUUAUUUUCUUUAAAUGAAUGUAUUUAUAAUUUCAAAUAAUUAAUAAUUAUGGUCCAGGUGUUGUUUUUAAUUUUGUCUCUUUCUAUUGGCCUUCAUUGCAGCCUAUACCCAAUUUGAGACGUUUGAAUGUCUCUGACUGCGAUAAUCUAAUCGAGGUGCAAGAUUUUGGUGAGGCCCUAAAUCUCGAGAGACUAGAUCUCAGUGGAUGUGGACAACUCAGUCGGUUCCAUCCAUCCAUUGGUUUUCCUAGAAAUCUUACCUAUUUGAAUUUAAGUGACUGCAAAAGUCUUGUCGAGUUACCACAUUUUGAACAGGCCCUAAAUCUUGAAAAGUUAAAUCUGGGAGGAUGUGAACUACUAAAACAGCUACCCCCAUUCAUUGGUCAUCUAAGAAAGAUUACAUUUUUAUUAGAUUUGCAAGAGUGUAAAAGUCUCACUGACUUGCCACAUUUUGUAGAGGACCUAAAUUUUGAAGAGUUAAAUCUCUAUGGAUGUGUACGCUAAGGCAGAUACAUCCAUCCAUUGGUCAUCUAAAAAAGCUUACUCAUUUAAAUUUGAAAUAUUGCAAAAGUCUCGUAAACUUGCCACAUUUUGUAGAGGACCUAAAUCUUGAAGAGUUAAAUCUCCAAGGAUGUGUACAACUAAGGCAGAUACAUCCAUCCAUUGGUCAUCUAAAAAAGCUUACUCAUUUAAAUUUGAAAUAUUGCAAAAGUCUCGUAAACUUGCCACAUUUUGUAGAGGACCUAAAUCUUGAAGAGUUAAAUCUCCAAGGAUGUGUACAACUAAGGCAGAUACAUCCAUCCAUUGGUCAUCCAAAAAAGCUUACUCAUUUAAAUUUGAAAUAUUGCAAAAGUCUCGUAAACUUGCCACAUUUUGUAGGAGACCUAAAUCUUAAAGAGUUAAAUCUCGAAGGAUGUGUACAACUAAGGCAGAUACAUCCAUCCAUUGGUCAUCUAAGAAAGCUUACUGUUUUAAAUUUGAAAGAUUGCAAAAGUCUAAUAAGCUUUCCUAGUAACAUAUUGGGACUCAGUUCUCUCACAUACCUAAGUCUUUUCGGAUGUUCAAACCUACACACUAUCGAUUUAUCAGAGGAUUCAGUUAGAUGUUUGUUGCCUUCCUAUACUAUUUUCUCAUGUAUGCGUCAACUUGAUCUAAGUUUCUGUAAUUUACUUAAAAUCCCUGAUGCUUUUGGAAAUUUGCAUUCCUUAGAAAAGCUAUGUUUAAGGGGAAACAAUUUUGAAACACUACCCAGCCUCGAGGAGCUUUCCAAACUGUUACUUUUAAACUUACAACACUGCAAGAGAUUGAAAUAUUUGCCUGAGCUCCCUUCAGCAACUGAUUGGCCUAUGAAGAAAUGGGGAACUGUUGAAGAAGAUGAAUAUGGAUUGGGAUUAAAUAUUUUCAACUGCCCAGAAUUAGUUGAUAGAGAUUGCUGCACCGACAAGUGUUUCUUUUGGAUGAUGCAAAUGGUUCAGCUCUUCACUAUUUCACUUAAUUGCCAUCCUUCCGGGGAUUCAAUGGCAUGGCGGGUUCCAUUGAUUUCAAGUAUUAUUCCAGGAAGUGAAAUACCAAGCUGGUUCGACGAACAGCAUUUGGGCAUGGGUAAUGUCAUAAACAUAGACAUAUCUCACUUUAUGCAGCUUGACAAAUAUUGGAUAGGCAUUGCGUUGAGUGUAAUCUUCGUGGUACACAAAGAAAGAAGAAUGCCCCCUCCAGACAUGGAACAAAGAAAGAAAGAACGUCCAUCUCUUUAUAUUCCGGUUCUUUUCCGUGAAGAUCUAGUCACGGAUGAAUCGGAUCACUUGUGGCUAUUCUAUUACCCUCGAUCACAUUUUGAUGUCUCUAAUUUUGAUGAGUUGAAAGUGGUAUGUAGACCCAGAGAUCUUGAUUAUCAAGAUUUGGAUGUUGAAGUGAAGAAAUAUGGGUAUUGUUGGGUAUAUGAACAUGAUCUAGAUUUAUCAAACUUAACAACGAUGCGCAAUAAAAAUUCGUCGCCUCGGAAGCGCAAAUAUUUUACAAUUGAAGAAUUGGAGACAUUGUUGAAUAUGGAUGCACAGUGGAAGCAGCAGUAGCAAGAUCAAGUUCACCUGGACUUUUGGGGUAGAUAGUCCAAUCAUCUUUUUACAAGGUACAAAUUAAACAAAUUUCACCUUGUUUGAAACUUUGGAUAAUAAGGUGAGAAGAAAUGCAUGGUUGGUGGCUAAAAAAAAAAACAGAGAAAGAAACGC
Molecule: long non-coding RNA, 112617 nt
Filed under: Glycine max (soybean)
Lineage: Eukaryota; Viridiplantae; Streptophyta; Magnoliopsida; Fabales; Fabaceae
Description: long non-coding RNA (GMAX_LNC001324)
Rfam family: MIR1520 microRNA precursor family (bases 10658-10777)
Source: RNAcentral